GCAGUUUCAGCAUGCAUAGAGAGCAAGGUAACAAAAAGUAGUACUUUUUUUGCUAGUAGUGAUUUUCCUAGUAACAGAGGCUAAACCGAGAGCAAGUACAGAGAGAGAAAAUCCAUAUUUUAAACACAGAAUGAAUGUGCAGAUUUUGAAACAAUGCAUACCAUGGCAUGAGCAUCAGGUUGCACACAUGUUUCAUAGUACUUAAGCCUCACAUUUUAGAUAGGUUUCCAAAUCAAAAGGGGCACAUACAUGUCUCUAACAUGAACGCUUCACCUCGUAGUUUUGCAUAAGUUUGCAAAUCAAAAGGGACACGUACAUGUAUCUAUCAACAAUGCCUCACCAACUUAGAGCAAUGGCUGUAGCUAGUUCUUGCCUAAACACAUCCAUGUCUUCACCAUUUUCCGCUGUAGUUGAUGUAUCUGAUGCAUGAGAAGGAACAACAAAUCUCUUGUAUUGUUCCGGAAUUGUUGGCACAUAGUCCGGGUCCCUGUCACAUCGAUAGAAGUGAAUAUCUUCUUCAUCAUGGAAGCGAACAUAGUUGUGCAAAGUCAUAGUAGCGGCAACAAUCAUCUUUUGAGUUUCAAUGGAUUAGCUUGGCAUCUUCAAAAGAAUCUGCCAUUUCAUCUUCCACACUCCAAAGGCACUCUCUAUGCAACUGCGUUUGGACGAGUGGAGCCUAUUGAGCUCCUCUUUAGGAGUAUUGGGUGGAACACCUCUAUGAAAGUCAGGCACAUGAUAUCUUUCACCUUUGUACGGUGCGAGAUAUCCCUUUCUAUUAGGAUAGCCAGCAUCCACAAGGUAGUACUUGUCUAUGAAUGAAUGUUAGAAUUGGCAUACAUGAAAUGAGUUCUAACAUUCUGACUCAUGGGGGAAGGGGGCCUAGGCUGCAUGCUCACCCUUUGGAGGAUGGGGGAAGGUGGCCUUGUCCGCAUGCAUUGCAUGAAAUAGCACACUUGUGUCAUGCAUAGAACCAGGUUGUCCAAUUGAAGCAUAAGUGAAAUGCAUAUCAACGUCACAUAUUGCCAUCACAUUCUGAGUGACUGCGCCUGUCCUUCCAAUAUAUAGGAUUUGCUUGUCUUCUGGAAUCGAAGCUCUAAUGUGAGUCCCAUCUAUUGCACCAAUGCAGUCUUUCAUGUGUGGAUAUGCUCGUUUAUCACCAAGGAUCCUUUGAUGCACAGUGUGAAAAUUGGGGUCUUUCGGCUUGAGGUAGUGAGAAGACAUCCAAUCGGGUUCUCAUUUUGAAUUGCAAUGCCACUUCGUCGAAUGCACUAGGGGUCAAGAUUUUGUUUGGCAUAUUUCCAGCCCGCACUUGCGUGACCAUCAAGUUGGUAACGAUCCUAGUGUUCUCUUCAUCCCACUCGGCAGUCAUGCUCGAAGACAUGCUCUGAACUUGACUAUAAAAAAUAUGUGAGUGCUUAACUAUAAAAAAACAUGUACAAGCGUUGUUGUUAUCAUUAUGUACUAGCAGGAAAAUGCAAUGAAGAUAUAUAGCAGCAGAACAUGCACUCGUCAAUCAACUUGUAGCAAUACUGCAAUAGCAAUAUUCAUGUCUUUUCUAAACAUAUAGGAGCAGAGCAUGUACUGAACAUAUAGCAGCAUAGCGUAUACUGAACAUAUACAUAUAUUUUCUGAACAUAUAGCACCAGAGCAUAUAGCAGCAGAGCAUGUACUGAACAUCCACAUCUCUUUUCUGAACAUAUAGCAGCAAAGCAUGUUCUGCAUCUCUUUUCUGAACAUAUAGCAGCAGAGCAUAUAGCAACAGAGCAUGAACAUGUGUAGGGAGAGGUAGUUGGGCAGCAAAGAGAGCAUCACCUUCGAAAAAUUGGAAGAGGUGGUCGGGGAGGCAGAGAAUCGACACAGCCGUCGGGUUCUUCGGCGGAAGACGGCGAGCGGGACGGGGAUGACUUGUCGGGGACGGAGGAGCCAGUCGGUGACGGAGGCAGACGAGGGUGGGGAUGGGUGGUCGGGGACGGAGGAGACAGUCCGCGACAGCGGCGGAUGAGAGCGAGCAGGGCGGGAUGGCUUCACAGCAUGGACGAGUGAUACGUCUCCAACGUAUCUAUAAUUUUUGAUUGCUCCAUGCUACUUUAUCUAUUGUUUUGGACGAUAAUGGGCUUUAUUUUCCACUUUUAUAUUAUUUUUGGGACUAACCUAUUAACCGGAGGCCCAGCCCAGAAUUGCUGUUUUUUUGCCUUUUUCAGUAUUUCGAAGAAACAGAAUAUCAAACGGAGUCCAAACGGAAUGAAAUCUUCGGAAACGUGAUUUUCUCAUCAGACAAGACCCAGGAGACUUGGACCCUCCGUCAAGAAAGCCACCAGGCGGUCACGAGGGUAGAGGGCGCGCCCCCUGCCUCGUGGGCCCCUCAAAGCUCCACCGACGUACUCCUUCCUCCCAUAUAUACCUACGUACCCCCAAACGAUCAGAACAGGAGACAAAAACCUAAUUCCACCACCGCAACUUCCUGUAUCCACGAGAUCCCAUCUUGGGGCCUGUUCCGGAGCUCCGCUGGAGGGGGCAUCCACCACGGAGGGCUUCUACAUCAUCAUCAAAGCCUCUCCGAUGAAGUGUGAGUAGUUUACUUCAGACCUUCGGGUCCAUAGUUAGUAGCUAGAUGGCUUCUUCUCUCUUUUUGGAUCUCAAUACAAUGUUAUCCCCCUCUCUCGUGGAGAUCUAUUCGAUGUAAUCUUCUUUUUGCGGUGUGUUUGUUGAGACCGAUGAAUUGUGGGUUUAUGAUCCAUCUUAGCUAUGAAUAAUAUUUGAAUCUUCUCUGAAUUCUUUUAUGUAUGAUUGAGUUAUCUUUGUAAGUCUCUUCGAAUUAUCCGUUUGGUUUGGCCAACUAGAUUGGUAGUUCUUGCAAUGGGAGAAGUGCUUGGCUUUGGGUUCAAUCUUGCGGUGUCCUUACCCAGUGACAGAAAGGGUUGCAAAGCACGUAUUGUAUUGGUGCCAUCGAGGAUAACAAGAUGGGGUAUUUAUCAUAUUGCAUGAAUUUAUUCCUUUACAUCAUGUCAUCUUGCUUAAGGUGUUACUCUGUUUUUAACUUAAUACUCUAGAUGCAUGUUGGAUAGCGGUCGAUGAGUGGAGUAAUAGUAGUAGAUGCAGAAUCGUUCGAUCUACUUGUCACGGACGUGAUGCCUAUAUACAUGAUCAUACCUAGAUAACCUCAUAACUAUGCUCAAUUCUGUCAAUUGCUCAACAGUAAUUUGUUCACCCACCGUAGAAUACUUAUGCUCUUGAGAGAAGCCACUAGUGAAACCUAUGGCCCCCGGGUCUAUUCUCAUCAUAUCAAUCUCCAUCACUUUUAUACUUGCUUUGUUUUACUUUUCCUUCUACCUUUCACUUUGCAUCUUUAUACCGAAAAUACCAAAAAUAUUAUCUCUAUCAGAUCUCACUCUCGUCAGUGACCAUGAAGGGAUUGACAACCCUAAUUGUGUUGGUUGCGAGUAGCUAUCAUUUUGUGCAGGUACGAGGGACUUGCGCGUGGCCUCCUACUGGAUUGAUAUCUUGGUUCUUAAAAACUGAGGGAAAUACUUACGCUACUGUGCUGCAUCAUCCUCUCCUCUUCGGGGAGAACCAACGCAAGCUCAAGAUGUAGCAAGAAGGAUUUCUGGCGCCGUUGCCGGGGAGUCUAUGCAAAAGUCAGCAUACCAAGUACCCAUCAUAAUCCCUAUCUCUCGCAUUACAUUAUUUGCCAUUUGCCUCUCAUUUUCCUCUCCCCCACUUCACCCUUGCCGUUUUAUCCGCCCUCUCUUUCCCAAUCUCCUCCUCUCUUUUUUGCUCUUUUUCUUCCGCCUUGCUUGCCACUAUGUCUGAAACUGGGGAGAUUAUCGUCGAUAUGGACAAUAGUGAUAACACAGAAAAUCCCGAGGCUCCGGCCGAUGAACCCCCUAUCUUGCAUACCAAAAAGUUUCGAAUCGGUAGUGGUAACAUCAUUAGCAAAGGUGUUAUUCAAGAUUUAUUUACUUGUGCCGGUGCUUUACCUUUGAUGGGUUGCUCUAUUCUUCAUAGAACAAGUAGUCUCGCAGAUGCUAUCGCUCUGCUUGUAGUUGAACUUGAAAGACAAUUUAUGCAUAUGCAUCCUUGCAUACAAAGGAUUUUCCUAGAAUUCUCUAAUAUUGAGCAUUCUUCGGUUAAGCGUGCUGUUACUAUUUUUUUGGCUCACGAGUUUAGAUUUAUUAUAAGAGAGGCCAAAGAAAUCUUUGCGCACUAUGGGGUGGACGCCGAUCGUCCUCCCAUAGAAGCGAUCCUCUAUGAUCAAGAGGAAUUUAGACAUUUUCAAUCUUCAGACUAUGUUGCUUUUAAUGAAAAUCUUAGAAAAAAGGUCCCUACCAAUGUCUUGGUUGAUUGCUUUAACGAGCUUAAUAAUGAAUUUUCCCUUCACAACAAUGAGCUAGGAUACUCUCUUGAGUAUAGGCUCACAAGAUUUUGCCAAAAGAAUGCUUUUAGUGAUGAAAUAGUUGUGCACUAUGAGGGGCCAAAGGAGGAACCUGUUCCUCCUGUGAUUGAUCUUGGGAACCUUUGCCCCACUAAAUUUAGCCCUUUCGAUUACUUUUGCUUGCCACAAAGGAAACUUGCUGCCGAACGUAAAGAAUAUGAAAUGAGCUUUCAAGAUCUAUCUUAUUAUUACGGCACCACUUAGAUUUAUCCUUGCUUUUAUGCCUAGCUAGGGGCGUUAAACGAUAGCGCUUGUUGGGAGGCAACCCAAUUUUUUUUGUUUUUGCUCCUGUUUAGGAAUAAAUAAUCCAUCUAGCCUCCAUUUAGAUGUGGUUUUAUCUUUUAAUUAGUGUUUGUACCAAGCUAGACCUAUUGGAUCUUCUUGGAUGAUAGUUAUUUGAUCUUGCUGUAAUUUCCAGAAACUUUGCGCUCAGUGCCCGAAUUGUUAAAAAUCACCAGAACGUGAUAAAAUACUGAUUCCAAUUGCUGCUGAUUAAUAAACAAAUUGUCCAGGUCGUCCAAUUUUGGUAGAAUUGUUUAAGUUCCAGAAGUUUGCGUUAGUUACAGAUUACUACAGACUGUUCUGUUUUUGACAGAUUCUGUUUUGCGUGUGUUGUUUGCUUAUUUUGAUGAAUCUAUGGCUAGUAAAAUAAUUUAUAAUCAAUAGAGAAGUUGGAAUACAGUAGGUUUAACACCAAUAUAAAUAAAGAAUGAGUUCAUUACAGUACCUUAAAGUAGUCUUUUGUUUUCUUUCUCUAACGGUGCUCACGAGAUUCUAUUGAGUUUUGUGUUGUGAAGUUUUCAAGUUUUGGGUGAAUUCUUUUGAUAGAUUAUGGAACAAGGAGUGGCAAGAGCCUAAGAUUGGGGAUGCCCAUGGCACCUCCAAUAUAAUCCAAGGACACCAAAAAUUCAAAUCUUGGGGAUGCCCCGGAAGGCAUCCCCUCUUUCGUCCACUUCCAUCGGUAAUUUACUUGGAGCUAUAUUUUUAUUCACCACAUGAUAAGUGUUUUGCUUGGAGCGUCUUGUAUUAUUUGCAUCUUUGCUUGUUAGUUUACCACAAUCAUCCUUGCUGUACACACCUUUUGAGAGAGCCAUACAUGAAUUGGAAUUUUAUAGAAUGCUCAUAGUGCUUCACUUAUAUUUUUUGAGUUUGAUAGUUAUGCUCAUAGUGCUUCACUUAUAUCUUUUGAGCGUGAUAAUUUUUGCUCUAGUGCUUCACUUAGAUCUUUUAGAGCACGGUGGUGGAUUUGUUUUAAAGAAACUAUUGAUCUCUCAUGCUUCACUUAGAUUAUUUUGAGAGUCGUUAAUAGCAUGGUAAUUUGCUUAAAGUUAAUAUACUUGGUAUUCAAGAUAUGUGGAACUUUCUUUUGAGUGUGUUGAAUACUAAGAUAAGUUUGAUGCUCGAUAAUAGUUUUGAGGUAUGGAGGUGAUAAUAUCAAAUUCAUGCUAGUUGAGUAGUUGUGAAUUUGAGAAAUGCUUGUGUUGAAGUUAGCAAAUCCCGUAGCAUGCACGUAUGGUUAAAGUUGUGUAACAAAUUUGAAACAUGAAGUGUACCUGGCUUGUGCAUCCUUAUGAGUGGCGGUCGGGGACGAGCGAUGGUCUUUUCCUACCAAUCUAUCCCCCUAAGAGCAUGCGCGUAGUACUUGAUUUUUGAUGACUUCUAAAUUUUUGCAAUAAGUAUAUGAGUUCUUUUGACUAAUGUUGAGUCCAUGGAUUAUACGCACUUUUACCUUUCCGCCUUUGCUAGCCUCUUCGGUACCGUGCAUUUCCCUUUCUCACCUUGAGAGUUGGUGCAAACUUCGCCCGUGCAUCCAAGCCCCGUGAUAUGAUACGCUCUUUCACACAUAAACCUCCUUAUAUCUUCCUCAAAACAGCCACCAUACCUACCUAUUAUGGCAUUUCCAUAGCCAUCCGAGAUAUAUUGCCAUGAAACUUUCCACCGUUCUGUUCAUCAUCAUCAUGGCAUACCUUACUUUUGUCAUAUUGCCAUUGCAUGAUCAUGUAGUUGACAUCGUAUUUGUGGCAAAGCCACCAUGCAUUAUUUUCAUACAUGUCACUCUUGAUUCAUCGCACCAUCCCGGUACACCGCCGGAGGCAUUCAUAUAGAGUCAUAUCUUGUUCUAGUUUCGAAUUGUAAUCCUUAUGUUGUAAUCAAUAGAAGUGUGAUGAUCAUCAUUAUUAGAGCAUUGCCCAAAUGAAAAAAGGAGAAAGGCCAAAAAGAAAAAAAGAAAGGCCAAAAAAAGAAAAUAAAUAAAAAAGGCAAUGCUACUAUCUCUUUUUCCACACUUGUGCUUCAAAGUAGCACCUUAUUCUUCAUGUAGUGAGUCUCAUAUAUUGUGCUUCAAAGUAGCACCAUGUUUUUCAUAUAGUGAGUCUCAUAAGUUGUCUUUUUCAUACUAGUGGGAAUUUUUCAUUAUAGAACUUGGCUUGUAUAUUCCUACGAUGGGCUUCCUCAAAAUGCCCUAGGUCUUCAUGAGCAAGCAAGUUGGAUGCAGACCCACUAGUUUUCUUUUGUUGAGCAUUCAUAGCUCUAGUGCAUCCGUUGCAUGGCAAUCCCUACUCCUCAUGUUGACAUCAAUUGAUGGGCAUUUGCAUAGCCCGUUGAUUAUCCUCGUCAAUGUGAGACUUUCUCCUUUUUUGUCUUCUCGACACAAUCCCCAUCAUCAUAUUCUAUUCCACCCAUAGUGCUAUAUCCAUGGCUCACGCUCAUGUAUUGCGUGAAGGUUGAAAAAGUUUGAGAUUAUUUAAGUAUGAAACAAUUGCUUGGCUUGUCAUCGGGGGUAUAGAAGUUGGGAACAUCUUUGUGUGACGAAAAUGAAGCAUAGGCUAACUAUAUGAUUUUUUUAGGGAUGAACUUUCUUUUGCCAUGCUAUUUUGAGAAGACAUAAUUACUUUGAUUAGUAUGCUUGAAGUAUUAUUAUUUUUAUGUCAAUAUGAACUUUUGUCUUGAAUCUUUCGGAUCUGAAUAUUCAUACCAUGAUUAAGAAGAUUUACAUUGAAAUUAUGCCAAAGUAUCACUCCGCAUCAAAAAUUCUCUUUUUAUCAUUUACCUACUCGAGGACGAGCAGGAAUUAAGCUUGGGGAUGCCUGAUACGUCUCCAACGUAUCUAUAAUUUUUGAUUGCUCCAUGCUACUAUAUCUAUUGUUUUGGACUAUAAUGGGCUUUAUUUUCCACUUUUAUAAUAUUUUUGGGACUAACCUAUUAACCGGAGGCCCAGCCCAGAAUUGCUAUUUUUUGCCUUUUUUAGUAUUUCGAAGAAACAUAAUAUCAAACGGAGUCCAAACAGAAUGAAAUCUUUGGAAACGUGAUUUUCUCAUCAGAUAAGACCCAGGAGACUUGGACCCUCCGUCAAGAAAGCCACGAGGCGGUCACGAGGGUGGAGGGCGCCCCCCUAGGGCGCGCCCCCUACCUCGUGGGCCCCUCGAAGCUCCACCGACGUACUCCUUCCUCCUAUAUAUACCUACGUACCCCCAAACGAUCAGAACAGGAGCCAAAAACCUAAUUCCACCGCCGCAACUUCCUGAUCCACGAGAUCCCAUCUUGGGGCCUGUUUCGGAGCUCCGCCGGAGGGAGCAUCCACCAUGGAGGGCUUCUACAUCAUCAUCAAAGCCUCUCCGAUGAAGUGUGAGUAGUUUACUUCAGACCUUCGGGUCCAUAGUUAGUAGCUAGAUGGCUUCUUCUCUCUUUUCGGAUCUCAAUACAAUGUUCUCCCCCUCUCUCGUGGAGAUCUAUUCGAUGUAAUCUUCUUUUUGCGGUGUGUUUGUUGAGACCGAUGAAUUGUGGGUUUAUGAUCCAGCUUAUCUAUGAAUAAUAUUUGAAUCUUCUCUGAAUUCUUUUAUGUAUGAUUGAGUUAUCUUUGCAAGUCUCUUCGAAUUAUCCGUUUGGUUUGGCUAACUAGAUUGGUAGUUCUUGCCAUGGGAGAAGUGCUUGGCUUUGGGUUCAAUCUUGCGGUGUCCUUACCCAGUGACAGAAAGGGUUGUAAGGCACGUAUUGUAUUGUUGCCAUCGAGGAUAACAAGAUGGGGUAUUUAUCAUACUGCAUGAAUUUAUUCCUCUACAUCAUGUCAUCUUGCUUAAGGCGUUACUCUGUUUUUAACUUAAUACUCUAGAUGCAUGUUGGAUAGCGAUCGAUGAUUGGAGUAAUAGUAGUAGAUGCAGAAUCGUUUCGAUCUACUUGUCAUGAACGUGAUGCCUAUAUACAUGAUCAUACCUAGAUAACCUCAUAACUAUGCUCAAUUCUGUCAAUUGCUCAACAGUAAUUUGUUCACCCAUCGUAGAAUACUUAUGCUCUUGAGAGAAGCCACUAGUGAAACCUAUGCCCCCCGGGUCUAUUCUCAUCAUAUCAAUCUCCAUCACUUUUAUACUUGCUUUGUUUUACUUUUCCUUUUACCUUUCACUUUGCAUCUUUAUACCGAAGAUACCAAAAAUAUUAUCUCUAUCAGAGCUCACUCUCGUAAGAGACCGUGAAGGGAUUGACAACCCCUAAUUGCGUUGGUUGCAAGUAGCUAUCGUUUUGUGCAGGUACGAGGGACUUGCGUGUGGCCUCCUACUGGAUUGAUACCUUGGUUCUCAAAAACUGAGGGAAAUACUUACGCUACUGUGCUGCAUCAUCCUCUCCUCUUCGGGGAAAACCAACGCAAGCUCAAGACGUAGCAACGAACAGUGGCCGCCGACGCUGAAGGUGCAGUCCGGCAUGGCUUGGGUUGCGGGAAGGGGAAAGAGGAGUUGUGCGUCUGGUGGAGUGGCCUCGAGGGAACGGUCAAUCAAUCACUUGGCGGUGGCACUCUUCCAUAAUUCUUUACGAAUCUAGCUUCUCAAUUUCCUUGGAGCCAGGUUUUUCCAGCUCCACGACUCCGUCUAAUUUGUACGCAGGUUCGAGACAGCUUCUUGGUCCGAGUCUGGAUUCAAGGAUUUCAGAAGCGAGAGAGUUCCCGAACACGCCCUAAGUCGAAGUGCGGCACCUUAGCGCUAGGCGCUACACUUUGUAGCAUAGCGCAUGUCAGCUAGGCACUGCACCACCAGGUGCGGGGCCGGACAAACUUGGUAAUUCGACCAGGCGCUGCACGACCAGGUGCAGCGCCUUAGUGCUAGGCGCUACACUUCGGAGCAUAGCGCCUGUCAGCUAGGCGCUGCACGACCAGGUGCGGGCUUGGGAAAACAUCGUAGGUGCGAGCACGACUAUGUGCGAGGGCAACACAUAUGGCCGGUGAGACUCUGGAGGGCUACAAACUUCAAACAGUUGUGGCAUGGCACGCAUGCAAUUCGGCAUCAACCUCUACUGAUCAAACUUACAUCAGGCUACGAACAACAGUAAAAACAAUGAGGGGAAAUCAGCUUUGUCCUUGAUGGGCGAAUUGAUGCAUUCUAUCCACUGUCAGUUGGAGAUUCUAGUAAAAUUGAAUCUACCGACUGGAACAUACAACAGAAAUAAACAGCAUUUCCACAACAUGAGAACAAGAUCUUUCAAAAUAAACAACAUGAGAACAACUAGAUCUGGCUGAACGAUUUCUCCAAUUAUGAGUAAUUUUUGAUCUGAUGUUAUUGUUCAAUCGUGUCAAACAUCAGCUGCCAGUACCGUUACAACCCCUGCCCUUAUGUAUCUGCACAUAUCAAAUUUGAGAUGCAAAUUCAGAGGUUGUAUCUGCAGAGACCUCUAUUUCUAAUAUUCCUUCCGCUCCUUUAUAUAAGGUGUAUAUUUUUUGGCACGGUGACCAAGGCAUGGUUGUUGACACACGAACACGUCACGUGUACCCUCGACGCCGGGGGUGAUGCACCGCAGCUCACGUCGAAGGAGACCCGACCGACAGCGCGAUACGCAAGACAGUCGGCGGGCGCUUUUGCAGACCCGAAAACCCCACACCCCCGGGAGGGACCCCGUCAGGGAGUGCGGCGGCUAUGGGCUGCCCUAGGUCGAUUCGCUCGCCCCUAGAGCCUCGGGAUUCGCAGCUCUCAAACACGAAGAACAGCGAAGAACGAGAGAGAAAAACGGUGGAGAGAUAAAACGUAGAUGAAAAAGUAGUAUAUUGAUUUGUUCGAUUGUGUGUUGUUCAAUCGGCCAUCACCCCCAACAUAUUUAAGAGGCGGCUGGACUUCCCGUACAAGUAAAGGAUUCAUCUAGGCUUUCCUUACAAGAAAAAUUACAUAAAUUCGCGUCCUAGAGUCCUAGUUCUAUUCCAACUCGGAUUCAGUCUGAAUCUGGCCCAACUUCUGUCUUCCUCCUUGUGCAGGCCGCCGAGCCUCCAUAUGACCUCCGAUCGAGAUGGCCCAAAUAUCAAACUUGUGCGCCUCGACGAUGCGAACAACUCUCAUGUUGAUCACUUUUUCAAAUAAGGCCAUCUUGAAUACUUUUCGAGGUCAUCUUUACCUUCCAGUCGGACUUGGUCUUGAAGUAGACUGAAUUAUCCGAGUCUUGUAGAGAAUUUGCAGGCCAUAUACUAUCUUUGAUGAUGAUGACUCCAAAACCAAAGUUUACCGUAUUGAUGACACGCACAACUUCUGUAUUGAACACUUCUUCAUCCGAGGCCAUCUUGAUAAACUUUUAGGCACAUGUUCAGUUUCACUCGGAUCCGAGCUCAUCCACUCGGAUAUUAGAGACUUCCACUCGGACCAUCCGACUCGACCUUUUCACUCGGAAAACAAUCUUUCACUCGGAUGACUAUAUUUUCACUCGGAAGACAAACUUUUACUCGAUCGAUUAAUUUUCACUCGACCUUUUACUCGAUCGGUAGGUUUUCACUCGACCUUUUACUCGAUCAGUAGGUUUUCACUCGACUUUUUACUCGAUCGGUAGGUUUUCACGAACUUUUACUCGAUCGGUAGUUUUUCACUCGGAUGGUAAGCUUUUCACUCGACCAAAAACAUAGCCUGAUCUUGAUUUGCCUCCCCAAGUCUCAUACGACCUCGGAUUGAGAUGAAUUAUAUAUGAAAAUCGAUCGGCUCGACAAGACGAAACUUUUCUGUGUUGAAGGUUUUUCAAUUAAAGGCCGUCUUGAAGGCCGAAUUGCUCACGCUUUGCAUCAGACACUCAUCAACGUGUGUCUGGUGUCAAGCGUAACAUUUUGGUCUCUGGCCUGUCCAGACCGUAUUGACUAUAACUUUUGCAUAUGAACUCGGAUUGAGAUGAUUUACAUAUGAGAAUCAAUUGUCUUGACGAGACGAAGACAAUUCCUUUAGCGCACUCCUUCAUCUGAGGUCAUAUUGAGGGCGUAAUCGGCUGAAAAAACACUCAGAACAUUAAAUUUUGUCACUCGGAGUAUAGCUUCGGCCACUGAGAUGAGGUCGAAUGGCGAUAGCCUAAACAUCAAAGUUUGUUCCACUCGACGGUAUGAAACUUUCUCAUGCUGAAAACCCCUUUCACUCUGUAUUUUGCCAAAAUCAGUUGUCAACACAUGCCCCCCUGUUUUUCGGCAAAGCUUGCAUGCCGAAAAAUAAUAUGCAUAGUGUUCAUUCUAAGGAUGAUGUCAACACUCCAUCGGCCAUUUAUUUUUCUCAGGGCAAUAAUUAUGUAUCGGCCAUGUUUGUGCUAAGGGCGAUAAUCGUAUAUCGGCUAUUGCCUACUUAGGCUUCCUGCUAUACACUCGGGUGGUACUUUUUCAAAUAUUUGCCAUUGAGAGCUCGAGGUAACAAUGCCCCUUGUAUUGACUCCACCAAAUAUGAAUUUCCGGGAACAACUCUCGUAAUCCUAAAAGGACCUUCCCAACUUGGAGACCAUUUCCCAAAUUUUCUAUCUCUUGAACCAAUUGGCAGAAUCACUUUCCAGACGAGAUCACCAACUUGAAAAUUCUUCAACUUGACUUUCUUAUUGUAAGCUCUUGCCACCCUCAACUUAUCUCUCUCUAUGGCCUUUAAAGCAACCAAUCGUUUAUCGGCAACCUCAUCAAUAUUGUCCAUCAUUAGGUUAUAAAAGUCUACUGCCGAUAAAUUAUUUUGUUUGGCUAUUCUCAAAGCAUUCAAAUUUACUUCUACUGGUAAAACGGCCUCUUGACCAUAUACUAGCUCAUAUGGAGUUACCUUCGUAGCACCAUGCCUUGAAAUUCUAUGUGCCCAUAAAGCUUCAGACAACAACUCAUGCCAUCUCCUCGAAUUAUCCUUAAUCUUCUUCUUAAUGAGCUUGAUUAAGAUUUUAUUGCUAGACUCGGCUUGUCCAUUAGCUUGGGCAUAAUACGGAGAUGAAUUGAGCAACUUUAUAUUAUAAGAUUCGGCAAACUCUCUGACUUGGUGUGACAUAAAAGAUGAACCUUGAUCUGUAGUUAACGUUUGAGGAAUACCAAAUCUAUGAAUAAUGUGUUCGGUUAUGAAUCGAAUUACCUCCGUAUGUGUCAUGUUCUUGAGAGGUACUGCUUCAGACCAUUUAGUGAAAUAAUCAGUUGCCACCAGUACGAACCGAUGCCCUUUUGAGGAAGACGGGUGGAUUUGUCCAAUGAAAUCUAAACCCCAUCCUCUGAAAGGCCACGGUUUGAUAAUAGGAUGUAACAUAGCAGCAAGAGCCAAUUGAAUAUCACCAAACUUUUGACAAGCUUCACAUCCUUUAUAAUAUCUGAAGCAAUCAUUAAUCAUAGUCGGCCAAUAAAACCCAGCACGUCGCAAUAACCAUCUCAUCUUGGGAGCCGACUGGUGAGUGCCACAAAUACCUUCAUGUACUUCUCCCAUAGCAACUCUUGCCUGGUCCUCAUCCAAACACUUUAGAAGAACAUCAUCGACUGUUCGGCGAUAAAGACCAUCAUCUCUCAUUAUAUACUUGAAAGCCAUACGCCGAACAGCCCUGUCCACCCUUUCACUCGGAUUGCACAAGUAAUCAACAAUGGGCUUUCUCCAGUCGGAAUUAUCGCCUGCACUAGAUUUUUUGUUAAUGGCCGAAUCAGUGGGUUUAGGUUCGACCUCUCCCAUAUUGGCAAGACAAGACAUCGGUCUUUGAGAGAUAUGAAACAUGCCAUGAUCAACAUGAUAUCCAGAUGCUUGCUGUGCCAACUCAUUUGCUUUCCAGUUGUCAUGUCUAGAUAUAUGUGCAAUGCUAAAACAAUCCAAAGUAGAAAUUAUAUCUAGACAUUUAUCAAGAUAAACAUUAAGUGAUUCAUCCAAACACUGAAAGACUCUGGAUAUUUGCUGCACCACUAGUAACGAAUCACCGGAAGCCUCAAUAUGUGUAACACCUAUAGCAAGUAGCAUCUCUAAACCGAAUAACAAUGCUUCAUAUUCGGCUUGAUUGUUUGUGCAAGAAUAUUCUAAGCGGCAUGAGGCUUCAAAAACAGCACCAUGAGGAGAUAUAUAAACAAUACCAACACCUUGGCCAUUGCUACAAACUGAACCAUCAAAGUACAAUCUCCAUGGCACUAAUGAAACAAGGUUUAUAUCGACAUCAUGCUUGUCAUUAAUCCGAUGUUCAACAAUGAAAUUAGCAAAAAUUUGGCCUUUCAUGGAUUUUAGAGAUUCAUAAGCCAAAUCAUAUUCAAUUAAAGCAUAAGCCCACUUGCCAAUUCUACCACUAAGAAUUGGCCUAUGCAACAUGUAUUUAAUGACAUCGGUUUGACAAGCUACUACACAAGCACUCGGCACUAGGUAAUGUCUCAAUUUUGUGCAAGCGUAAUAUAAGCAUAGACAUAGUUUUUCAAUAAAUGUAUACCUUGUCUCCGCGUCCAAUAAACGUCUACUCAAAUAUGUAAUGGCAUGCUCUUUUCCUUCGGUAUCUUGAGUCAAAACAGCACCAAUAACACCUUCCUCUGCUGCGAUAUAAAGUUUAAAAGGCUCUCUAUGCUUGGGUGCUUUCAUCACCGGAGGAGUGCACAAAUAAUUCUUGAUCAUAUCAAAGGCUUCUUGCUGUUUUGCCCCCCAAGUGAAAUCAACAUCAUUCUUUAACCGAAGGAUAGGAGUAAAUGCAUCAACUUUCCCUGACAGAUUAGCUAUGAACCUUCUCAAAUAAUUGAUCUUGCCAAGGAACUUUUGCAUAUCUCUCUUGCAUGUUGGAACCUCCACUUUCUGUAUAGCUUCUAUCUUUUUGGGAUCAAUCUCUAUGCCAUCUUUGUGAAUAACAAAACCCAAAAACUUGCCAGCUGAUACGCCGAAAGCACACUUCAAAGGAUUCAUCUUCAGUCCAUACUUUCUCAUUCUUUCAAAAGCUAAACGCAAAUCGGCCAAGUGAGAUUCAAAAGCAUCCGAUUUGACAACAAUAUCAUCAAUAUAAACUUCAAGUAUGAUACCGAGUAAAUCAUGAAAGAUCAAAUUCAUAGCCCUUUGAUAUGUGGCUCCAGCAUUUUUUAAUCCGAAUGUCAUCACUGUCCACUCGAAUAAACCAAGGAAACCAGGACAUCGGAAAGCCGUUUUGUACAUGUCCUCUUCGGCCAUAAAAAUUUGAUUGUAUCCGGCAUUACCAUCUAGAAAGCUAAUAACCUUAUGUCCAGAAGCAUCAUUAAUAAGCAUAUCGGCUAUUGGCAUAGGAUACUCAUCUUUGGGUGUAGCCCUAUUCAAAUCUCUGAAGUCAAUGCACACCCUCAACUUGCCGGAUCCCUUCUUCUCCACUGGGAAAAUGUUAGAAAUCCACUCGGCAUACCUGCAAGGUCGAAUGAAAUUAGCUUCAAGUAGUUGACCGAUCUCUUCCUUGAUCCGGUCAUAUGUUUUCGGAUUAAACUUUCUGGCCGACUGUUUAUAAGGUCUAAAACCGGCUUUUAUAGGCAAACGAUGCUCCACUAGCUCUCGGCUCAACCCUGGCAUCUCAUGAUAUUCCCAUGCAAAGCAACAAACAUAUUCUUUCAAUAGCUCGAUUAAUUUAGCCUUACAAUCGGCUUUCAAAUUUUUGUUUAUAAACGCCGGUCGAGUGACUGAACCAUCUCCAAUAUCUAUCUCUUCUAAUGGAUCAGCCGAUGUAAAACCUUGUCCAAGUUUAUCCAUGUCAUCCAACUCCUCUAUAGACUCAUACAUAUCGUCCUCACUGGACCCAUAUUUUACAAGACGUUUUUGUAACCACUCGGAAUUAGGAUCCAUUUAAACAUAUCAUACCUUGGAGCCGAUUGCAUUCAGUCGGCUUUAAAGACACGGGCACAAAACCAUUUUUGGUCGCACUGAGAAAAUCGAACUCUGAUAAGUCACGUCCCGUUAAGCAAGUAGCAUUGGGAUGUUGCCAAUCCACGGAUGCAUCUGCCAAAGCAACACAAGCCGAAUUAUCCGCAUGAAUGACUUCCACUUCGUCAUCAACCCACUGAAUCAAAAACUGGUGCAUAGUGGACGGCACACACUGGUUUGCAUGAACCCAAUCACGGCCUAAUAUGACGUUGUAGUUACCUUGCACAUCAGCGACAAAGAAUGCGGUAGCCAAAGUUUUGCUUCCGACUGUAAGCUCCACAUACAUCACACCUUUGGCUUCAGUUUUUUCUUUGCCUUCAAAUCCGUUGAGCACCAUAUUGGUCUUGAUCAAUUCUUCAUCAGGCAAACCCAAUUUCUUGAAGACCGGAUAGGGCAUAAGAUUUACCACAGCGCCACCAUCAACAAGCAUCCGACUGAGUGGCGAUCCAUUGAUAUGACCUCUAAGAUACAACGGUUUCAAAUGUGUUACUGGUUCUUUUGGCUUCUCGAAUAUUGCGUUUUUAGGGUCAAAAUCCAGCUGAGCCACUUCCCCUUCCUCAUCUAUAGCACGAAACUCAGCAGGUAAGUAAUAUACCAUAUUGAUAUCCAUACCUUCAUGAAUCGGUGUAGACUCAUAGUCCAACAUAUCAGCCUCUUCUUCAAGUGGAUCGACCGAUUCUGAAAUCUGGUCGAGUGAAGGAGAAGUAGGAAGUGUUGUAGACGAUGUAAUAGAUGUCGCAUCGUCCUCCUUUGGGUGGUGUAGGCACUUCUGUGAUAGAUGUAGAAGCUGAUGUAUCUUGUAUUUGUUUAGGCCUCCACACUUGUUUUGCUGGAACCAUGGGCCGAGUGUCAUUGAACAACUUAUCUCUUUGCUUCUCGGCCUCCUGCUCUGCCAUCUCUUGACUCCUUAACCUCUGUAGUUUCCUCUUCUGUGUCUUUGUUAGCCCUGGAGGACACCACUUUGGUCCAGUGUACUUAGCAUCUCUCACCUUUACUUGGCUGGUGCUUGCCUCAUGGUCAUUAGCCGAGUGUUUUGGCACGAUAGCAAGUAUCGGCUCAAUCGAGUGUUUAUGCAAAGUCGGCUGCUGUAUGGGGAAUGUUUCGGUGCCCAAGAUAAGUGAGUCAACAUCCAUUUUCUCCUUGCCUUUUCCCAACUCAACUGAUGCAACACUUGGUGACUUAACACGCCAUUCUUUUCGAUUUUCCAGAUGCAUGAAAUUUCUAUUCGGGCGCACCUUUUUACUCGGAUGGAAUCCACUCGGAUGGGCGUCACUCUGAUGGAAUCCACUCGGAUGGAACUCACUCGGAUGGAUUUCACUCGGAUGAAAUCUACCCAUCCAUAUUUUUUUAUUUGGAUAGCUUCCAUCUGGGUGCAUUCUUACACUAGGAUAAUUUCCAUCCGGUCGCAUAUUUUGACCAGCCGACUGAUAGUCACCGAUGUUGAGUCGGCCAUUAUAUAAGUAAUCAAGUCGAUCCCACAUAGAUUGCCUCUGCUCUUCUGAAAACUGCGCCCUUGGUCCACUCGGUUUUGUAUACCGACUGAACAUAUCAACUGAUGGUGAUCUUGGUCGUUUCAAAUGAGUCGGUCGACUGAAACUAGAACCGGCCGACUGGUUAGCAUACUUGGAUAGCAACAUAUCAAAAGUUGGCUUGACCCGCUUGCGCUGCACUUUAACCUCAUUCUUCUUCCACUUGCCAACUUCUGGACUCUUGGGCUUAACAAAUUUAACACGAGUAUUUUCUUGCACUUGAGGUUGCCCCCCGAGUGUAGGAUUCUUGAUGGUGAUUUUGAUCACUUCCUUGCCAUCGGGUUGCUUAUCAAGCACAACCUGUCUCCCCAAGACCUUGUUGUCCUCCUUGUCUUUCCUGGGCUCACCAACAAUGACAUUAGCUUUAUUAGCAGAUUCGGCUACCUCCGGCCGAAUGAGUAGCUUCUUUCCCUCCAAAUUGAUGGUAUUCAUUGCAAAAGGUUGUUUAUCAACUUGCAUCUCAGAAAAGUUCAAUCGUCCGUCAUUAAUGGCCGAUUGUAUCUGUCGUCGAAAAACAUUGCAAUCGUUAGUAGCAUGAGAAAAAGAGUUAUGAUACUUGCAAUAAGCACGCCGUUUUAGCUCUUCAAACGGCGGUAAAGUAUGAGAUAUUCUAAUAAUCUUAGCCUGCAGCAAAGUAUCAAAUAUUCUAUCACACUUAGCAAUGUUAAAAGUAAACUUCAUCUCUUCAUCACGAUUCUUAUGAAUCGGUUUCAGAUCAUUGCAAGUAAAGGGUUUGGCCUUGGAUGGCCAAACAAAUUCAGUAGCAAAAACAUCACCCUCAUCGUCCGAGUGAUCACUGUCAUAUUCCACCAUAUUCAUCUUUGGACGAUCGGCUUUGUAUCUAUGCACUUCUUUGAGGUCUUUGCUUCGGCUUUCCUGAGCCAAAGCCCUUUGUAAGACUUGGUUGAUAUUUAAAAACUCAUAGCCUUCUAGUUUUUCUCUAAUGGGAGUUCUCAAACCACUCAGCACUAGGUCUGCCAAGUCUCUCUCGGUUAUCACCAAACUAAAACACCGGUUUUUCGUUUCUCUGAAUCUCUUGACGUAAUCGGAGACCGAUUCAUCAUGCUUCUGCUUAACCGAUGUUAGAUGUGACAACUUGAGUUCAUUGUCUUCGCUAUAAAAGUGAUCAUGAAAUUUCUGCUCUAACUGCGACCAAACUCGAAUGGAACCAUGUGGUAAAGAGGAAAACCAUGAAAAUGCGGUACCAGUUAAUGACAAAGGAAAUAAACGCACUUUCAACUCAUUUAGUGAGCCUGCCUCACCCAGUUGUGCCAAGUAUUGACUAACAUGCUCCCAUGUGGUUUUUGUGCCCUCUCCAUUGAACUUAACAAAAUCUGGAAUUUUAUAUCCUGGAGGGCACUGGAUGGCAUCAAAGUACUCGGGGUACGGCUUUUGGUAAAUCCGAUUCCGAGGUAACUCAACUCCAAAAUUCUCUCGAAGCAUCUUAGCCAUCUCCUCUCUAAGAUUAGCUAAACCAUCAUCCAUAGUAGACGAUGAAGCUGGUGGCAGUGGCAUAGGAGGAGUAGGAUUACUAGCUGUAGGUAGGAAUUGUGGCAGGUAUGUCGACCCAUAAUUUGCUAGUGGUCGAGUGGUUGUAGCUGUAGGUAAGGUUGGGUUCGGCGUUGCCACCGAACCUGGCGUGCUCAUAAUAGGAUUAAUGGGUGCAGCCACAAUCUGAUUUGUUUGGGUAGGAUAAUAAGUCAUCGGCACGGGAGGCGCCGAUGAGAUAGGUAAAGCCAGAUUAGGGUUUUGCACACUAUCAGCUACACCAUUAUUACCACUAGUCGAUUGAGAUGUAUUCUUCUGAGCAUUAGUAUUUUCUAUGAAAGUUUGAUAGACUAGAUUGUUACCAUCAGCAAUACGACUUUCAAUCUCAGCCCACUGCUCAGGAGAAAAGGUAGUACUCACAGAAGGUUUAACCUGCUCGGCUUGAAGAGGAGGGAACUUGAUUUCUUCAAUCGGAGUGAUGUUGCCUUGGCGAUCCUUCUUGAACAUUGCAAGGAACUCCUGCAAAUCCUUCUCUUCGCGCGCCUUCUUGUACUCCUCAUAGACUUGGCGAUGAUCAGCCGAUAUCUCAUCAAGACUGGGCUUAAUGAUGUUGUCGGCGUCUACCUCGGAUGGCUUGGGAAGAUCGGACAUGGUGGAUGAUGAUGAUUGAUCUUCGAUUCCCCAGCGGAGUCGCCAAAAAGUGUGUUGACACACGAACACGUCACGUGUACCCUCGACGCCGGGGGUGAUGCACCGCAGCUCACGUCGAAGGAGACCCGACCGACAGCGCGAUACGCAAGACAGUCGGCGGGCGCUUUUGCAGACCCGAAAACCCCACACCCCCGGGAGGGACCCCGUCAGGGAGUGCGGCGGCUAUGGGCUGCCCUAGGUCGAUUCACUCGCCCCUAGAGCCUCGGGAUUCGCAGCUCUCAAACACGAAGAACAGCGAAGAACGAGAGAGAAAAACGGUGGAGAGAUAAAACGUAGAUGAAAAAGUAGUAUAUUGAUUUGUUCGAUUGUGUGUUGUUCAAUCGGCCAUCACCCCCAACAUAUUUAAGAGGCGGCUGGACUUCCCGUACAAGUAAAGGAUUCAUCUAGGCUUUCCUUACAAGAAAAAUUACAUAAAUUCGCGUCCUAGAGUCCUAGUUCUAUUCCAACUCGGAUUCAGUCUGAAUCUGGCCCAACUUCUGUCUUCCUCCUUGUGCAGGCCGCCGAGCCUCCAUAUGACCUCCGAUCGAGAUGGCCCAAAUAUCAAACUUGUGCGCCUCGACGAUGCGAACAACUCUCAUGUUGAUCACUUUUUCAAAUAAGGCCAUCUUGAAUACUUUUCGAGGUCAUCUUUACCUUCCAGUCGGACUUGGUCUUGAAGUAGACUGAAUUAUCCGAGUCUUGUAGAGAAUUUGCAGGCCAUGUACUAUCUUUGAUGAUGAUGACUCCAAAACCAAAGUUUACCGUAUUGAUGACACGCACAACUUCUGUAUUGAACACUUCUUCAUCCGAGGCCAUCUUGAUAAACUUUUAGGCACAUGUUCAGUUUCACUCGGAUCCGAGCUCAUCCACUCGGAUAUUAGAGACUUCCACUCGGACCAUCCGACUCGACCUUUUCACUCGGAAAACAAUCUUUCACUCGGAUGACUAUAUUUUCACUCGGAAGACAAACUUUUACUCGAUCGAUUAAUUUUCACUCGACCUUUUACUCGAUCGGUAGGUUUUCACUCGACCUUUUACUCGAUCGGUAGGUUUUCACUCGACUUUUUACUCGAUCGGUAGGUUUUCACGAACUUUUACUCGAUCGGUAGUUUUUCACUCGGAUGGUAAGCUUUUCACUCGACCAAAAACAUAGCAUGAUCUUGAUUUGCCUCCCCAAGUCUCAUACGACCUCGGAUUGAGAUGAAUUAUAUAUGAAAAUCGAUCGGCUCGACGAGACGGAACUUUUCUGUGUUGAAGGUUUUUCAAUUAAAGGCCGUCUUGAAGGCCGAAUUGCUCACGCUUUGCAUCAGACACUCAUCAACGUGUGUCUGGUGUCAAGCGUAACAUUUUGGUCUCUGGCCUGUCCAGACCGUAUUGACUAUAACUUUUGCAUAUGAACUCGGAUUGAGAUGAUUUACAUAUGAGAAUCAAUUGUCUUGACGAGACGAAGACAAUUCCUUUAGCGCACUCCAUCUGAGGUCAUAUUGAGGGCGUAAUCGGCUGAAAAAACACUCAGACCAUUAAAUUUUGUCACUCGGAGUAUAGCUUCGGCCACUGAGAUGAGGUCGAAUGGCGAUAGCCUAAACAUCAAAGUUUGUUCCACUCGACGAUAUGAAACUUUCUCAUGCUGAAAACCCCUUUCACUCUGUAUUUUGCCAAAAUCAGUUGUCAACAAUGGUAUUAUAGUUUCUGCAUAUAGAUACCUUAUAUAAAGGAACGGAAGCAGUAUUAAAAAUACAGGUCUAUCUGCAGAUACAUAAGGCCACAGUGACCAAGGCAGAGACCGACAAGGACCAGAACAAAGACAGCUAGAAUCUGAGGUGAAAUUCAGGCAUACCCCGAACAUUCAAGCACCAACAUGACUUUCUUUGAACCAAAAUGACCACAAUCCUUACAUGGUCAGAACACAGUCCAGACCUAAAUACAAGAGAGCACCACCGUUAUAUCGAACAAGGCAGCAACCUAGUAUGAGGUGAACUUAGUGACUGCAUUGAUGCCAUUGGAGACGGCACGCUUGCAGCUCGACGGGGAGGACCAGGGAGAAAGAGUUCUGAAUCUCGCGGGCUUCUUGUUGUAGCAUGGGAGCUUGACAGGCUCACCAACGAGUUCACGAGUUAUAAUGUCAAGCCAUGCAUGGCCAGAUUGCAAUGGUCCUACGGAGGGAACUAGACAAAUAUCCAAGUCCAGUGUUAUCCAUGAAUAACAUCUAUCUUGACUAUUCCCCGAGAAAAAAUCUAUCUCAACUAGAGUGUCUUGUGAUGAUAACCCACCAAUGCCAGCAUACAAACCAAGACUAUUCUCUUACCAGACAGGAAAACAAGUGCAUUAGCACACAUGCAUGGACACCCACGAUUUCUGGGUGGUGAAAUCGAACAAGAAACACAUGCACAAAAACUAUAAUUCUACUAACCACACAAUUCAGUUAUAUAUUUGUGAUCUAACGACAACACGGGACAGUGUAGUGGCUUGGGAUCUGGUGUGUGCACCGUUCGCUCAUGGGGGUCUAGGAUUCUACAAGCUCAAACACAUGAACCUUUGUCUUCUUGUAAAACACCUCUCUAAACUUCAUGACUCUGGAACCACCGAGCCUACUAGCUACUUCAUCUCAAACUAUGGGUGGACUCCUGCACGGGACUUGGGUAAUUGCAGCUCCAGGAUUACUCCAGUAUGGCAUGAUAUUUUCAAAGGUUUGGACUUCUUCCGCUCGAUUACUAGAGUCUCUGUUGGAAAAGGCUCUACCACAUCCUUCUGGUAUGACCUGUGGCUACCUAAUGAAAACAUCCCCCUCUCCCAACAAUUCACGACUCUGCUCUCCCACUCCAAGCGGCCGACGGCCUCGGUCGCGUGGGUGCUGGAUUCUCCCCAGCUCAACCUUGACCUUACACCCCGGCUCUUGUAUGCAGCAGAGAACGAACUAGCUAACCUGCGCGCUAUUUUGGCAACGAUAAACUUGAAUAUGCAGGUGACCGACGUGAGGACUAACAGGUGGGAUGGUAAGCCUCUAACCAACCGUAGGGCCUACAUGGCGCAUUGGUCGGCAGCCCCGGCUGACCCUAUUGCAACACCUCUCUGGAAGAACUAUUCACCAAACAAAUGUAGGAUGUUUGUCUGGCUUGCGCAUAAAGAUCAUGUGUUUACCAAUGAGAGACGGCUCAAACACUCUUUUGAAAAGUCUGAUCAGUGCCCUCUCUGCAGUUGUCGAGAGAGCAUUGAUCACCUGCUGUUCCAGUGCCAGCUGCUCCGUCCACUCUGGGACGAGCUUCAGAGUCAACACUUCGGGAGUCACCAAUCUAUGCUGGAUAUUUGGAAUGCUGACAGGGCUAAUAAAGUUCGGUCCACCGUCAUUAUAGCUCUGCUUUGCAACAUUUGGAAACGGCGCAACGCGAAAGUAUUCCGCAAUGACACUCUGGGGGUGUACCACAUUGCUCGCUCAGCUGCGGAUGAUUUGAUGUUGUGGUCUCACAGAUGUAAAAAUGUUCAGAAGAAAAACCUGCUUCGAGACUGGAGCUCUAUGUUGUUUCAUUUAGCUGGGAGAAUAUAGCCUUCUACCCAUUUUUGUUUUUCCUCUAGUUUGCUCCUUCAUCUCCUUCCUCCUUGUACCUCUGGUCUCUAUGUAAUUGGUACUUCUGGUAAUACUAGCAAAAGAGCCCGUGCGUUGCAACGGGAGAAAAAACACAACACACCCUCUUAACCGAACAACCAUCACUCAAGACCACAAUAGGUUGAUCUCCUUUAUUUUAGCGACACAUAAUAUUUGUGUUGCCGCUUAUCCUUCUUGUCACCCUCACUGGCGAUGGCCUUAGUGUUCACACAAACCAAAAUGUGUUUGAAUGUGGUUAAUCCUAAGCCGUCUCUCUCUCUCCUCCCUCUCCCUCUCUCUCUCUCUCGCUUUCUCGCACACUUGCGAUGAGAAAUCUGUUGUUUUCCCCUGUGAUGUAUUCAGAGGUAUGCAUGUGUAGUUCUCGAUGUUUUCUAUUCCCUAUAUGACUAUAGUGGGUGUUUAUUUGCAACCCGGAUCGCCGCAUGUACGAAGGAAAAAUGGAUCGUGCGCUAUAGUUAUAAGUGUGCUUCCAAAACAAUAUCUAAAAAAUAUUUAACAGGUAAAAUUAACAUCAUAUUCAGAUUUCACACAUUUUUCUAUUCAAAUUUCAUGUAUAACACGUUAAAAUCGGAGUUAUGGUUUGAAAGAUACGUAUAAUUUAGAAAACCAUUUGUUUGACUUAAAUAUCUUUCAAAAUAAUAUGUAUAAAUACUUAACAAGUUAAAAUAAUCUUAUAUUCAUAUUCUACAUAUUUUUCUAAUCAAAUUUUAUAUAUAACAUGUUUAAAUCGGAGUUACGGUUUAAAAGAUAUGGAUGGUUUAGAAAAGCAUUUGUUUAACUUAAAUAUGAUCCGCGGAUGGAAUACCUAAAAAGUCAGAGGUUUUUCGAAAAACUGUAAAAUAACGGUUCGGUGUGACUUAAAUCCGGACUGCGUGUUGAUUUCAUGAAAAUGCAGGGGCUUUUUUGCAAAACGGUGCGACGGACGGGCAGAAACCUUACGUGCUUUAUUAUUAGGUAGAGAUAAGGUUCAGGCAGGCGUAAGCCCGCCGUUGACGCGUCAAAAAAAAGCCAAGCCUAAUACAUGCUGUUUUCAGUAAUGGCAUCAUUCCAAGCGAAGGCGCCAAGCCACCAUCACUGUGAAUUUCAUCUAGUAGCAGCGAGAUAGAGAUAAGACACGGGGCAUCAAUGUGAAUGCGAACAUCCUGAAGGAAGAAACAAGUCCCAACUAACUGCAGAUGCUUCAGUGAUUUGGAAGAUAUGUUACCGCCGUAAAUGACGCUAUCUUGCAUCGUUAGCUUCUCUAAUACUGGACAGUCCGAAAAAUCCAGUGAGCAACCUUCAAAGUGAACUUGAUCAAAUUCUAAUAUCCUCAAGUGCGAGGAGACAAGACGCCUGAGUGAAAACCAUUCGUCAUAAAGAAAAACGUCUGAAACUGAGAGCUUCUCAACCCCGCACUCUAGAACUUCACCGCGCAACGACCAAGUGAGGAGGCAACCACAACCCCGAGACCAAGGCGGACUCGGUGGGGAAAAAUGCACAAGUUGAGUGGUCCCUGCUACUUGUGAGUUUGCGUUGGUAUUUUCCCCGGAGAGGAAAUGUGAAGUAAGAAGCUUCGGGAGGAGACCAGACACCAAGCGAGGAGAUGGCAAGGCAACAGGGCGCGCCCUGAUGCUUUGUGGGCCCCAUGUGGCUCCGUCUGACCUAAUUCCACUUCUAUAAAUUUUCAAAUAUUGGGAAAACCUAGAGAGCCACACGAAACAAUUUUUCCGCACCACAAGCCUCUGUUCUUCCGCGAUCCCAUCUAGAGGCCUUUUCCGGUACUCUACAGAAGGGGAAUCGAUCCGAAGGGCGUCUACAUCAACCUUGUUGCCCCUACCAAUGAUGUGUGAGUAGUCCACUACAGACCUAUGGGUCCAUAGCUAGAUGGCUUCUCUCUCUCUCUCUCUCUCUCUCUCUCUCUCUCUCUCUCUCUCCCCCCUGUGAUCUUCAAUACAAUGGUCUCCUGGUCUUCUUGGAGUUCUAUCAAAUGUAAUCUUCUUUUGCGGUGUGUUUCUUGGGAUCCGAUGAAUUGUGGAUUUAUGAUCAGAUUAUUCAUUGAAAGUAAUUGGUUAUUUUUUGAACUUUAUUAUGCAUGAUUAUUGUAGCUUCGUAUUUCUCUUUGAUCUAUCUGUUUGGUUUGCCCAACUAGAAUUAUUUAUCUUCAGCAGGAGAGGUGCUUUGUGGUAGGUUCAAUCUUGCAGUGUUCUCACCCAGUGACGAAAAGGAUAGCGAGACAUGUAUUUGUGUUGUUGCCAUUAAGGUAAAACGACGAGGUUUAACCAUAUGGUUUUAUUCUGUCUACAUCAUGUCAUCUUGUUUAAAGCGUUACUCUGUUUGUCAUGGACUUAAUACCAUAGAUGCAGGCAGGAGUCGGUCGAUUGGUGGAGUAAUAUUAGAGAUGCAGGUAGGAGUCGGUCUACUUGUCACAGACGUGAUGUCUAUAUAUGUAAUCAUUGCCAUGAAUGAUAUCAUAACUAUGCGUCUUUUUAUCAGUUGCCCAACAGUAAUUUUUCUACCCACCGUAUGGUAUUGUUUCGAGAGAGAAGCCUCUAGUGAAAACUAUGGCCCCUGAGUCUACUUUAAUCAUAUUACUAAAACAAAAUAUCUUCCUGCAAUUUUCUAUUUUUAUUUUACUUUUCAGUUUAUAUAUCUACUACUACCAGAUUUAAUCCUUGCAAGUAACGAGUUCAGGGGGUUGAUGACUCUCUUUCCCGUGUUUAGUGCGAGUAUUUGAUCUUGUGUGUGCAGGUGUUGUUCACUAGGAUUUGCGUGAUUCUCUUAUUGAUUCGAUAACCCUGGUUCUCACUGAGAAGAAUACUUAUCAGCUACUAUAUUGCUUCACCCUUCCUCUUCAUGGAAAAUUCUAACGCAACUCACAUGUAGCAGCUCCCACGAACAACGGGGAGAGGCAUUGGUAGCGAGAGCGUGAUGGUAAGGUCGGGUGCGAGGAUGCCAUGAUGCUACAUAGCCCAUCCCAAUAAAUCCACGUAUGUGACAUUGGCUCCCAUAACCUACCAGGAUAGGCACGAUGGAGUGGGCGAGGUCAGGGGCAUGUGGUGCCCUGCUGCCAUAGGGAGAGGCGGUGCGUCGUUUGACGGCCAUGGGAUAGUCAACACUUCUGAUGCAUAGGAAGGGGUGGUUCUGGACUGGGAGGAGGAAGAAUAGAAGAAGACACAGUUGUGCCAGACCGAUGUGAGAGAAUAAAGCGCUAUGGUGGGACUUGCGCAACUUAUGGAGUCCAUGAGAAAUAUCUAAUCUAGUCUAAACCAAUCAAAAAAAAAAGUGUGUUAUAGCAAAAUAGCGCCACCUUUAAAAUACACUAUUAGCGAGACAUUAAACACUAAUUUAUUUCCAUUGCUCAGAAUGCUAUGGCAUUGCUAUUUUUCCCGUGGUCUAAACACACUACAAAAUCAGAAGUGAACUGUGUUCAAAAAUCAACAGUGAACCAGAGAAAAAACCUGACACGCAUGUUGCUCAUGUACACUGAUUUAUUUAUUGAGGCAAGUGGGGUAUUGCACAAAACACUAUAGCAUACUAUUCGUGGUGCUAUAGUGUGCUAUUUUUUCCAGUGGUCUAUGCAUAAUAUAAAACAGGGAGUGAAUUGUGUUAAAAGACCAAACUAAAUGGGACACAUGUGUCAUUCAUAGAAGAGCUUAUGGCUAUAGCUCCAAACUCACCAAAGGCGCCGAAGCUUAACAGCUUUAAUUCUCUUACUAUCACAGUUAGUUUUUUUAAAAAUUUGUUUGUAUUUUUGUUUUCAAAAAUACAUUUCAUAUGGAAAUAAUGUUAACAGGAAGCUUCUCGGAUGUCAUCUCAGCGUGAAAACUUACACAAACCUAGAAGGGUCUCUUGUCUUUGAUGUGUAAAAAUCUCAGUUUUUCUAAAAUUUUGUUUAUAUUUUUUGUUUUCAAAAUUACUUUUCAUAUGGAAAUAAUGUUAACAGAAAAUUACUAUUCACCCAUAAUUACUAUUUAACCACAAACCUUUACAUUAUUAAUUAAUUGACACAAUCACUGUUCAGGGCAUUGUUCAUUGGCUGCCUUAUGUUAAACUAGAUCAUUGAUGGCGCGCGUUGCAGUUCCCAUCUGUUUAGAAUUUUCUUAAAAAUAGAAAGACAUGGCUCAUGAUCUUUAAUUACAUUUGUAAAGAUGACCCAUAUAUUUGUUAGCAAAAGAGAGGUGGUGGAUAUAAUUGUUUUGUAAAGAAAGUAUUGGGUAGUUUGGCACUACAUGUUUCUUUUUGUCUAAUGGGCUUCAUUGGUGAGAGCGAUUGCAUAACAUAACAACAUGUGAAGAGCUGGACAAAAUGAAGUUACUCAACAACCCAUUUACAUCAAAAUUUGCAUAAAAAUCUACAUUCUAAGCCUGAGUAAUAAUACAACAAGAAGCUUCCCGAAAGCAUCCACACAUAGAAUUAUACAAUGUUAUCCGUCUAUCCAAAAGAACCAAAAGAAAGAACUUGCAGCCAAAAUGAUGACUGCAUUCCAGAUCGUGUAGGGGUGCAACGGGCAUCCUGCUUUAUCUGCAAAAGUCAUCAAUUAGCUUAUCACGUAUUGGCUGUAAAAUUAACAUUAUGUUUGUAUUGUGUUAUUGUCCGCGAACCUGGCCUUCUUGCAUCCGUAGGUUCAUGCACAUUAAAUCAAAUUCAAAAUGUAUAGGAUGGAUUGCAAUGUGUAAAGAUAAGAAGAAUAAAAUCUCUACUAUAAAUGCCACGUAACAGUAAAGCAGAUGCUACCAUUUCUUUCCCAAUUUAUAACCUUCUACAGAAACAUUCCAUUGUAUGUACCUUUCUUCUAUGUCCAUCUAAUCAUGCUAAGCAUAAAUUCAUACUAAGAUAUUAGUGCAUGAAUUUAUGCAAAAACUUUGGGCUAGUCGAUCCUGGUCAUAACCUGAUUUUUUGUGGCUUAGGUCUGGUUGCUUUUAGUGCCAAUGUACAGUGUACCAUGUUGUGUUUUGGGCUAGCCGAUUAGGAGAAGGAAUUUUUGUUCUUUAGGCCACGCAAAAAAUGAGUGAUAAGGAUUAAUAUGGAAUUUGUUUCGAAGGAAGAGCAUAGAGCACAUCAUAAGGUUAGGAAGUGCUGCCUUGAUCACGUUUGAACACAUCGACAACGUUUUCUACCCAGAUAGUGACGCAAUGUAGUAGCUGAAAUAAAUAAAUAAUUAAAAGCACUAUUCCAUAGUCCAAGGAGUAUCUCUAUAAAAAAAGCAACCAGACCUAGGCCAUAGAAAAUCAGGUUAUGACCAGGAUCUCUGAUUUUUAUAUAUGCUAGAUUUGUUGAAGCAAGACAUAAAGAUUAUACGUGAGGGUGAAUGAUCUGAUUUGCCAACAUUUCAGUCCAAAUCAGAUUCAAUCAUGAAGCAUUAGAGCAAAUUGUAGUAAAGAGCAGUGGUGCGCGAGAGAUUUUGUCCAAUAAUAUUAUGUAGAGGCAGAUAAUAAGGCAUAUGACAUUAGAUCAUGACAAAUGAGAGGAGAGUACCUGAAUGUCUUUCAUGGUCGCACAGAGAUCAAUGUAGUCCUUUUGGUUGCACCAGCCACUUCAAGUUGUUCAACUAUGAAGUUGUCGAUGUGAAAAUGCUCAGUUGAAUCCAUAAACAUAGCUCAUAGUAAUUAAGCAAGUUAUCGUUUAUUUUAGCGCGGUGUUAAAAUUAAAGUUAAAGUUUAUGUUAGCACAAUGUGAAAAUUAAACUUAAAAGUAUACUUUUUAACUCGAAAACUAAAUUACGUUACAUACCUUUCCAAUCAGUGUUGGCCAACAAUACUAUUUACAUUGUUUAGAGCGUAGCAAAAAGAGAGAUUGCUCCUUAGUUAAUUGGGUUAUCCAAACAAUAAAGGGCACACAUACAUGUUGGAUGUUAAUAGAGAAACAUCAAGACACAAAUAGUCCUAAGAAAUUUCCGAUGGUACUUGAGGCAAUAAAUUUGUACCUGAAACAUAUAAUCUACGGUAAGCUUCACAAGAACACCAGUUGCAACGAUGGACUAUGCAGGUUAAUGACACCUACUAUAGUAAGUCCAUGCUAUGCUCCUGACUGACAGGAAAAAAUGCUGAUUAUUGAGUACAAUGAUUCUUCUUGUCCACUGCAAAUGACUCCUACAGAAUGUUAAACGGUGUGUUCUUUAUCUCCGAGGUCCUAGUAAUAUGAGAAAACGAGGGCGAGAGUGACUCCAUAGUAAUUACAUUAGAAUACAAAAAAACAGAAAAACAUUUUCAUUGCACAAUACAAACAACAAAUUCGUGUACACACAUGCAAUGUGGACUUACACGUUCAGCAAACAAACUCUCGGAAUAUUGAAAAGCGCCAGCCGGAAUUCUUCCUGCACCAUGCCAACGCACAAGCAUCACAACUCAGGUUAUUCAUAAGCCACCAUAUACACAAAAAUGUACCUACAGAGCAACAAUAUUUUUUCAGUUUUAAAUAAGGAGAUGGGUGUUUAUCCACUAACCUUGUUAACCAUCCCUCCAUGUAUCACAACAUUGUUGAUUUCUUCAACAGCUCGUACAAUGCUUACCGUGAGCAUCUGCAUAAAAGCUAAUCCGUAAGAGGAUUUAACAGAAAUGAUAAAGCCCACUGGUUUAGAUCCUGUCAGUGUGGAGACAAUUGAAUAGCCAGCAUGCACAGUUCCUACAAACCAAGCAUCAAAAUUCGUACAUGCCAAUGCAUCUUCAUGCCCAAAUCCACUACCACCAAACAACAAAACAUGGUGAUGUAGAUGGCAGUGGCUGUACCGACCAUGAAUCUGCCGCUGACCCAACUGUUGGUUGCUGGUAUCGAUGCCGUUGACAGGGAAAAAGGGGGUCAAGGCUUGUGUUAGAAUGGUGAUGGUCCCAUCUUGGAUAUAAAUACAUGCAGCUUCAGGUCAGAGGCGAAACAACAACGGCGGUGGUAAUUAACAAUUCCUGCACCAAAAAUGACUAUGAAGAGGCGAAAAUGUGACAUCCUAAAAAUAGCAGCAUAAUGAGUUUAUUUACGCAUAUCAUCCAAUGUAUACUAAAUAUAUAGCUUGUAAUUAACUACAAGCCUUGACGAAAAGCAUAAAUAACUGAAAAGUGGUAUAUGUUGGCAGACAUGAGAGUACACUUUUAUGCAGGAGCAAAUGACUGAAACACAUUGAUUGGAAUUACUUCUUCGCGACUAAAAUCAAGCCAUACAAAAAUACCAUGAGCGUAUCACAUAACAAGACCUUGACAAAAUAGCAUAUCAAGUUGGAUAAUAAAUCCAAUCCACGAACAGACUGGGUAGGCUGUGUUACUACCUGUGUUAGCUUUUGCAUCGAGUGCUAUAAGAUCAGAGGUGUGGACGCCCAGCUCGUAGUAGCUGCACCUUUCACAACCUGUAAGGCCGCCGUUUACAAACCAGGUGAAGGGUAGUAGGGUAAUGAAAGAAAAUUAAUGAAGGAGAUCAACCACGAUCUCUUAUUAUUUCUAGCUGUCGAGUAUCUCAAACUCUGAAUCCUGAAUGAGAUCCCAUAGUUCCUUCUUCGACAGCGACGCAGCCUGGGUAGGUUGCGGGAGGCCGGCGGCUGUAGUCAGGGGAGGACGUGGCGGGUUUCCUUCUUACUGAAUCAUUUCUCACAGAGGAGCUGGCGUACGAGAGGCCUCUCCGGUCUUGCAGGAGCGAGUCCAUGAAGGAGGAGGGUGUGCGCGCCGCUGCGGCGCUGACCCGCAUCGAAGCGAAGGGACAAAGCCGGGGUGUUGUUCCUCCUUGUCGCCGCCGCCGCCGCCUAGCAAUGGUAUGGAGGGGUUGCGCUCGACAGGGGAGGCGGCGUGGAAUGCAGUAGGCUGGGGAGUUACCUCUCUACCUGAUGGGCCGUCCUUCCCCUGACCGCUCGCUAGAAGGGCUUCCUAGCCCAAUCAACCAGAGAAGUCCAAAAAGUCCACCGGAGUAGCUGCCCCCAGGACAGCAGACCCAGGUUGCGGCAACAUUGCCCUAAAGUAGCGUUCCAUGUGCAUCCAACGGACAGAAACAACCAGAUCGCGGAAACGGACGAUUAAGAACGCAAAUCGCUGAGAGAGCUCGGUUUAGGUGCGGUUAUACUGUCCUUAAUUGGUAGAGCCCUUGGAAAAAAUUCAAAAAAAGAAAGGAGGUCCUAGCUUAUCCGGUUUAAUAUAGUAGUAUAUAUACAAUGUUUGGUAAAGCCCAAAAGAUCAAAGCACGGAAGACAAACUCAAAAAAAGAACCGCCAACGUCCGCCCGAGGGCCACACCUGCUAGGAUAAAAAAAUCGUGACCUAAACUUGUAGCCGGAGCGAAGACACAUCGAUUAUCCUCUCUGCCACCGGCCGCCGAAGCGGUAGCCAGAGGGAAGGCAAAUUCACGGAUUCACUAGUGAAGUAUGAAAGAAAAAGUUUGCCCUAGCCGCCUAAGAUUAGGGGAGGAAAGGAGAGUUAGUCCCAAUCUGGGAGACUGCUCACGAUUAUGACUGAUGCAAGUACUAUGCAAUGAUCAAAUACGAGCAAAUAAUAUGUAUUUUCCGUUUCUGUUUCUCCUCUAGUUUGUUAAUGCAACGACCGUUGGGGAUUCCCCCUCCUCCUUCAUUCUCAGGAAAAUAUUUAUUACUAUAAAUGUAUAAAUAUGUAGAGAACAUAUACAUGUGUAUGAGGGAUUAUUAUUUCCAGAUUUCUCUAUUCUGAAUAAUUCCGGUCUCCAUGAAUCCCGGGUGCCCACCAUGAAAAUUUUACUUGAUCAACAAAAGGCCAUAGAGCAACUCGCCAAACUGUCUCACUACGACGAAAAUGUUCUUACGUAAGUCUCUUCUACCUUCCGUACUGCCUACAUACAUUAGCGCAGACUAGCUAGCUUUGCAAAUCCUGAAACAACAGUAGGCAGUUCACUGAAACAUCUUAACAAAAUACAGGUAUUCAGAGGGCAAACAAGUUCUUCAAGUUUAGGAAAUGGGCAUAUGGCGACCCUUGAACAUGUCCUGACUGAAUCCAAGGCAACAACAACUAUCAGUACACGAAAAGCAGCAACCGCAUGGACCAUGGACAUAAAGACUGAACAACGAAGUACAACAUAGACUAGCUGAACUGAACACCUCCAGCUCGAAAAGGAACCCUGCAUAAACAGCAAAGGACAUAGUGAGCAUGGGGAAACGGGAAGAAAUGCAGGGAAUAUUAAAAUUCUGCUGGUUGGUCUAUCUAUCAGAGGAUGUGCUAUAAACAAGUUGGAACGGUCAGUUGGUUGAUCUAGAUAUUUGAUAGGCAUCAUCUUGGGUAGCACUUGCAUGAAACAACUUGUCGUCACUGUCACAUUACAGGAAAAAUAAUGUACACUUAAGUUCUCUACCUUCAGAACUCCCUACAUUAGCACAGACUAGCUAGCUUUGCUAAUAAGGCAUACAGUUCAGGAACUUAAUACUUUCUGUUGUAGUGCUAACUGCCAAGCUUCCUGCCCUUGCUCAUUGCCACCAUUGGAAUGCUGCUGCCUGUAGCUACAAAGCACUUGUUGCAGCUCUAGCUGUUUCCACAGUGUUGCUGUUGGGUGUCAUUUGCACCUAUUGUGAUGAUAAGCAGCAUCAAUGGCGCCAUUUAAGGCAAUGUUCUGGGGCCAGUUAUUGGGCCGUGUUAUGGUGGGCUGGAAGGAUGUAAAAAGUUGUGCACAAGGAUAUACCAUGCUAUUCUGCUUGGGUCUAAGCUUAUGAUUUUUAUCCAAGCAUGUUAUGUAUAGGUCGACUACUGAAAGAUAAUAAUCAUGAAGAAUGAUAACAAAUGCUUACAGGCGAGCAGAAGAUCUAUUCUACAUCGAUCCGCUCAGUGGGUACUCCAUGGUUACAUAGGAUGUUUAAAAUAUGGUUAACUACUUCCUAUGCAUAUUUCAAACAAUAAACAUAUAUGAUGAUUAUUUCAUAUCUGAGCAAACUACCAUCCUAUGCAUAGGAUAAAUAUUCAUAUGUGUCACCAUACUUCCUAUGCUAAUUACAAACGAACAAACUACUUCCUAUGCAUUACUUCAUAUGUGUUCAUCUAAAUAAUCUUUGAUAGGUACUAGAAAGCUUUAUAAAAAAAUUGACAUUGGUUUGACAAAUAUUUGCCAUGUACUUGAAUGAAAAUCUACCAUGUGAAAAGAAGGUGUUUUAUCACCUUUAUAUACAUGAUUAUUAAUUCAUAUGUACAUACAAAUUCCUAUGCAUGUGAUUUACAAUACAAAUCAACAACAAUAAUGUUUCCCAAUGUUCACAACUAAUCUACAUAGGCUAAAUCAACACACAUCCAUUCUAUUUCCCAUAGAAAUUUCAAAUAAAUCAUAAGCUAGGGUUUCACCACAAAAAUGAAGAAUGGGGAAGGUUUUUCGGAUAGAAAGAAGGGGGUCAGAGGAGAAUGCCUUCUAGGAUGGAUUGGGCAACAAAUCCAUGGACGAAAUCUUCAAAUCGGAAGGAAUUGGGAGAGAGGAUUGAGAGGGGGAGAGGAGAGAGCGGCCGCCGCUGCCGCUCUCUGUUUCAUCCCUUGGACGAAUGGGUGGGUGGGAUGGGGAAGGCCCGAUGCGCUGUAGUUACUAAGGGCGUGUUCGGUAGUUGCCCACAGCCACAAAAUCCUCUACUCCAGCGCCCGACUCCACCAGCCAGCUUCCCAUGUAAACUCCUGGAGCUAGCGAUCUGUUCGGUGCGGCAGCUCCUGGGAGCCAGCGAUCGGCCAGGCCAAAAGGCCAGAAACGGCGUAUUCAGCCCGUUUUGGUUGGCCAGGCCUGGGCAGUAGUGGGCUGCUGUGUAUGAAUUUUUUUCUUUACAUUGUGUACAAGAAUGGUAGGUGUCCGUGUCAAAACCGGCAGAUCUCGGGUAGGGGGUCCCGAUCUGUGCGUCAAGGCUGAUGGUAACAGGAAGCAAGGGACACAGAUGUUUACCCAGGUUCGGGCCCUCUCGAUGGAGGUAAAACCACGAGAUCUACCACGAGAUCGUGGAGGCUAAACCCUAAGAGCUAGCCUAUGAUGGUAUGAUUGUAAUUGUGAUCGGCCUUCUAAGGACCAACCUCUCUGGUUUAUAUAGACACCGGAGAGGGCUAGGGUUUACAUGGAGUCGGUUACAAGGAAGGAAAUAUAAUAUCCGGACCGCCAAGCUUGCCUUCCACGCCAAGGAAAGUCCCAUCCGGACACGGGUCGAAGUCUUGAGUCUUGUAUCUUCACGCAUCAAUAGUCCGGACGUUGUACACAGUCCGGCUGUCCGGAUACCCCCUAAUCCAGGACUCCCUCAGUAGCCCCUGAACCAGGCUUCAAUGACGAUGAGUCCGGCGCGCAGUAUUGUCUUCGGCAUUGCAAGGCGGGAUCCUUCUUCGAAUACUCCAAAAUACCUGUUACGACGAAUAGUGUCUGGCCUCCAAUCAAUGUAGUGCUCCUCGGCUUCAGUGCUUCAGUAAUGACCAUCUCCACGUGCCGAGGGAAUGCGAGGAGUCAAGGCAUUUUUGCGUUUGCCACCCCCGACCCUCCGGGCUAACCGUCUAUUUGAAGGGACGGGGAUUCUCAGAUCCAAACCUCAUUCUCCCUCCCAGGGCUAGCAUCCAACAGAGCGCUCCGCGAAAAGCCAUUCCAGCAUGGCCGACCGUCGCAACUCUUCUGCUCGCCCUUCUCGUUUCAAGUCGGGGGAUUGGGGAGAGUGCUCAGUUCCUCAUGGCCGUUUGAUAGAGUUACAAACCCAAGGGUUCCUCCCACCGGCGUUCAUGGUCUCCGUCCGGGCUGGAAUAGCCACUUAUGACGGAAGGGAACAAGCAGAGGGAUCUCCUAAUCCAUCUCUAGAGGAGCGUGUAUGCCUCAUCCCACAUCUGUUGAGGGGGGUCGGGUUUCCUAUCCAUCCAUUUCUUCGCGGGCUCUUGGAGUUCUACGGCCUCCAGUUACACCAUUUUACCCCGGCCUCUAUUCUGCACAUAGCGGGGUAUGUCGCCCUUUGCGAGCUGUUUUUAGGCUGCGAACCACACUUCGGAUUAUGGAGGAAGCUGUUCUGCCUCGUCCCCUGCACCCAGGGGGAGUCCCUAUGUCAAGUGGGCGGGGCCGAAGUAUGGUGCAUUGCCGAGACCGGAUACUUGUCUGGCACUCCGGAGAAGGCACCGGAAAACUGGCCUUCAGAGUGGUUCUAUAUAGACGAGGUUCCCCUUCCGGAUCCAGUCCGGAUAGGUCUCCCCAAGUUCAGCAAUGCCCCACCGAGGGCGCGCCUCAGCUGGCGCCCCCGAGGCCCUCAAGAAGAGGACACAAGGGAAAUACUCCUCCUGAUGAACAGGAUAAAGUUACUUGCCAAAUCCGGACUGACGAUAGUUGGGGUUAUGGCGAUAUGCAUAAGGCGAGGCGUGCAACUGCUCCAAUAUCGAGGGAAGCCCAUGUGGCAUUUCAACGGGGAAGACGACGCCUCCUGCUGCGGUCGUAAGGGUCCGGACUCCGCUACCGCCUUGGCAAGGAUAUUGUCCGAUUUGUACAAAGGGGAAGAGGAGGAAUUCCUUUGCAUCAAAACGCGCGAUGGAUUCUCCAUGUACAAUCCCCCAGAGUGGGUAAGUUGCCAUCCUCUUUCCCUGCUUUAGUUACUCCAGCGCUCUUCUGCUAAGAUUACUUGCAUAAAUGCUUCUGAGCAGGAACUGAGGAGGGCCGUAGAAGGAAUCUUCAGCCCCUCCCCGCAACCAGAGGACCCUGGAAGGGCCCUAGAUCCAGGACUUAAAGUGGAUCCGGAUAUCACCGUGGAGCUUGUCAACGGGGUAUUCUAUCAGGCGAGCUGGGAUGGCGCCCUAGUGGCCAUUACGGCCGACUACCCUGGAUUGCUCCCCGCGUCGCGUGUAAGCCGAACUAAAAACCCUGUCCUUCGAAGAGGACUCCUCCCAGGUAUUAUAAUUUACCCAUGAGGCGUCGUUCUAUUUGCAGAAACGACGGCCGGAGCAAGGGGCCGAGCCCAUAGGGACUCGUCAACAAUGGGCGUCCGGAUCGGGCAGGCUCAAGAGGAAGGUGGUGAGGGUUAACACGCCGCUACAGAGGUAAAGUAGUAAUCUGUCCUGUAAUUACAGAAUUUGAAAUCUGACAGCGCCCUUCGUGUCUGGCAGGAAGAGGAAUAACCGGACUGUAUCCGGAGACCCCACCAAUCACGCCUCUACCAGCCGGGUUCCAGAACCGGCUUUGGGGGCGGAGGCGGACACAGGGCGAGCACCGCGUAGUCCCCCGACAGAGGACGCGGAUAUGUGUUCGGCCACGAACUCCAAAGUGGAGAGUGCCAUGAACCACCGGCAUCGGAAGGCCGUGCUCCGGAACAACAUCUUUUCUGAAGAGGCUUUCAAUGCCUUCAAUUGGGCGGACGCAUACGUCCGAGCUGCUCGGGGCGGGCUUGCCCAAGCGACAAACCAGUAUACCAAAGACAUACGGGUAAGAAAUUUUGAUAAGUAUGUAUAGUAGUAGCCCUUGAGACUUGAAACCGUUGGAACAACAGUUUUAAGGAUCAAUCUAUGCACAGGUUUUUGUAGAGAAGAACGAGCAAUUGUCUCGGGAGCUGGAGGGAUGCAAGGCUGAACUGAGGGCCGCGGUUGCCAAAUUAGAGGAACCCCGAAAGCCCUCAUCUGGUAACAAUUGUCGUAAUUGCAUGAAGAUGCACCAGUUAGUAAAUGGCUGAUGUGACCAGUCUAAUAGAAAAUUUUGCAGACAAUUAUGGGGUGAAUCCGGAGGGCAUAAGAGAGGACGCAUCAUAGCUCAAAAAGUAGCUGGUGGCUGGUGAGCGCAUUCUUACGCGGGUUAGGCGGGAGAAGAAUGAUCUUCAAGAUGCCAAAGUCCAGCUGGACGUGGAGUUAAAAGAUCUCCGCACUCAGUUGGCGGACUCCGUGAAGGAGAACAAGAUCCUUCGGCGCGGGAUUUACGGUAAGUGCCUAGACGAACUAUAGUAUAGUUCGGCGAGGAAGUGUAUUGAAAGAAAUUUGCUUGCAGGAAUGUUAACGGGUAGCCCUGAGGAGGAGAUGCCCGUAUCUGCGGGUGAUUUACUGCAAGACCUUUCGCAACUGCACGAGCGAGCUUGGCAAGUUAUGCAGGGUAUUGCUCAGGCUUUAUGGCCAUCAAGCUUGCUACCAAAUGGCAUGGCGGAGCUUGUGAACAUGCUUCAAGGAGCACGGCGGCGCUUCCGACUCUGGAAGGUGUCUGCUUGCCGGCAAGGCGCAAGAGAAGCAUGGGCUAUGGUGAAGAUGCGCUACACCAAGCUGGACCCGAACCAUAUGGCCGAAGUUAGACCGGCAGGGCCCGAUGGGCAAAAAAAUUCCCGUGAGUCUAGUGUAUGACCAGGUAGCGUUAGCCGCUAAGUAUUCUCAAUAGGAUUGUAAGCUAGAUAGCCUGUUGGACGGUAUAGAGGAGGAAUAUAGUCAGUCAAAGUGACUGUGUAAUUUAAUGGGCAUGAUUAGCCCCUAGCCGGAUUAAAAUCAUUUGUCUUGGCGGACCUUUUCGCUUCAGCCCCCGUAUCCUAUAGUCCGGGGUGUGUCCGAAUACCCACUCAGUUAUACAAAAACGGGGUAUGCGUGGAAACAAGGCAUAGGGGUCAUGAGUGCUUGAACAGACAAGUACCCAACUAGUUAUGUUAUAUUACAUGGAUAGUAAGAAACAUCUUCCAGGGAGAAUAGUUCCGUUAGGGGUUCCUUUCCCUGGGUACGCACGAGACGACGCGUGUGCCCGGACUGCGUACGAUGGCGCAGGAUACAAGACUUCUGGGGAUUUACGUUGUAAUAAACGAACACAUCUUUUGUUCACCGACCGAAUAUUCUCUGAAGGAAGCUAGCUUUCGGCUUCACCGAGUCUGAGGUACACAUCCGGCUGAACCGGCAGUAACAAUCGCAGAGGUGCUCCCCUUAUGCCCUAGCCGAAUUAACGGGAAUGUAGGGCAUAAACACAAGAGCCAGGCAACCCAGCUUGGCAACAUCUUAAGUCAUAUCGAUGCAUAUAAUGGUGAACAAAAGGCACAUAUGGAAAAAGAAUGCAUAUGUGAUGGGCAGAACGCCAUGUGAGUAAUUAUUUUUAGCUUCCGUGUAGGAAGCCCCCAGGUAUUGCUUACACACCUAGUGCGGCCAGGGUGAUCCAGGAAUUGGCACUGGAUUGAAUACUUUGUGUGAAGAGAAAAAGGGUCGAAAAAGGGAAUAGGGAUGGAGCAUAAUUAAAAGGGAGGGGCUAGGAGACGAACAUUGAGUUCGGCCUUAGGCAUAGAAUCUCCGGAGUCUAGCCGCGUUCCAUGGGUUCGGCUCGAGUCUGUCAUCGGAUGCAUUACGUAAGCGGUACGCUCCUCCGGUGAGAACUUUAUCAAUGAUGAAGGGACCCUCCCACUUGGGUUUGAGCUUGUCCUUCUUCUUCUCCGGUAGGCGUAGAACGAGUUCGCCAAUAUUGUAAGUUUUGGCCCGCACUUCUCUGCUUUGAUAUCGUCGAGCCUGCUGCUGAUAGAAUGCGGAACGGGCUUUUGCGACAUCGCGCUCCUCCUCCAGGGCAUCCAAGUUAUCCUGCCGAUCUAACUCGGCUUCCUUCUCUUCGUACAUGCGUACACGCGGCGAAUCAUGUAUUAUGUCGCAGGGUAGUACUGCUUCCGCACCGUAUACCAUAAAAACUGGUGUAUAUCCAGUGGUGCGAUUCGGUGUGGUCCGCAGCCCCCAGAGUAUGGAGUCAAGCUCCUCCACCCAGUGCGUAUCCGAUUUUGUUAAAGACCGCACUAGUCUGGGUUUGAUGCCGCUCAUGAUGAGACCGUUUGCCCGUUCGACCUGACGUUUGUUUGGGGGUGGUAGACGGAAGCAUAGUCGAGCUUAAUGCCCAUUUUGAAGCACCAAGUUUUCACUUCAUCGGCUAUGAAAUUCGAGCCGUUAUCAGUGAUGAUGCUAUGGGGGACACCGUAUCGGUGUACGACCCCGGAUAUGAAGUCGAUUACUGGUCCGGAUUCGGCCAUUUUAACUGGCUUGGCUUCUAUCCAUUUGGUGAACUUGUCCACCAUGACCAAUAAGUAUUUUUUCUUAUGGCUUCCCCUUUUGAGGGGUCCAACCAUAUCCAGCCCCCAGACCACGAACGGCCAAGUUACGGGGAUUGUUUGGAGAGCGGUAGGGGGCAUAUGACUCUGAUUGGCAAAGAGGUGGCAACCGACGCGAUGUUGGACAAGGUCCUGUGCGUCUGCUCGGGCCGUCGGCCAAUAGAAGCUUGUGCGGAAGGCUUUGCUAACCAGCACUCGAGCCACGACGUGGUGUCCGCCCAGUCCGGCAUGGAUUUCGGCCAAGAGUUGCCGCCCCUCCUCUUCGGAGAUGCACCUUUGGAGCACUCCAGUCGCGCUUUUCUUAUAGAGUUAGAACGCCGGACUAUGCAGCGUGCUUCAUUUUGGUCUUCGGGUAGCUCCUGCCUAUUUAGAUAGGCCAAGAAAGGCUCGGUCCACGGGGCAAUAACGGCCAUGAUUUCGUGGGCUGAGGGCGUUAUUUCGGUGGCAGAGCCUCCGAUUGUGUCUGAUGGUCCGAGCUGGUAUUGCCGGACUCCCCUUCCCAUACUACGGAUGGCUUGAACAGCCUUUCCAGGAAUAUGUUAGGUGGGACAGGGUCGCGUUUGGCGCCGAUGCGGGCGAGAACAUCCGCCGCUUGAUUAUUUUCUUGAGCCACAUGGUUGAUCUCGAGCCCCUCAGACCGCGCUGACAUUUUUAGGACGGCGUUACGGUAGGCCGCCAUUUCCGGAUCCUUGGCACCGAAGUCUCCGUUUAUUUGUGAGAUUGCGAGGUUCGAAUCCCGUCGCACUUCCAGGCGUUGAAUGCCCAUAGAGACUGCCAUCCGAAGACCAUGCAACAGAGCCUCGUAUUCGGCUGCAUUGUUGGAGUCUGUGUAUAAUAUCUGGAGGACAUACUGGACCGUGUCUCCGGUGGGGGAUGUCAAGACUACACCUGCUCCCAAUCGGGCUAGCAUUUUAGAGCCGUCAAAGUGCAUGAUCCAGUUGGAGUAUGCGCCGUACUCUUUAGUUCGGCUUCCGUCCAUUCGGUGACAAAGUUGGCCAGUACUUGCGACUUGAUGGCCCGCCGUGGUUUGUACAUUAUGUCGAACGGGAGGAGCUCGAUGGCCCAUUUAGCAAUCCGGCCCGUAGCGUCGCGGUUGUUUAUUAUGUCGUUGAGUGGUACUUCAGAAGGUACUGUGAUCGAACACUCUUGAAAUUAGUGUCGCGGCUUCCGGGAUGCCAUGAAGACCGCGUAUGCUAUUUUUUGAUAGUGUGGGUAUCGGGAUUUGCAUGGGGUGAGGACUGUGGAUACGUAAUAGACCGGCUUUUGGAGCGGGAAUUUGUAUCCGUCAACCUCUCGUUCGACGACGAGUACUGCGCUUACAACUUGAUGUCUUGCCGCUAUGUAUAAUAGCAUAGGCUCGCCGGUGUUCGGCGCUGUUAGGACUGGAUUACUGGCCAGUAAGGUCUUUAUUUCAUCGAGUCCGGCCGCGGCUACAUCCGUCCAUGCGAAGUGUUCGGUGCGCCGCAGGAGGCGGUAAAGAGGCAAUGCCUUUUCUCCUAGCCUGGAGAUAAAGCGGCUCAAAGCGGCCACACACCCGGCUAGCUUCUGGAUGUUUGAGGUCUGUUGGUAUAGCCAACUAAGACAAAGCUCGGAUUUUUGCCGGGUUCGCUUCAAUUCCUGUAUUGGAAACAAUGAAGCCCAGCAGUUUCCCCGAUGGGACGCCGAAGACGCAUUUUUCCGGAUUCAACUAAAUGUCGUAUGUCCGGAGGUUUUGGAAUGUGAGCCUCAAGUCAUUUAUCAGGGUGUCGACGUGUCUAGUUUUUAUGACCACGUCGUCCACAUAUGCUUCCACUGUUUUGCCGAUUUGUUUGUCCAGGCAUGUUUGAAUCAUGCGUUGAUAGGUUGCUCUGGCAUUCUUGAGCCCGAAGGGAAUAGUGUUGAAGCAAAAAGGGCCAUAUGGCGUUAUAAAAUCUGUUGCAGCUUGGUCAGACUCCGCCAUCUUUAUUUGAUGGUAUCCAGAGUACGCGUCGAGAAAACACAGCGAGUCGUGUCCAGCUGUGGCAUCGAUGAUUUGGUCGAUGCGAGGGAGGGGAAAGGGAUCCUUGGGUCAAGCCUUGUUGAGGUCUUUGAAGUCGACGCAUAGGCGCCAGGAUUUGUCCUUCUUUGGUACCAUCACCAAAUUUGCCAGCCAAUCCGGAUGUUUAAUAUCUCUGAUGAAUCCGGCCUCGAGUAGCUUGGCUAACUCUUCCCCCAUUGCCUGUCAUUUGGGCUCUGAGAAUCGCCUUAGGGUCUGCUUGACUGGUUUAUAUCCUUUUAGGAUGUUGAGGCUGUGUUCGGCCAGUCUGCGUGGGAUGCCUAGCAUGUCCGAUUGGUGCCAGGCGAAAAUGUCCCAAUUCUCGCGCAAGAAAUCUCGUAGUGCGGCGUCAAUAGCGGGGCUCAACUGUGUCCUGAUAGAAGCUGUCUUCGUGGGGUCCGUUGGAUGGACCUGGAAUUUGACUAUCUUGUCCGCGGGUUUAAAUGAGGUGGACAUGGAUCGCUUGUCUAGUAUCACGUCGUCCCUGUCCAUGGUGGCCCGCAGUGUUGCUAAUUCUUCGGCUGCUAGGGCUUCAGAUAAUGCUUCCAAUGCUAGGGCUGCGGUUUUAUUUUCGGCGCGGAGUGCAACGUCCGGAUCACUAGCUAGAGUGAUGAUUCCAUUGGGUCCGGGCAAUUUAAGCUUCAUGUACCCAUAAUGGGGUACAACUUGAAAGCUUGAAAUGCGUCCCGCCCUAGAAGGGUGUGGUAUCCGCUGCUAAAAGGAGCCACCUGGAAUGUGAUUUAUUCGGACCUAUAAUUCUCCAGGGUGCCGAAUACCACAUCGAGUGUGAUUUUUUCCGUGCACCACGCUUCCCGAGUAGGGAUAAUUCCCCUGAAGGUCGUGCCUCUUUGUUCAAUGCGGCCUUUAUCAAUCUCCAUCUUGCUAAGUGUUUCUUCAUAAAUCAGAUUUAAUCCGCUUCCGCCGUCCAUGAGUACUUUCGUGAGCCGAAAGCCAUCUACGAUCGGACUAAGGACCAGUGCGGCUGGAGCCCGGACAGCCCAGAGUCGAGGUUCAUCACUGGCAUUAAAAGUUAUAGCAGUGUCGUUCCAAGGGUUUAUUUUUGCCACUUGGUAAAUUUCAGCGGAGCUUCGACGAGCUCGCUUGCGCCUAUUGUUCGAGGCGAAAGUCUCGAAGACUGUUAGUACCGUAUUGUGUUCGCUGGCAGGAGGUUGUUCCACUUUAUGGCCCACAAGAAGAUCCUCGACACUUUUUGCCACCUGCCGGAGUAUCCAACAUGCCUUGAGGCUAUGAGUAGGUGUUGUAUCCGGAGUACUGUGGAGCUUACAUGGCCCGUCGAUCCAUUCUUCCAAUACGGAUCCCCGCCCUGGGGUGGGCUUUGGUUUCUUGGGGGUUGGGUCGGACGACUUACGAGAGUUCGCCCGUUUAGUUCGGACAGAGGUUUCGGUGAGAGCGGUACUAUCCCAAAAUUUUGUUUGGGUCUUCUAAGUGCUCUCCAUCGCACAGUACUUCCGUACUAUGGUUGCCAAGUCCGCGAAGCGUACUAUGUCGCGGCGGCUUAUAGCAUUGAGGAGUCCCUCGUCCGUGCAGUUUUUGCAGAAAAGUGAGACCAAGUUCUCUUCGCGGCAGCCCCUGACCUUGUUAAGCGCAAGGAGGAAUCUGGCCCAGUAGUGAUGUACGGUUCCUGGGGCUCUUGCCUGAUGCGGGAGAGACAAUUUAGGUCUAGUUUAGGGUCCGGAUUUCGAUCCGAUCUAACGCCCGAAGGCGCGGGCGGUCCUGAGCUCAACAGCCCAAAAUCCGGAGUGCCCGAUUUUUUUGGCCCAACGCCCGAUUCUAAGUCCGGGGCCUGGGUCAGGUUUUCCUUUGAGCGGGUCUUUGGCACAAGGAGUUCGGUGAUCCGAACAUGACUCGUCCUCAAAGUUGAGGGGCAAUUCACGUGUGGUUCCUCCACUAUCGCUAUCUCAUGGGUGGCCGGCGGGGACCUGAUGUCCCUUUGGUCGGGUUUAAGCCCGACCCGGUCGUAGUCUGUAGCGACUCCCCGAGCGGCGAUGCGAUCCAAGAGUUUGUUAAGGGAGGAGAGCUCCAUUGGAUCCAUCUGUUCGGCAAGUUCUGAACUGACGCGAAGGUUAUGAUUGAUGACCGAGAAGUCAUCAUCGGCGCCAUCGCCGAUGGGGAGGUCAUGAUGAAACCACCGAGCCGGAGCGUCUGGCCUACAGCCAGAGCCCCCUCCGAGGUAAUGUCGUUCUUGACAAUGAGAUGAGCCAUCAAGCCUUGUGGCGACGUCACAGAGGAACUCUCAAUGAAAGCACCAAUGUCGGUGUCAAAACCGGCGGAUCUCGGGUAGGAGGUCCCGAUCUGUGCGUCAAGGCUGAUGGUAACAGGAAGCAAGGGACACAGAUGUUUACCCAGGUUCGGGCCCUCUUGAUAGAGGUAAAACCCUACUUCCUGCUUGAUUAAUAUUGAUGAUAUGGGUAGUACAAGAGUAGAUCUACCACGAGAUCGUGGAGACUAAACCCUAAGAGCUAGCCUAUGAUGGUAUGAUUGUAAUUGUGAUCGUCCUUCUAAGGACCAACCUCUCCGGUUUAUAUAGACACCAGAGAGGGCUAGGGUUUACAUGGAGUCGGUUAUAAGGAAGGAAAUAUAAUGUCCGGAUCGCCAAGCUUGCCUUCCACGCCAAGGAAAGUCCCAUCCGGACACGGGUCAAAGUCUUGAGUCUUGUAUCAUCACGCACCAAUAGUCCGGACGUUGUACACAGUCUGGCUGUCCGGAUACCCCCUAAUCCAGGACUCCCUCAGUUGGCAUGUUCGUUGGUGAUGUGUAUUGUCCCUUUUCUUUGUACUGUUCCAAUUUCGCUAUAUACAGAAGCAGUUUCAGCAUGCAUAGAGAGCAAGGUAACAAAAAGUAGUACUUUUUUUGCUAGUAGCAAUUUUCCUAGUAAUAGAGGCUAAACCGAGAGCAAGUACAAAGAGAGAAAAUCCAUAUUUUAAACACAGAAUGCAUUUGCAAAUUUUGAAACAACGCAUACCAUGGCAUGAGCAUCAGGUUGCACACAUGUUUCAUAGUACUUAAGCCUCACAUUUUGCAUAGGUUUGCAAAUCAAAAGGGGCACAUACAUUUCUCUAACAUGAAAUGAGACGAAUGAAUGUUAGAAUUGGCAUACUUGUCUACGAAAAAUAAAGAGACGAAUGAAUGUUAGAAUUGGCAUACAUGAAAUGAGUUCUAACAUUCUGACUCAUGGGGGAAGGGGGCCUAGUCUGCAUGCUCACCCUUUGGAGGAUGGGGGAAGGUGGCCUUGUCCGCAUGCAUUGCAUGAAAUAGCACACUUGUGUCAUGCAUAGAACUAGGUUGUCCAAUUGAAGCAUAAGUGAAAUGCAUAUCAACGUCACAUAUUGCCAUCACAUGCUGAGUGACUGCGCCUGUCCUUCCAAUAUAUCGGAUUUGCUUGUCUUCUGGAAUCGAAGCUCUAAUGUGAGUCCCAUCUAUUGCACCAAUGCAGUCUUUCAUGAUGCGCAGUGUGAAAAUUGGGGUCUUUCGGCUUGAGGUAGUGAGAAGAUAUCCAAUCCGGUUCUCACUUUGAAUUGGAAUGCCACUUCGUCGAAUGCACUAGGGGUCAAGAUUUUGUUUGGCAUAUUUCCAGCCCGCACUUGCGUGACCAUCAAGUUGGUAACGAUCCUAGUGUUCUCUUCAUCCCACUCGGCAGUCAUGCUCGAAGACAUGCUCUGAACUUGACUAUAAAAAAUAUGUGAGUGCUUAACUAUAAAAAAACAUGUACAAGUGUUGUUGCUAUCAUUAUGUACUAGCAGGAAAAUGCAAUGAAGAUAUAUAGCAGCAGAACAGGCACUCGUCAAUCAACUUGUAGCAAUACUGCAAUAGCAAUAUUCAUGUCUUUUCUAAACAUAUAGGAGCAGAGCAUGUACUGAACAUAUAGCAGCAUAGCGUAUACUGAACAUAUACAUAUCUUUUCUGAACAUAUAGCACCAGAGCAUAUAGCAGCAGAGCAUGUACUGAACAUCUACAUCUCUUUUAUGAACAUAUAGCAGCAGAGCAUAUAGCAGCAAAGCAUGUUCUGCAUCUCUUUUCUGAACAUAUAGCAGCAGAGCAUAUAUCAACAUAGCAUGAACAUGUGCAUGGAGAGGUAUUUGGGCAGCAAAGAGGGCAUCACCUUCGAAAAAUCGGAAGAGGUGGUCGGGGAGGCAGAGAAUCGACACAGCCACGGGGUUCUUCGGCGGAAGACAAUGAGAAGGACGGGGAUGACUUUUCGGGGACGGAGGAGCCGGUCAGUGACGGAGGCACACGAUGGCGGGGAUGGGUGGUCGGGGACAGAGGAGACAGUCCGCGACAGCGGCGGAUGAGAGCGAGCAGGGCGGGGAUGGCUUCACAGCAUGGACGAGCGGCGGCCGCUGGCGCUGAAGGUGCAGUCCACCAUGGCUAGGGUUGUGGGAAGGGGAAAGAGGAGUUGUGCGUCUUGUGGAGUGGCCUUGAGGGAACGGUCAAUCGAUCACUUGGUGGUGGCACUCUUCUGUAAUUCUUUAUGAAUCCAGCUUCUCAAUUUCCUUGGAGCCAGGUUUUUCCACCUCAGCGACUCCGUCUAAUUUGUACAUAGGUUCGAGUCAGCUUCUUGGUCCAAUAACCAGGAGUGGAACCGUUCGGCUGGAAUCCACGUCUGGAUUCGAGGAUUUCAGAAGCGAGAGAGUUCCCGAACACGCCCUAAGUCGAAGUGCGGUGCCUUAGCGUUAGGCGCUACACUUCGUAGCAUAGCGCAUGUCGGCUAGGCACUGCACCACCAGCUGCGGGGCCAGACAAACUUGGUAACUCGACCAGGCGCUGCACGACCAGGUGCAACGCCUUAGUGCUAGGUGCUACACUUCGGAGCAUAGCGCCUGUCAGCUAGGCGAUGCACGACCAGGUGCGGGCUUGGGCAAACUUCGUAGGUGCGAGCACGACCAGGUGCGAGGGCAACACAUAUGGCCGGUGAGACUCAGGAGGGCUAAAAACUUCAGCCAGUUGUGGCAUGGCACGCAUGCAAUUUGGCAUCAACCUCUGCUGAUCAAACUUACAUCAGGCUACGAACAACAGUAAAAACAAUGAGGGGAAAUCAACUUUGUCCUUGAUGGGCGAAUGGAUGCAUUCUAUCCACUGUCAGUUGGAGAUUCUAGUAAAAUGGAAUCUACCGACUGGAACAUACAACAGAAAUAAACUGCAUUUCCACAACAUGAGAACAAGAUCUUUCAAAAUAAACAACAUGAGAACAACUAGAUCUGGCUGAACGAUUUCUCCAAUUAUGAGUAAUUUUCGAUCUGAUGUUUUUGUUCAAUCGUGUCAAACAUCAGCUGCCAGUACCGUAAUAACCCCUGCCCUUAUGUAUCUGCAGAUAUCAAAUUUGAGAUGCAAAUUCAGAGGCAGUAUCUGAAGAGACCUCUAUUUCUAAUACUCCUUCCGCUCCUUUAUAUCAGGUGUAUAUUUUUUGGCAUGGUGACCAAGGCAUGGUAUUAUAGUUUCUGCAUAUACAUACCUUAUAUAAAGGAACGGAAGGAGUAUUAAAAAUAGAGGUCUAUCUGCAGAUACAUAAGGCCACAGUGAUCAAGGCAGAGACCGACAAGGACCAGAACAAAGACAACAAGAAUCUGAGGUGAAAUUCAGGCAUACCCCGAACAUUCAAGCACCAACAUGACUUUCUUCGAACCGAAAUGACCACAAUCCUUACAUGGUCAGAACACAGUCGAGACCUAAAUACAAGAGAGCACCACCGUUAUAUCGAACAAGGCAGCAGCCUAGUAUGAGGUGAACUUAGUGACUUCAUUGAUGCCAUCGGAGACGGCACGCUUGCAGCUCGAUGGGGAGGACCAGGGGGAAAGAGUUCUGAAUCUCGCGGGCUUCUUGUUGUAGCAUGGGAGCUUGACAGGCUCACCAACGAGUUCACGAGUUACAAUGUCAACCCAUGCAUGGCCAGAUUGCAAUGGUCCUACGGAGGGAACUAGACAAAUAUCCAAGUCCAGUGUUAUCCAUGAAUAACAUCUAUCUUGACUAUUCCCCGAGAAAAAAUCUAUCUCAACUAGAGUGUCUUGUGAUGAUGACCCACCAAUGCCAGUAUACACACCAAGACUAUUCUCUUAAUAGACAGGAAAACAAGUGCAUUAGCACACAUGCAUGGACACCCACGAUUUAUGGGUGGUGAAAUCAAACAAGAAACACAUGCACAAAAACUAUAAUUCUACUAACCACACAAUUCAGUUAUAUAUUUGUGAUCUAACGACAACAGGCGGACAGUGUAAAGUGGCUUGGGAUCUGGUGUGUGCACCGUUCGCUCAUGGGGGUCUAGGAUUCUACAACCUCCACAUGAACCUUUGUCUUCUUGUAAAACACCUCUCUAAACUUCAUGACUCUGGAACCACCGAGCCUACUAGCUACUUCAUCUCACACUAUGGGUGGACUCCUGCGCGGGACUUGGGUAAUUGCAGCUCCAGGAUUACUCCAGUAUGGCGCGAUAUUUUCAAAGGUUUGGACUUCUUCCGCUUGAUUACUAGAGUCUCUGUUGGAAACGGCUCUACCACAUCCUUCUGGUAUGACCUGUGUCUACCCAAUGAAAACAUCCCCCUCUCCCAACAAUUCAUGGCUCUGUUCUCCCACUCCAAUCGGCCGAUGGCCUCGGUCGCGUGGGUGCUGGAUUUUCCCCAGCUCAACCUUGACCUUACACCCCGGCUCUCGUAUGCAGCAGAGAACGAACUAGCUAACAUGCGCGCUAUUUUGGCAGCGAUAAACUUGAAUAUGCAGGUGACCGACGUGAGGACUAACAGGUGGGAUGGUAAGCCUCUAACAAACCGCAGGGCCUACAUGGUGCUUUGGUCGGCAGCCCCGGCUGACUCUCUUGCUACACUGAGGGAGUCCUGGAUUAGGGGGUAUCCAGACAGCCGGACUAUAUACAUCGUCCGGACUAUUGAAGCGUGAAGAUACAAGACUCAAGACUUCGACCCGUGUCUGGAUGGGACUUUCCUUGGCGUGGAAGGCAAGCUUGGCGAUCCGGAUAUUAUAUUUCCUUCCUUGUAACCGACUCCACGUAAACCCUAGCCCUCUCCGGUGCCUAUAUAAACCAGAAAGGUUGGUCCUUAGAAGGCCGAUCACAAUUACAAUCAUACCAUCAUAGGCUAGCUUAUAGUGUUUAGCCUCUGCGAUCUCGUGGUAGAUCUACUCUUGUACUACCCAUAUCUUCAAUAUUAAUCAAGUAGGAAGUAGGGUUUUACCUCCAUCUAGAGGGCCAGAACCUGGGUAAACAUCUGUGUCCCUUGCUUCCUGUUACCAUCAGCCUAAGACGCACAGAUUGGGACCCCCUACCCAAGAUCCGCUGGUUUUGACACCGACAUUGGUGCUUUCAUUGAGAGUUCCUCUGUGUCGUUGCUACAGGGCUCGAUGGAUCCUCCAGUCAUCGUCAACAACACGAUCCCGGGUGAGACCUUUCUCCCCGGACAGAUCUUCGUGUUCGGCGGCUUCGCCCUGCGGGCCAACUCGCUUGGCCAUCUGGAGCAGAUCGACAGCUACGCCCCUGGCCACCAGAUCAGGUUCGGAAACCUGAACUACACGGUGGACAUUCUCGGAGACUUGAUCUUCGACGGAUUCGGGCCUAUGCCAGGAGCGCCGGACAGUCACGACGAGCACGGCUUAGACCUGCUGUCGGACAAAGCUCGUGGUAUCACCCCCGCAGUAGCCCCGGACCUAAAUCCGGAGCAGGCUGCACUGCCUAAGGACGGAGGGAUGGACCCCGCCCCGCAGGUCGCACACUCAUUGGCGAUGGAGCCGAACACGGGCCUUACCUCUGUGGUGGCCUGUGACUCCAGACCCCCGGAUUCGUAUCCGGACGCCGGUUCCAAUCCGCGCACUCCCGAGCCAGUCGAGCCAGGUUGGGCUCUAGUAAUGGAGUUCAUCGCUGCGGAUAUCUUCCAGCACUCGCCCUUUGGCGACAUGCUGGACUCAUUAAAGUCUCUCUCUUUGUCAGGAGGCUCUUGGCCGAACUAUGUCCGGCUCGAGUGGGAAGCAGGCGAUGAAGGAAUUCGUUGCCCACCCACCACCCACUUCAUUGCCACAGUCGAUGAUUUAACCGGCGUACUGGACUUCAACUCUGAAGGCAUCGACGAUAUAGACGACGAUGCAGGAGAAGAACAUGAAGCACCGCUCACUGGGCGGUGGACCGCCGCCUAUCCCUAUGAUAUAUAUAUGGUGGACACUCCGAAAGAAACCAAUGGAGAUGAGGCAGCGGAGGUUAAUCCCUUAGGGAGAAAAGCAAAGCAUGGGCGUCGUCGACGCCGCUCCAGGCUCCGCCAUAGCAAUACAGGCCCAUAAGAUGAAAACAAUCCGGAUGGCGCCCAAGAUGAAUAUAACCCUAGUCGGCCUGCCUUUCAGAAGGCCGGACUGGCCACUGUGGGAUACUUGGAGACGGACAACUAUACGCCCCCCUCCGAGGAUGAGGCAGGCCUCGGCAAUGACGAAUUCGGCGUGCCUGAAGAUCCCGUGGAACAAUCUCGCUUCGAGCGACGGCUCAUGGCCACGGCAAAGAGCCUACAAAGGAAGCAACAGCAGCUUAAAGCUGACCAAGAUUUGCUGGUGGACAGAUGGACCAAGGUCCUGGCCACCGAAAGAUACGGACCUGACCGCCCCGACAAAGGGCACUCAGGGCACAACCGGCAUCCCCAACCUAAGCAGGAGAACCCAAGGCACAUGCCCCGACGUCAACACACCACUACGGUCCAAAACAAUACGAAGGACACAAGAAGAAGCAUCCUCAAGCCUCGGUGCAAUGGUCGUAGGCGUCAAGUCAGGAGAGCUAGUGCUAAUUCUAGCAACUCCAGUCCGGUUAGCAGACAAAGAACAGCUCAGACCUAUCCGACCCGAGCCACACACUCGAUCAACCAUGUGAAAUUCAUGGUACUCCUAGAAGGACGGCAAAGCAUACCAAUAGAGAAUGCCGGAUCCUCAAAACAAAGCGGCUGGUCAUGUGCCAGAAACAAUGAAGGGAGGCGUCUGGUCAGGAGACCCCCUCGCCCCAUAGCACAAAAGUACGGCCGAUCACCCCCGACCGCAUUAACCACAACAAUUCAAUUGCAGUACCUCUAGACAUAGCAAACCGGGGGCUCCAUAACACAUAAAGCCCCCGCAAGUGUGAAACCACAAACAACAUCUUCUAAAAGAUGCUAGGGGCAAAGGCCAAGUUUUACUGGCCCACCACUCUAACGGUUGUCUUCGGAUCACCAAAAAAUGCCACGCCAAAGAAUAAAUCUUCGGCACCUUCCCACCAUGCGGUAAUUUACCGUAUGCCAAUGAGAUGAACAACGUUGACUAGAUUCCACGUGGUAAAUCACUCAGGCCAACACCGUGUGAUGCAAUCACACCUAUGGGCAAGGCCGAACCCCGCCCUUAGAGCAGAAAUCAUACAGCUGCUGGGAUAGCGAGUCACACAUGCCUAUCAAAAUUUUGAUAUGACAGCCAACUAUCUGGACAUCAACUGAGGAGUCCGCGCUAUUUCACGAACAAGAUUGGCAGCAUGGAAUCAGUCUGGACACACAAUGGCAGGAACACGCAGUUAGAAGGCAGUUUGGAUUCACUCGUGAUCCAUCAACAACCCCUCCAGUCCGGCCAUCCCAGGUUCCGCCAAAAAACACCUCUUUUCAUAAUCAUACAUCGUACUCAUAUGUAUAGACACAUGAUCUUACUACAAAUGCGUAGACUUAAAUAACACUUAUCGGCCGUCGCUUUUCAUCGACACCUCGUGUUACGCCCGAUUAUGCUAGGGGCUUCAUAAUAUCGCAAUAAAGUCCGACCACCUUCUCGGUCGCUCGGUACCCCGAACUUAUAACGCUAUAUGCAUCAGCUCCGAAUCAUGUCUUGGGUCAUUGGUUGGGUUUGCCCGGCUCCCUUGUUUUGGUACCUUACGUUCCGUUAUAUCGGCUAAGGUAGCGCAGGGAGAACUACUGCGAUCGUGUGCCGGAUCUGCCGGACGAGCACCUCAGUAGAGAAAGCCAAAAACUGACUGUCAUGAUACAGCGAGAGCUAGUCAGCUGUUUGAGAGUUUGUAAAAUCCUUAAAGAUUUAUUCCGCACAACGCCAUUACAAAUGCAGAGUGCGACGGAUCGGUCUUCUGAUCAGGCGCCAAUAGAGCCCCUAGUUCGGCCUUCCGAACACUAGGGGCUGCACCGACCAUACUCGAAUUCCUAUGGCUAAGUGAGGGUAAUAAAGCCUUAUAGUCCGAUUGCCUGGUUCGUGGUGAGAAACCCUCCUUAAAAGGACACAACUAUGGGGUAAAGAGCGUUCAGAUAUAUCCCAAACACCCCCGUAUUCUUUUUACGUGGGGGCAGAAGCCGACGACUGGCCAACUCUCAGGAUUUACAUACAAUAAACAGCCGCACAAGAAGAACAUAUGUUCAAACAAAACAGGCAAUAUAUAAUAAAAAUGCCAUAAUUCCAUAUUACAAAAAGUGGCACGAAUGCCCUCAGGGAAAUAUAAUGUCUUUGGCACACUUAUCCGCCGCAAGGCGGGCUCCCUUCAGUACACCUUCAUAGUAAAGUUCGGGCUUGCGGUGCUCCUUACCCUCUGGCGGCCCCUCAGUCAUCAACUUCUCCGCGUCAAGCUUCCCCCAAUGCACUUUUGCAUGGGCAAACGCCAUACGCGCACCCUCUAUGCAGACCGAUUGCUUAACAGCAUCAAGCCGAGGACAGGCGCCCACAAUCCGCUUCACGAGCCCGAAGUAACUGGUCGGAAUUGGCUCCGCCGGCCACAGCCGGACAACCAAGUCCUUCAUGGCUAGUUCAGCCGCCUGGUGCAGUUCGACCAGCUGCUUCAGCUGUUCGAUAAAGGGCACUGGAUAGUUCGGUGCCAAAUACUGCAACCAGAAAUCCCUCUCUGCAGACUUCUUUUCCUCGGUUCGGCAGAAUUGGGUGGCAUCUGAUAUGCUGGGAGGAAGAUCCGCAAACGCCCCUGGAAAAAUAAGAAUUCAGCUUGCCGCUUAGAAUUCUUCCCAUUAUCAUGAACAAAUGGCUAAGAAUACAGAAGGCCUUACCAGCCGCAACUUUCCGGGCCUCUUGAAUGUCCCGUACAACACCUCGGGCUUCUUCCCGAGCAUCUUCCACGGCUUGGAGCGCUUGGGCGAGUUCGGAUUCUUUCCCUAUUAGAUUCUUCUCCAAGCCCUCGCUUUUCUUCACGGCCUCCUGGAGCUCCCGCUUAGCUGUGACAACCCUGGCCUCGUGUUUUUCACGAAGUGCCUGUUCGGCGGCAUCCUUCUCGUCGGCAUCAGCCACAGCCUGCUUCAGUGCCUCGUAUUCGGCACUCACUCCUAGGGCAUAGAAGACAAAUACUUUUGAAUAAGCACAAUUACUUAUUCGUGCCUAAUGCAAGACAAUGUUUCAACAUACCUUGCUUAUCCUCUAAUUUCUUCCUCACGCGGCCAAGUUCUUCCUCGGCCCGUUCCAGGCUCCGCUUCAGUUCGGACACUUCCGCAUUAUGAGCGGCCGUCUUCUCCGCAGACGCCUAUUUUCAAACAAAGAGGUACACGUCAUUAACAUAAGUCCCCACGACAAGAGAGGAUUUGAUCCCCUGCCCAGCUCUCUUUCUUCCGCCGGACAGUGUAUCAGGGGCUACUACUCAUAUUGUGACGAUUCCUCAAAGGUUUCUUAGGAAACAAGCCUCAAAGGCCUUUAUAAGGCCAAGGCAGGACUUGUUCAGUCCGCUCUCGGUGGACUGAAUCUUUUCAACCACCGCACCCAUAAGGGUCCGUUGUUCAUCGACGAUAGACGCGUUCUUUAACACUGUCGAUAGACCGCCUGGCAACUUUGCUUGAACAGAGGUUGCCGGUGGAGUAGGCAGGCCUCCCACCGUUGAAGGUGGCCGCUUGCCCGAUCCGGGAGCCUUAGAGGUCUCCUGGACCUUGUCCGGCUGUGGGCCGAACCGAAGAUCGCCCCCGCUGACGGCACACUCAGAGGCCAUCGCUCCCGUGUGUCCGGCUCCAGUGAUAUGCCCACCCUGGUCAGGACCCCGUUGAGACGACACCUCAGUGUUGCGCCGAGACUUUGGGGAAGGGGCCUCUGGAGGCGUCUCGCUCGCCAAGGCGUCCGAGCUCAGCGAAUCCUCGGAUGAGGACUGUCCGGCGCGAGACCUUGCCGGACUGUGCAAAAUAUAGCAACAGUUAAAACUACUAUACUCAAAAACAAUCCCGGACGCAUAUGCGUGUUCGAAUUUUGUAUACUUACGACUUCUCCAGGGGCUGGGCCCUGGGAUCCCACUCCGGGCUGCUGUCGGUAGCUGUUGAUGCCUCUAGGAGAUAGCCUUUUCUCCUCUUGGGCGAUUCGGCCUCCAGGGACGAGGAAGCUACAUGCUUCUUCCCACCUUCAGAGUGAGGCGCGUCCUCCUCUGCUUCUUCCUCUUCGUCUUCCGAAGAGGGAGCGUCGCUUGAGUCUUCGGAUUUUGCGUCCGAAGCCUCGCGAUGACAGAGGCCACUCCGGGUCUUCUUGACCUUAUUGGAGGCCUCCUUCUUUGGCGCCUCGUAAGGCGGCGGGACCAGCAUCUUCGUCAGAAGAGGUCCAGCCGGUUCCUCCGGCAGCGGGGCCGGACAAUGAAUCCGCUCCACCUUCUUUAUCCAUCCCCGAGGUCACGACGAAACACGAUUAAGAUGUCUCCCUCAUGACAUGCCAACCGAAGCAUGGAUGGACAGAGCAUGGCUGUAACUUACCAGGCUUGCAUCAUGGGAUAAUUGAUACCCAUGGUCCUCGGCGGAGCCCAGCCACAAUUUGACGGACUUCAAGAGCACCUUCCAGAUAUCCUUGUGGGAGGAGUCGUAGAGCUCCUGAAGGGUUUGGUGCUCGGUUGGGUCUAACUCCCACAGAGUGCAGGCUCGGCGCUGACAAGGGAGAACUAGGCGAACUAGCAUCACCUGAACCACAUCGAUGAGUUUGACGUCCUUGUCCACCACACUCUGGAUGCGCGUCUGGAGCAAUUACAGCUCAUCGGACGAGGACCAGUUCAGGCCCUUCUUGGUCCAGGACGUGAGCCGCAGUGGAGCUCCGGAUCUGAACUCAGGAGUUGCAGCCCACUUUUUGCCGCGUGGUUCGGCGAUAUAAAACCACUGCUGCUGCCACUCCUUGACGGAGUCGUUGAAAGCGCCCUUCGGCCAGACGGCCUUGGGCAUCUUGCUUACCAUGGUGCCGCUGCACUCGGCGUGUUCGCCACUCACCACCUUGGGCUUCACAUUAAAAAUCUUCAGCCACAGGCCGAAGUGAGGUGAGAUCUGAAGAAAAGCCUCGCACACGACGAUGAACGUCGAGAUAUUGAGGAAGGAGUUGGGGGAAAGAUCAUGAAAAUCAAUCCCGUAGUAAUACAUGACUCCGCGAACAAAUGGGUGCAGGGGAAACCCAAGCCCGCGGACAAAAUGGGGAAGGAACACGGCUCUCUCGUGAGGUUCCGGAGUAGGGACGGCCUAUCCUGCCGGUGGGAGACGAUGGCCGAUCUUCUGGGCCAGAUACCCGGUGUCCCGGAGCUUCUUGAUAUCCUUCUCCUGGACAGUAGAGGCCAUCCAUCUACCUCCUGCUCCGGAUCCGGACAUCUUCGGAAAACCUCUCUUCGGUGGAAAAGAAGAGUGCUUGGGCGUUAGGGCUCUAAAAGAGGGGAAUGAGCUAGCGGAAGGAGAAAGGCAUGGGAAAAGAGAAAGAGGCCUUGUCUCUUUAUAGGGGCGGUAAAUGCUUUUUGCGCCUCCCCACUUGCCUGGUGGAACCCGUUUGCCUCCCGCUCGCCGCGAUUAGCGGUGCGGUUGGAUUACGCACACCCGUAUUGAUGAGAAUCCCGUGAUAAGGGGACAUGAUGUCUGCUUUGACAAGACGCGUCAAGGAAACCGCCUCGCAAUAUGCGCUGUGGCUGGUUGUGGGAAAACGGUUCGAAUAAUGACCCGACCGUAAUGACAAGUCACGUUGCAUAAAAAGUUGUCAGCAGAUUGCAUUUGUGAAAUACCAUUCUCUCUACGGUGGCAUGUGAAGAUCAUUUUGUGGAUCCGGACACGGUUCAAGUGUUCGAUAAUUACCUUGGAGUACUCGGAGGAGGAACCCGCCAUGCAAUGCCGAAGACAAGACUGCGCGCCGGACUCAUCGUCAUUGAAGCCUGGUUCAGGGGCUACUGAGGGAGUCCUGGAUUAGGGGUAUCCGGACAGCCGGACUAUAUACAUCGUCCGGACUAUUGAAGCGUGAAGAUACAAGACUCAAGACUUCGACCCGUGUCCGGAUGGGACUUUCCUUGGCGUGGAAGGCAAGCUUGGCGAUCCGGAUAUUAUAUUUCCUUCCUUGUAACCGACUCCAUGUAAACCCUAGCCCUCUCCGGUGCCUAUAUAAACCGGAGAGGUUGGUCCUUAGAAGGCCGAUCACAAUUACAAUCAUACCAUCAUAGGCUAGCUUCUAGGGUUUAUCCUCUGCGAUCUCGUGGUAGAUCUACUCUUGUACUACCCAUAUCUUCAAUAUUAAUCAAGCAGGAAGUAGGGUUUUACCUCCAUCGAGAGGGCCCGUACCUGGGUAAACAUCUGUGUCCCUUGCUUCCUGUUACCAUCAGCCUAAGACGCACAGAUCAGGACCCCCUACCCGAGAUCCGCCGGUUUUGACACCGACAAACACCUUUCUGGAAGAACUAUUCACCAAACAAAUGUAGGAUGUUUGUCUGGCUUGCGCAUAAAGAUCGUGUGUUUACCAACGAGAGACGGUUCAAACACUCUAUUGCAACCUCUGAUCAGUGCCCUCUCUGCGGUGGUUGAGAGAGCAUUGAUCACCUGCUGUAACAGUGUCAGCUGCUCCGUCCACUCUGGGACAAGCUUCAGAGUCUACACUUCGGGAGUCACCCAUCUUUGCUGGAUAUUUGGAAUGCUGACAGGGCUAAGAAAGUUCGGUCCACCGUCAUUAUAGCUCUGCUUUGGAACUUUUGGAAACGGUGCAACGCGAAAGUAUUCUGCAAUGACACUAUGGGGGUGUACCACAUUGCUCGCUUGGCUGCGGAUGAUUUGAUGAUGUGGUCUCACAUAUGUAAAAAUGUUCAGAAGCAAAACCUGCUUCGAGACUGGAGCUCUAUGUUGUUUCAUUUAGCGGGAAGAAUAUAGCCUUCUACCCGUUUUUGUUUUUCCUCUAAUUUGCUCCUUCAUGUCCUUCCUCCUUGUACCUCUGAUCUCUAUGUAAUUGGUACUUCUGGUAAUACUAGCAAAAGAGCCCGUGCGUUGCAACGGGAGAAAAAACACAACACACACUCUUAACGGAACAACCAUCACUCAAGACCACAAUAGGUUGCUCUCCUUUAUUUUAGCGACGCAUAAUAUUUGUGUUGCCGCUUAUCCUUCUUCUCACCCUCUCCGGCGAUGGCCUUAGUGUUCACACAAACCAAAACGUGUUAGAAUGUGGUUAAUCCUAAGCCGUCACUCUCUCUCCUCCCUCUCCCUCUCUCUCUCUCGCUUUCUCGCACACUCGCGAUGAGAAAUCUGUUGUUUUCCCCUGCGAUGUAUUCAGAGGUAUGCAUGUGUAGUUCUCAAUGUUUUCUAUUCCCUAUAUGACUAUAGUGGGUGUUUAUUUGCAACCCGGAUCACCGCAUGUACGAAGGAAAAAUGGAUCGUGCGCUAUAGUUAUAAGUUUGCUUCGAAAACAAUAUCUAAAAAAUAUUUAACAGGUAAAAUUAACAUCAUAUUCAGAUUUCACACAUUUUUCUAAUCAAAUUUCAUAUAUAACAUGUUAAAAUAGGAGUUACGGUUUGAAAGAUACGUAUAAUUUGGAAAACCAUUUGUUUGACUUAAGUAUCUUUCAAAAUAAUAUUUAAAAAUACUUAACAAGUUAAAAUAAUCUUAUAUUCAUAUUCUACAUAUUUUUCUAAUCAAAUUUUAUAUAUAACAUGUUUAAAUCGGUGUCACAUCCCUAGCUUCUGGCAUUGCACUAGGCUAACUUCAUGUGUGCAUCAUGUUUAAAUUCCUCAGAAACUUGAAAUGGGGAUGACAGAACCCCAGCACCCCCCCUUAAACCAACUAGGGUUUACUAAAAUCAUUUUCAAUGAACCCAAAAUGCCCUUCUAAAAUGUUCAUCAUCUUUGCCUUGGUCUAGAACCUCUGACAAAAAUGGUGCACAAAUUUCUAGGUAAUCCAAAGGUAACUGGAUUAAAUCAUAUGUUAUUUGAAUUUGGGCAUUUAAAUGCUAGUAAAUAUUUAAAAUGCCCAAAUAAUCCUAAACUGAAGUGUUCCAUGUUGGAUAUAUUCUAUACAAUGGUCAUGUAUAGUUUGGUGAUUUUUGAAAGGGUCUAGGUAUUUUUAGAAAAGCCACAGAGAUUACAAAAAAUAGAAAACUGAAACAAAAGAAGAGAGAGAGAAAGGAUACCUACUUGGGCUUACCUCUUGUGCAGCUCACCUGGACGGCCUAGCUGGCUGGCCCAGCCCACUAGGGGCAUGAUUGUCUUCUUCCCCAUGCCAGCGCACGAAGCAGCUCGGUGGCGAGCGCCGACGUCGCGCCUGGCCACCUCCUGCUUGCUGCCGCCUCCCUGACGUCGCCCUGGAGACGCCACGCACCCCCCCGACCUCUCUCUCACUCUCCCCGAGCUCCUCUCCUCCUCUGGCUCUCUCGCACGCAACCACCGAGCGUUGUCGUCGCCGCCUCCAAACACCACCACAGCCAUCGCCUCUCCCUCGCCUCUCGUGCUGUCCAGAGGCUCCGCCUCAACGCUACGGAGCCCCAAAACGAAGCACGCUCUCGCGGGACGCCCGAAGCGACGCCAUCAUCCUCAUCCUUGCCGCUGGCCGCCGGAGAUCCCUCUCGCCGCCCCGCUCGCUUCAGACCUCCCCGAGCUCGCCAACGACGCCAUAGAGAUCUCUGUGAGGCCCUGAAUGUUUCCCUUCCUUCAAUUUCCUCGCUCCCGCGCCGUAGCACCCUCUCCCGCACUUGACCGAGCUUCGGUCGCCGAUGAUGAUGUCGUCGCCGUGGCUAGAGCUCACGCGCGUCACGCCCGAGCACGCUCCCAUGCUCAGCACGUCCCCAGCAACCCGCUGACACCACCCCCUCGCCCAGAGACGCCCAGUAGCGCCAGACCGAGCUCGCCCGAGCUCCGGCCGCCGCCAAACACGUCGCCGUCGCCAUUUCCGGCGACCCCGAGCCCAACCACCUGCACCACCCGCCGCGGCUCGCUCCCAGCUACCCAUAGAGCCCAACGGCGCCCCGAACGGUGCCCUGUAGGUGAAACCCGCACCUGCACCGCCGCGUUUAGCCUCGCCGGCGGCUAAACACCGGCGAGUUGGCCCCGCUGCCCCCGUUUAACCAUGGGUGGCCCCAGUUUGACCCCCCUGGGUCAAUGACAGGUGGGGCCCAGCCCUGUUAAUUAAUUAGGGUUAGUACUAAUUGAAUUUAGUUAAACUAAUUACACUGACACGCGAGACCCACUGUCAGGUUUGACCUGGACCGUCCCGUUGACCACUGACGUCACCCUGACGUAAUGCUGACACAGUAAUUUAUUUACUGGAAUUAUUCUUACACAGGAAAUUCCAGAAAAUACCACAAACUUCAAAAAAUCAUAGAAUUUAAUCUCUAGCUCCAAAUGAAAAGAUUUAUAUAUGAAAAAUGAUCAGAAAAAUCCAAUCUAUCCAUCUGUACUGGUUUCAUGCAUGUUGAAACAAGUUAAAUUGCUGUUUAGUGCAAAACAUGAUAAAGCACUAUUUAAGAUCACAAAUGAGUUUGAACUUUGAAUCUUUGGUUCAAAAUAGCUCAUACCCAUCUGAUUGUAGUUGCAUUAGCCCAACACACUCAUUUUACCAUGUCAUGAUCAUGCAUCAUAUUGUGCAUUGCAUUGAUUGUGUUUCUUUCUCUGUUGCCGAUAUUUGUUCCCUCUCGAUAGACGUGAUUCGACGAUGAGUUUGAUGACACUGAUGAAGAACUAUAUUAUCUUCAGAAGUGCCAGGCAAGCAAAACCCCCUUGUUCAUUCCGAUACAAACCCACUCUCUCGCUCCUGCUCUCUUUUACUGCAUUAGGGCAACAAUGACUCAUGUGUUACUUGCUGCGGUAGUUGAACCCCUUAUCCCCUGCAUGACCUGUCUUUGCCACAGUAAAUAGAUGAAACCCACUAGCAUGAGUAGGAGUUGUUUGAGCCCUGAUUUGCCUACUCAUUCAUGCUUGUUUAUCGUGCCUGCUAUUGCUUAGAGUUGUGUCAGGUCUGAUUUAUCGGGAAUGAAUCGGAGGUGUGUGAACAUGUCCUACUGUUGAGAGCUAAGUGUGUGAACACGAUUUGGUAAAGGUAGCGGUGAGAGGCCAUGUAGGAGUACAUGGUGGGUUGUCUCAUUGAAACCAUCCUCAGGAACUGAGUUCUGUGUUUGUGAUCCAUGAACAGCUACUACCACACAUUGGGAUCCUUAAUUGACUCUCUCGACUUAUUAACUGCCCUUGCCCUCUGUCCAGGAGUUGCAACUAGUUUCUGGUGUUUGUAGGAUAUGUGUUGGAGGCCGUGCAUAGCGCUGACCCUAGGGGUGGGCUAUGAUGUGGUAGAUACACCGUGGCACGGUGUACCAAGCGUAGAUCCACCCGUCGAGGUGGGCUUGGGAACCCUACACACAUCGUUUGGGGCCGUGAGCGACACCCCGGCCGGAUCUCCUCGCGGAUGGAACCCGAAUAGGCGAUAAACCUGGACUAGAGACUUGUGUGGUUAGUCAGGUCGUGGCCGACUCCCUCGCCAGGCUUCCGCUUGAAGGUUGCCGAGAUACACGACGUGUACAUGGUGGUAAGUGGCGAGAGCGCGUGUGAAGAAGUACACCCCUGCAGGGUUAUAAAUGAUCUAUUCGAAUAGCCGUGUCCGCGGUAAAGGACUUCUAGGUUGCCUAUAUCAGUUCAUAGACAAGUGAAAGUGGAUACUCUAAAAUGCGCAAGAUCAGCGUGAGUGCUAUGGAUGGCAUUCUCGUAGGUAGACGGGAGCGGAUCCAUAGUGGUGUAUUGAUUGGUGAAUAUGUGGACUCGUGUGCGCCACCUCAAAAGAGUUACUUGCAGUCAUAGUUUAGGAUAGCCACCGAGUCAAAGCUGGCUUGUUGCAGUUAAACUCCACCACCCCUUUUUUGAUACCGAUGCAUAUGUAGCUAGUUCUGAUGUAAGUCUUGCUGGGUACAUUUGUACUCACAUUUGCCUAUUUUAUGUUUUGCAGAGAGAUGUCAGUCUCGCUAGUAGUUCCGUGUGGACUUCAACGUUUAGCUUGAUACCUCAGCUACGAUCUUGUGCCCUCGGCAGGAUCUUGUAGAUAGUCAGGCUUCUCAGCCUUUUUCAUUUAUAGUUGUCUUUACUCACACAUGUUAAGCUUCCGCAUGUGUUUGAGUUGUAUGCUCUGAAUGCUGGGUCGAGAGACCCAUGUUUGUAUUAUCUCGCUCCUCGGAGCCUAAUGAAUAAAUACUUGAGUCGUAGAGUUAUGUUGUGAUGCCAUGUUGUAUUUACACAUAUCGAGCAUAUUGUGCGUAUGAUUGAAAUGCUUGGUAUGUGUGGGAUCCGACAACCUAGUUGUUUAUCCUUGGUAGCCUCUCUUAUGGGGAAAUGUAGUCUUGUGCUUCCAUGAGCCAUAGUAGUCCGCUACAGCCCGGUUCACCGGAGUCCUGCUAGCCCAGCACUACUGCUCCGGAACACUUGACUGGCCGGCAUGUGAGUCACUUCGUUCCUGUGUCUGUCCCUUCGGGGAAAUGUCACGCGGUGACAUCCGGAGUCCUGCCUAGCCUGCUACAGCCCGGAUUCCCGGAGUCCUGUUAGCCCAGUGCUACAGCUCGAAUUCACACGCUGCUGACCGACAUGCUCGAUGUUGAUUCAUGUACGCCUGUCCCUAUAAGUUAGUGCCACUUUGGGUUCACGACUAGUCAUGUCGGCCCGGGUUCUCUGUCAUAUGGAUGCUAGGGACACUGUCAUAUACGUGAGCCAAAAGGCGCAAACGGUCCUGGGCCAUGGUAAGGCGACACCUGUGGGAAUACCGUGCGUGAGGCCGCAAAGUGAUAUGAGGUGUUACCGGCUGGAUCAAUGUGACUUGGAAUCGGGGUCCUGACAGUUUUGGUAUCAGAGCCUGACUGCCUGGUGGAUUACCAAGCCAAACUGGUCGAAGUUGAGUCUAGAAAUGCUUUAGUUAUAUAAGGAAAUUCAUUGUGGAAGGGAACGUAAGGCUCUUUUUACUCCUUUAUCUUAUGCCCUUCUGAUCUGAGUCAUCCGCUUCUCUUCUACGGGGAUUAAGAACUAGGAUUUCUCAUCUAUCUAUCAGGAUCACAUGUUACUAAUCCGUAGACUUAUAAGAUUGCUGGAUUUAAGCCCCAGUUCUGUUUCUACCACUUCCGUGUGUUGUUAGUUAAUCUCAGAACUUUGAUAUUGUGAUGUCAAGUGGUUAUGCCACCAUUUUGCAGGAUGUCUCAAAUCAUUUUGAGCAUCUACAGCUGUUAUGUUGUCCGAGUCAUCCCAGGUUUCUAAAUUGUCUGAUGCAUUUGCAAAUCUUUACUUUCCGUUCCCGAUGUCCUUUAUGGUCAGAAUAAGCACACUAAUCGGUGCGUUGAGGUAAUUUAUUGCCUCGACAUAUAUGUUGGAGUUAUUAUUAGGACCCUAUGUGUCUUAGAAGAUUACCUAGUAAACUAGCCAUGUUUUGUGUUCCCCGUGUGAUGAUUCUGGCCGUCAUUCUCGAAAGCAUCUCGUGAUGUUAUUAGUUAGUAGGUAUUUUAUUCCUGGGUUCCCGAACCCGAGAUUCACCCUACUUACCUCAUGUUGAUAGUGUUUGCUAGUUCCUUUAGGAUAUUAGUAACUUUGCGAUAUUCCUCGAGGUCCGUGGUAUUUCCUUCUUCCUAAUACCAUGAACCAUUAAUGUAGAAGUUUUUUGAACCAAAAUACCACAAUCAGAGUACUCUGGAGGAGUUCUCCAUUCAUAAUUGUGAUUCUGCCGGUUCUACCUUUCUGCAUGGGUUAUCCUGAAGAAAUGUUGAGCUUCGCUCGACAUACUAACCUAUGCAUCCACAACUCAGAAAAAAAGACAUAUGUUCCUUUGAGUUGUCCCUCUUUAGUUGUUUUAUGACCUCCAUCUAUCAAUUGAUAAUCAAGAGUAUGCGUGCAUUCGUUCAUCGAUGCCUGUUAUUCUUGUGGUCCGUCGAGCCAUUCUAUUCUGGAAUGACUAGGAGAAACAAACUCCAGAACCUUGUCCAUUUCUAGGAUUGGGUCAAAGCAGUUGUAUUCCGCAGGUCAAAUGCAAUCAAGCUCUUGGUCUGUUCUUCCCUGAAGUAUUACCCACUUUAUGUUGAGAAUAUGAUAGGAAUUGCACCACCUCUUAUGAAAUCUUGAUGCAGUGAUCCUUCUUGCCAUCAUUUUUCAUUCCUCGGUCCCGUGUUGUCGCAACCGGAAUGCCGAAAGUGAACCAUGAUGUGUGAAAUCAAUACUCCUAGCAACUCCGUUGCUUGGUAGUUAAUGGGCAAUAUUCUCAUUCUUAGCGUGUUGGUUAUUAAAUCAUCAUCCUAAGAUUGAUUGUGCUACCUAGUCCUUAUUUCCGGUGCACUCUUCGAUCAAUGAGUUAGGAUUAUUCAAUCCCUUGCUUAUUUGAUCAUAUCGUCUUGCUCUGAAAAGCAAGAUUGUUCUCGAGCUUAGUAACAUAUCGGUGGUUCGUGAUGUUCCGAAUAUCUUCUCGGAAGUAUUACCAGGUUGUCACCUGACCGCUAUGUUGAGUUCGUGAUCAUGUUGGUUUUCCUCCAAACCACCCAUUCUCCAAGAAUUUGUGUUGGAUACCCCUGAGCUAGUUGGUUAAGCUAAACAACAACUUGGAGAGUUGGAAGAUAAAAGCUUUGCCGAAUUUGGUUCGUUCUGAAGGGAUAUGUUUGUGUUUGUGUGUGUGUUGAAGAAAGAUGAUAUCUUCACCAAUUGGUCCUCAUGAUCAGUUGUUGGAUCUGUUGUCUUGUCAAAACUUUGACUUGAGUAUGGGCUAUCAUCAAGUCAAAUCAGAACCAGCGAUAUUCGUAAUGUUGUCUUACUCGUGGUUGAUCCCUCAAGCAUACACCAUUAAAUCAUUUGGUCUGACCAAUGCUAUCACCGUGUUCACAUGAUGGUGGAAGUCCAGUGAUAUGGAAAUUCCGAUGAAUUGCUGUUGAGCCCAUCAGCAGUAUUUUGUCUCCCCCAUGAUUCAUUUUGAACAUCAACCUAGUGUUGAAAACUUUGUAAGCAAUGUCUUCGUGUUCUGUUCAUGAAGCUUAUGCUUGGAUGGAAGAAGUGACUUCCUAGAAUUCAUGUGCAUUUGGUGCAAGUUGUCGCCGUGAGUUGAGAAAGAUUAGUUUUGCUUUCCCUGGAAUCGUCCCAAGUCAGUCAUGCAUGUGCGAAGUAUUCAGUGGUUUGGUAGAUUAAUUACCUCCAUUCCAUAUGUAUUCCAUAGCACACCAAGCCACUGGCUGAUUUGUUCAGGGAAAAGAAGUUUCUUCAUAAGAGCUAAUCAUAUGACUUAUGCAAGGACUUCGAUAUCCUUGAUGAUGGUUCCCAAACAGGACUCGGUAGUGUUUUAUUAUAAGACCACUACGUGGUCAUGCUUGUCUGGGACAACCUGUUCACAUGUAUGUAGCAGAACCAGCUCAUGUUUUGGAGCUUACUACCAUAGUUCAUUUCCUGAGAAUCUCGCAACAUCCUCUCGUCGGUUUGUGUUGCAAACUUCCCUUUUCCGGACAUGUUGUCUGAAACAUCCUGUUACCAACCAGAUCUGAAUCUCAGGCGGAUAUGAUGGUUGGAACUUCUCCAAGAUCUGUGAUGUAGGUCCCGACAAGGUUGAUGUUCUGGCCGACACACCUAGCCGGAGGGUCUAUCACUAUAGUAUCUUGAUUGGGCAAUUUGUCCAUCUUCUCCAUGAGUUUUCAUGCGGCUUAUUCUAUAAGUUGUUCUCUAGGGAUUCUUGUGCUCUUGGUUACUCAAUUAAGCUAUAACCAUUCAAAGGGAGGAAUUGCUCUCGACUGUUGAGUUAUCCCCCAGUUACCAGAAUCAUUCCUAGCAUUUGCAUUUUGUUCCCAGCUUGCACCGCCAUUGUGCCAUUCUACUUUGGGUCCCAUUCAUUUCCGAUGAUAAGCAAAAUCAUUCCCUGCGUUGCCUUCAACAAGGUAGUCCACAUCAUCCAUUCUAGUCCGGGAAUGUCAUUUCUCUGGACUCCUUCAAAUGAUCGAUUAUGAUUUGCCUUAAGCUGGUAUAAAGAGUUUCAAUGAUCUCCGAAUCAAAAGUAAUUCUUUUUGCCACUUAAGGGAAUAGUUCCGCGAGUCACCUUCCCUAAGAUGUCUCGUAAUGGUAUCGUGGCAACUCAACUCCUCGCUACGUUGACAACCGUUCACCACCUUCUUAAGUGUGGAAUUGUGUCUACGUAGUGAACCUUCGUCGUCUGUUACACCCCAUCCCUCUGGAUGUAUGCUUCAUGUCUCAACUCGAGAAAUGUUCAACGUCUCAUUCCGUGAGUUGAUCGUCGGUUGUCCGAUCUUCGAGAAGAUCGAUCCUUCUAGAGUUUUCCCUUUCCUCUCGUUGUCAUGAUAGCUGGAGUUCUCAGAGCAGGAAGUCGAGACAAAGAUGGUGAUCGCAUCAACGUUCUUAUGAGACGCAACCUAGAUGGUGAAGAUUGUGUUAGUUUGCGUUCCCCCUUCAUCUUACCCUACGCUUGAAUCUCGGGACGAGAUUCUUGUUUUGUGGGGGUGAGUUGUCACAUCCCUAGCUUCUGGCAUUGCACUAGGCUAACUUCAUGUGUGCAUCAUGUUUAAAUUCCUCAGAAACUUGAAAUGGGGAUGACAGAACCCCCAUCACCCCCCUUAAACCAACUAGGGUUUACUAAAAUCAUUUCCAAUGAACCCAAAAUGCCCUUCUAAAAGGUUCAUCAUCUUUGCCUUGGUCUAGAACCUCUGACAAAAAUGGUGCACAAAUUUCUAGGUCAUCCAAAGGUCACUGGAUUAAAUCAUAUGUUAUUUGAAUUUCGGCAUUUAAAUGCUAGUAAAUAUUUAAAAUGCCCAAAUAAUCCUAAACUAAAAUGUUCCAUGUUGGAUAUAUUCUAUACAGUGGGCAUGUACAGUUUGGUGAUUUUUGAAAGGGUCUAGGUAUUUUUAGAAAAGCCACAGAGAUUACAGAAAAAUAGAAAACUGAAACAAAAGAAGAGAGAGAGAGAAAGGAUACCUACCUGGCCUUACCUCUUGUGCAGCCCACCUGGACGGCCCAGCCCACCAGGGGCAUGCCUGUCUUCUUCCCCAUGCCAGCGCACGAAGCAGCUCGGUGGUGAGCGCUGACGUCAUGCCCGGCCACCUCCUGCUUGUUGCCGCCUCCCCGACGUCGCCCUGGAGACGCCACGCACCCACCGACCUCUCUCUCACUCUCCCCGAUCUCCUCUCCUCCUCUGGCUCUCUUGCACGCAACCACCGAGCGCUGUCGUCGCCACCGACGAACACCACCACGGCCAUCGCCUCUCCCUCGCCUCUUCGUGCUGUCCAGAGGCUCCCCCUCGACGCCACGGAGCCCCAAGACGAAGCACGCGCUCGCGGGACGCCCGAAGCAACACCAUCAUCCUCAUCCUCGCCGCCGGCCACCGGAGAUCCCUCUCGCCGCCCCGCUCGCUUCAGCCCUCCCCGAGCUCACCGACGAUGCUAUAGAGAUCUCUGUGAGGCCCUGACUGUUUCCCCUCCUUCAAUUUUCUCGCUCCCGCACCGUAGCACCCUCGCCCGCACUUGACCAAGCUUCGGUCGCCGCCGAUGAUGUCGCCUCCGUGGCUAGAGCUCACGCGCGUCGCGCCCGAGCACGCUCCCAUGCUCAGCACGUCCCUAGCAACUCGCUGACACCACCCCCUCGCCCAGAGACGCCCAGUAGGGCCAGACCGAGCUCGCCUGAGCUCCGGCCGCCGCCAAACACGUCGCCGGCGCCAUUUCCAGCGACCCCGAGCCCAACCACCUGCACCACCCGCCGCGGCUCGCUCCCAGCUACCCACAGAGCCCAACGGCGCCCCGAACGGUGCCCUAUAGGUGAAACCCGCACCUGCACCGCCGCGUUUGGCCUCGCCGGCGGCUAAACGCCGGCGAGUUGACCCCGCUGCCCCCGUUUGAGCACAGAUGGGCCCAGUUUGACCCCCCUGGGUCAAUGACAGGUGGGGCCCAGCCCUGUUAAUUAAUUAGGGUUAGUACUAAUUGAAUUUUGUUAAACUAAUUACACUGACAUGCGGGACCCACUGUCAGGUUUGACCUGGACCAUCUCGUUGACCACUGAUGUCACCCUGACGUAAUGCUGACACAGUAAUUUAUUUACUGGAAUUAUUCUUACACAGGAAAUUCCAGAAAAUACCACAAACUUCAAAAAAUCAUAGAAUUUAAUCUGUAGCUCCAAAUGCAAAGAUUUAUAUAUGAAAAAUGAUCAAAAAAAUCCAAUCUAUCCAUCUGUACUGGUUUCAUGCAUGUUUAAACAAGUUAACUUGCUGUUUAGUGAAAACAUGAUAAAGCACUAUUUAAGAUCACAAAUGAGUUUGAACUUUGAAUCUUUGGUUCAAAAUAGCUCAUACCCAUCUGAUUGUAGUUGCAUUAGCCCAACACACUCAUUUUACCAUGUCGUGAUCAUGCAUCAUAUUGUGCAUUGCAUUGUUGUGUUUCUUUCUCUGUUGCCGGUAUUUGUUCCCUCUCGAUAGACGUGAUUCGACGAUGAGUUCGAUCACACCGAUGAAGAACUAUAUCAUCUUCAGAAGUGCCAGGCAAGCAAAACCCCCUUGUUCAUUCCGAUACAAACCCACUCUCUCGCUCCUGCUCUCUUUUACUGCAUUAGGGCAACAAUGACUCAUGUGUUACUUGCUGUGGUAGUUGAACCCCUUAUCCUCUGCAUGACCUGUGUUUGCCACAAUAAAUAGAUGAAACCCACUAGCAUGAGUAGGAGUUGUUUGAGCCCUGAUGUGCCUACUCAUUCAUGCUUGUUUGUCGUGCCUGCUAUUACUUAGAGUUGUGUCAGGUCUGAUUCAUCGGGAAUGAAUCGGAGGUGUGUGAACAUGUCCUACUGUUGAGAGCUAAGUGUGUGAACACGAUUUGGUAAAGGUAGCGGUGAGAGGCCAUGUAGGAGUACAUGGUGGGAUGUCUCAUUGAAACCGUCCUCAGGAACUGAGUUCUAUAUUUGUGAUCCAUGAACUACUACCACACAUUGGGAUCCUUAAUUGACUCUCUCGACUUAUUAACUGCCCUUGCCCUCUGUCCAGGAGUUGCAACUAGUUUCUGGUGUUUGUAGGAUAUGUGUUGGAGGCCGUGCAUAGCGGUGAUCCUAGGGGUGGGCUAUGAUGUGGUAGAUACACCGUGGCACGGUGUACCAAGCGUAGAUCCACCCAUCGAGGUGGGCUUGGGAACCCUGCACACAUCGUUUGGGGCCGUGAGCGACACCCCGGCCGGAUCUCCUCGCGGAUGGAACCGGAAUGGGCGAUAAACCUGGACUAGAGACUUGUGUGUAUAGUUAGGUCAAGGCCGACUCCCUCACCAGGCUUCCGCUUGAAGGUUGCGCAGAUACACGAUGUGUACAUGGUGGUAAGUGGCGAGAGCGUGUGUGAAGAAGUACACCCCUGCAGGGUUAUAAAUGAUCUAUUCGAAUAGCCGUGUCCGCGAUAAAGGACUUCUGGGUUGCCUAUAUCAAUUCAUAGACAAGUGAAAGUGGAUACUCUAAAAUGCGCAAGAUAAGCGUGAGUGCUAUGGAUGGCAUUCUCGUAGGUAGAUGGGAUCGUAUCCAUAGUGGUGUAUUGAUUGGUGAAUAUGUGGACUCGUGUGCGCCACCUCAAAAGAGUUACUUAUAGUCGUAGUUCAGGAUAGCCACCGAGUCAACGCUGGCUUGCUGUAGUUAAACUCCACCACCCCCUUUUUGAUACCGAUGCAUAUGUAGCUAGUUCUGAUGUAGGUCUGGCUGGGUACAUUUGUACUCACGUUUGCCUCUUUUAUGUUUUGCAGAGAGAUGUCAGUCUCGCUAGUAGUUCCGUGUGGACUUCGACAUUUAGCUCGAUACCUCAGCUACGAUCUUGUGCCCUCGGCAGGAUCUUGUAGAUAGUCAGGCUUCUCAGCCUUAUUCAUUUAUAGUUGUCUUUACUCACACAUGUUAAGCUAACGCAUGUGUUUGAGUUGUAUGCUUUGAAUGCUGGGUCGAGAGACCCAUGUUUGUAUUAUCUCGCUCCUCGGAGCCUAAUGAAUAAAUACUUGAGUCGUAGAGUUUUGUUGUGAUGCCAUGUUGUAUUUACACAUAUCGAGCAUAUUGUGUGUAUGAUUGAAAUGCUUGGUAUGUGUGGGAUCCGACAAUCUAGUUGUUUAUCCUUGGUAGCCUCUCUUAUGGGGAAAUUUAGUCUUGUGCUUCCAUGAGCCAUAGUAGUCCGCUACAGCCUGGUUCACCGGAGUCCUGCUAGCCCAGCACUACUGCUCCGGAACACUUGACUGGCCGACAUGUGAGUCACUUCGUUGCUGUGUCUGUCCCUUCGGGGAAAUGUCACGCGGUGACAUCCGGAGUCCUGCCUAGACUGCUACAGCCCGGAUUCCCGGAGUCCUGUUAGCCAGUGCUACAGCCCGGAUUCACACGCUGCUGACCGACAUGCUCGAUGUUGAUUCAUGUAUGCCUUUCCCUAUAAGUUAGUGCCACUUUGGGUUCAUGACUAGUCAUGUCGGCCUGGGUUCUCUGUCAUAUGUAUGCUAGCGACACUGUCAUAUACGUGAGCCAAAAGGCGCAAACGGUCCUGGGCCAUGGUAAGGCAACACCCGUGGGAAUACCACGCGUGAGGCCGCAAAGUGAUAUGAGGUGUUACCGGCUGGAUUGAUGUGACUUCGAAUCGGGGUCCUGACAAUCAGAGUUACAGUUUAAAAGAUAUGGAUGGUUCAGAAAAACAUUUGUUUGACUUAAAAAUGAUCCUCGGAUGGAAUACCUAAAAAGUCAGGGGGUUUUCGAAAAACUAUAAAAUAACGGUUCGGUGUGACUUAAAUCCGAACUGCGGGUUGAUUUCAUGAAAAUGCAGGGGCUUUUUUGCAAAAUGGUGCGGCGGACAGGCAGAAACCCUACGUGCUUUAUUAUUAGGUAGAGAUAAGGUUCAGUCAGGCGUAAGCCCGCCGUUGACGCGUCAAAAAAAAGCCAAGCCUAAAACAUGCUGUUUUCAGUAAUGGCAUCAUUCCAAGCGAAGGCGCCAAGCCACCAUCACUGUGAAUUUCAUCUAGUAGCAGCGAGAUAGAGAUAAGAAACGGGGCAUCAAUGUGAAUGCGAACAUCCUGAAGGAAGAAACAAAUCCCAACUAACUGCAGAUGCUUCAGUGAUUUGGAAGAUAUGUUUCCGCCGUAAAUGACACAAUCUUGCAUCGUUAGCUUCUCUAAUACUUGACAGUCCGAAAAAUCCAGUGAGCAACCUUCAAAGUGAACUUGCUCAAAUUCUAAUAUCCUCAAGUGCGGGGAGACAAGACGCCUGAGUGAAAACCAUUCUCCAUAAAGAAAAAACGUCUGUAACUGAGAGCUUCUCAACCCCGCACUCUCGAACGUCACCGAGCAGCGACCAAAUGAGGAGGCAACCACAACCCCGAGACCAAGGCGGACUCGGAGGGGAAAAAAUUCACAAGUUGAGUGGUCUCUACUACUUGUGAGUUUGUGUCGGGAUUUUCCCCGGAGAGGAAAUGUGAAGUAAGAAGCUUCGGGAGGAGACCAGACACCAAGCGAGGAGACGACAAGGCAACAUGGCGUGCCCUGAUGCUUUGUGGGCGCCAUGUGGCUCCGUCUGACCUAAUUCCACUUCUAUAAAUUUUCAAAUAUUGAAAAAACCUAGAGAGCCACGCGAAACAAUUUUUCCGCACCACAAGCCUCUGUUCUUCCAUGAUCCCAUCUAGAGGCCUUUUCCGGUACUCUGCAGAAGGGGAAUCGAUCCGAAGGGCGUCUACAUCAACCUUGUUGCCCCUACCAAUGAUGUGUGAGUAGUUCACUACAGACCUAUGGGUCCAUAGCUAGAUGGCUUCUCUCUCUCUCUCUCUCUCUCUCUCUCUCUCUCCCUCUGUGAUCUUCAAUACAAUGUUCUCCUGGUCUUCUUGGAGUUCUAUCAAAUGUAAUCUUCUUUUGCGGUGUGUUUGUUGGGAUCCGAUGAAUUGUGGAUUUAUGAUCAGAUUAUUCAUUGAAAGUAAUUGGUUAUUUUUUGAACUUUAUCAUGCAUGAUUAUUGUAGCUUUGUAUUUCACUUUGAUCUAUCUGUUUGGUUUGCCCAACUAGAAUUAUUUAUCUUCAGCAGGAGAGGUGCUUUGUAUUAGGUUCAAUCUUGCAUUGUCCUCACCCAGUGACGAAAAGGAUAGCGUAUUUGUGUUGUUGCCAUUAAGGUAAAAUGACGAGGUUUAACCAUAUUGCUUGGUUUUAUUUUGUCUACAUCAUGUCAUCUUGUUUAAAGCGUAACUCUGUUUGUCAUGGACUUAAUACCAUAGUUGCAGGCAGGAGUUGGUCGAUUGGUGGAGUAAUAUUAGUAGAUGCAGAUAGGAGUUGGUCUAAUUGUCACGGACGUGAUGCCUAUAUAUGUAAUCAUUGCCAUGAAUCAUAUCAUAACUAUGCGUCUCUCUAUCAGUUGCCCAACAGUAAUUUGUCUACCCACCGUAUGGUAUUGUUUUGAGAGAGAAGCCUCUAGUGAAAACUAUGGCCCCUGAGUCUACUUUAAUCAUAUUACUAAAACAAAAUAUCUUCCUGCAAUUUUCUAUUUUUAUUUUACUUUUCAAUUUAUAUAUCUACUACUACCAGAUUUAAUCCUUGCAAGUAACGAGUUCAAGGGGUUGAUGACUCGCUUUCCCGUGUUGAGUGCGAGUAUUUGAUCUUGUGUGUGCAGGUGUUAUUCACUAGGAUUUGCGUGAUUCUCUUAUUGAUUCGAUAACCCUGGUUCUCAUUGAGAAGAAUACUUAUCAGCUACUAUAUUGCUUCACCCUUCCUCUUCAGGGAAAAUUCUAACGCAACUCACAAGUAACAGCUCCCACGAACAACAGGGAGAGGCAUUGGCAGCGAGAGCGUGAUGGUAAGGUCGGGUGCGAGGAUGCCAUGAUGCUACAUAGCCCAUCCCAAUAAAUCCACGUAUGUGACAUUGGCUCCCAUAACCUACCAGGAUAGGCACGAUGGAGUGGGCGAGGUCAGGGGCAUGUGGUGCCCUACUGCCAUAGGGAGAGGCGGUGCAUCGUUUGACGGCCAUGGGAUAGUCAACACUUCUGAUGCAUAGGAAGGGGUGGUUCUGGACUGGGAGGAGGAAGAAUAGAAGAAGACAUAGUCGUGCCAGACCGAUGUGAGAGAAUAAAGCGCUAUGGUGGGACUUGCGCAACUUAUGGAGUCCAUGAGAAAUAUCUAAUCUAGUCUAAACCAAUGAAAAAAAAAUAGUGUGCUAUAGCAAAAUAGCGCCACCUUAAAAUACACUUUUAGCGAGACAUUAAACACUAAUUUAUUUCCAUUGCUCAGAAUGCUAUGGCAUUGCUAUUUUUCCCGUGGUCUAAACACACUACAAAAUCAGAAGUGAACUGUGUUCAAAAAUCAACAGUGAACCAGAGAAAAAACCUGACACGCAUGUUGCUCAUGUACACUGAUUUACUUAUUGAGGCAAGUGGGGUAUUGCACAAAACACUAUAGCAUACUAUUCGUGGUGCUAUAAUGUGCUAUUUUUUCCAGUGGUCUAUGCAUAAUAUAAAACAGGGAGUGAAUUGUGUUAAAAGACCAAACUAAAUGGGACACAUGUGUCAUUUAUAGAAGAGCUUAUGGCUAUAGCUCCAAACUCACCAAAGGCGCCGAAGCUUAACAGCUUUAAUUCUCUUACUAUCACAGUUAGUUUUUAAAAAAAAUUGUUCGUAUUUUUGAUUUCAAAAAUACAUUUCAUAUGGAAAUAAUGUUAACAGGAAGCUUCUCAGAUGUCAUUUCAACGUGAAAACUUACACAAACCUAGAAGGGUCUCUUGUCUUUGAUGUGUAAAAAUCUCAAUUUUUCUAAAAUUUUGUUUAUAUUUUUUGUUUUCAAAAUUACUUUUCAUAUGGAAAUAAUGUUAACAGAAAAUUACUAUUCACCCAUAAUUACUAUUUAACCACAAACCUUUACAUUAUUAAUUAAUUGACACAAUCACUGUUCAGGGCAUUGUUCAUUGGCUGCCUUAUGUCAAACUACAUCAUUGAUGGCGCGCGUUGCAGUGCCCAUCUAUUUAGAAUUUUCUUAAAAAUAGAAAGACAUGACUCAUGAUCUUUAAUUACAUUUGUAAAGAUGACCCAUAUAUUUGUUAGCAAAAGAGAGGUGGUGAAUAUAAUUGUUUUGUAAAGAAAGUAUUGGGUAGUUUGGCACUACAUGUUUCUUUUUGUCUAAUGGGCUUCAUUGGUGAGAGCGAUUGCAUAACAUAACAACAUGUGAAGAGCUGGCCAAAAUGAAGUUACUCAACAACCCAUUUACAUCAAAAUUUGCAUAAAAAUCUACAUUCUAAGCCUGAGUAAUAAUACAACAAGAAGCUUCCCAAAAGCAUCCACACAUAGAAUUAUACAAUGUUAUCCGUCUAUCCAAAAGAACCAAAAGAAAGACCUUGUAGCCAAAAUGAUGAUUGCAUUCCGUAUCGUGUAGGGGUGCAACGGGCGUCCUGCUUUAUCCGCAAAAGUCAUCAAUUAGCUUAUCACGUAUUGGCUGUAAAAUUAACAUUACGUUUGUAUUGUGUUAUUGUCCGCGAACCUGGCCUGCUUGCAUCCGUAGGUUCAUGCACAUUAAAUAAAAUUCAAAAUGUAUAGUAUGGAUUGCAAUGUGUAAAGAUAAGAAGAAUAAAAUCUCUACUAUAAAUGCCACGUAACAGUAAAGCAGAUGCUACCAUUUCUUUCCCAAUUUAUAACCUUCUACAAAAACAUUCCAUUGUAUGUACCUUUCUUCUGUGUCCAUCUAAUCAUGCUAAGCAUAAAUUCAUACUAAGAUAUUAGUGCAUGAAUUUAUUCAAAAACUAUGGGCUAGUCGAUCCUGGUAAUAACCUGAUUUUUUGUGGCUUAGGUCUGGUUGCUUUUAGUGCCAAUGUACAGUGUACCGUGUUGUGUUUUGGGCUAGCCGAUCAGGAGAAGGAAUUUUUGUUCUUUAGGCCACGCAAAAAAUGAGUGAUAAGGAUUAAUGUCACGACCGGUUUUUCAAUAAAAUACUUAUUGAGAAACCGAUCUUUUUAAUUCCAGUAUAGGAAAAAUUCUCCUUACUGGUAGACAAAUAGUUGAUACAGAAGUCCAGUAGCAUUAAAUAUAAUACAAGGUUGAGCUGAGGUUGCUCAACGAUUUAUUACAAACACGCCAAUAUUGCACAUAAGGGCGGAUAUGACACAAGAGUGUGGUGCCAUACUACUGACUCGAAAAAAGUGGUGGUGGAUAUGUCACAGUGGAGUAGGUGACAUGACUCCUAAUCUGGCAGCUCAUCGAGCGUCGAAGUGAGGCUCGAUGCAUUUAUUCGGGUAGCGGAAGCGGAUAUAAUACAAGUGACUAAAUCCAGGAUCGCACGGGACUGACUGUGACUCCUCUAGACGUCGGACUCGCUAUCGUACUCUUCAUCCAUGAGAUCGCCGUCAUUAACAUCUGGCCAAAUCAACAAGCCAGGUGAGUACUUUGAAUGUACUCGCAAGACAGUUCGGACAUGAGAUAUAACAAAUACAAGCAUGAUGCGUCAUGAGUAAUAAGCAAAGCACAUUUAAAUGAUGAACUUGCACGAUAAUAUGAUUUAAGAAGGAAGUCAGGAGGUAGUCCUCCCGAAAUCCCAACGAAGAUACUGAAAACGAUCGGGUGUCUGAAGCAACGCCUCGAAAGGUCAACAAAUGAAUAUAACAUGCCGCAGUCGGGCGUCUAAGCGACACCACAGAAAGGGCUUAUAUUGGAAAGUAAAUGACAGUGCGUGCCAUAGUCGGACGUCUAUGCGACAUCUCGGAAAGGGCUUAUAAUGAAGGUAAAUAACAGUGAUGCCAUAGUCGGACAUCUGAGCGACAUCGCAGAAAGGGCUUAUUUUGAAAAUAAAUAAUAAGAGUGCCGCAGUCGGACGUCUGAGCGACAUCACAGAAAGGGCUUAUAUUGAAAGUAAAUAACAAGAGUGCCACAGUCGGACGUCUGAGCGACAUCACAGAAAGGGCUUAUAUUGAAAGUAAAUAGCAAGAGUGCCACAGUCGGACGUCUGAGCGACAUCACAGAAAGGGCUUGUAUUUCAUCAUUCAUAUCUAAUAAAUUCAUGAAGAUAUAUCACUCACAGGAAAUAUUCAGCACAUAGUAAUAAACGGGUUAGUGCAUCCACAUGAAUAAUCAUUUAGCCGGACUUAACACUCAUGUGAUUCACCGGAGUUUUGUUACUAAGACUGAUACUGACAAGGAUAAGUUGAGCACAGUACUUGGCCAUGGAUAGGACUAUUCGAAUGAUUUUGACUCUGCAGAGUUUGUACUAAUCAACCACAGCCAACGGAUUUCCGUAGUCACGAAGGACUAGUUCCGUUUACGAUAUUUCGGUAGAAACACAUCUAACCAUUACACACCCAUCCCACCUCACGAUGCCAGGAAUCACCCUAGGCAACGUUCAAGAAAAACUUUGAGACGGGGAGGCCACAACCUCGAAUAGCAUGGGAUUAAAUUUAUAUUCGCGCGCUCUAAGGGGUGCCCCCCUCUCGGUCCCAACCGGAAACACCCAUGCCCUUGACCGGAUGACUGGCUUUAAUCCAGGGCCAUGGAACCCUCAUCACGACCUCUCUAUUUGGUGUGUACCAGGAAAGAUGUUUGCAACUUACUAAGCCACAUUCCUUGCAGAAAACAUGUGGUGGUACAGGAAGGGAAACGAAUGGUAACGUGACUUGAUUCACAUUGAUACUGGAAUCAAAUGGUUUGGCAUAAGACUGGCAUGCUUCAACACUGCCAUCUUACCCCCUCUCAUGUCAUCCCAUGAUCAUGCAAACUCACAUCAACAACAUAUGGAGUUUCGAAGCCCACCUGCCUCAGCUUUGUAUGCAAUAUCACACUGACCGAAAGGCUUAUAAACAUGCCAUGAAACAACUCAAUGCAAACAUGCAAAAACACUCAUCAUAUCAAAGGUUCAAACACGCUUGCCUGGUUCGGAGUAGUCGGAGUCUAGCUCGGUGAAGUUCGCGGUUCCGUCACCUCCUCCGGUAUACGGUAUAAGAAAAUACGUACUAACGUAAAUACCGUGUGUGCACAAGAAAUUGUUCCAAAUACUUUUCAAAUAAAUAUGAUAAAAAACUAGACAGAAAAAUAAAGGUGACAGAAAAAGAAUCAAUCAAAAAUAAUUUUCUGUUUAAAAGUUAUUAAAGAUUUAGCCCAAGGACUUGUCUGUAAUGAAACAGAAAGUUUCCAGGGGGCAGAACAGAAAAAGGACAGAAAACGUUUCAGAUUGAAAGCGUAUUUGCCCGAAGGCGUUUUCAGAAAACUUUUCAAAAAGAAUAAAAAGCUGACGUGGGGGUCCCACUUGUCGGGUUUAAACUCUAAAACAGAGUCACCAGCGCCCGAGAGCUGCGGUGGUCGCCGACGGCGAUCUAGGGCGAGUUAGGAGGAGCGGGUGGUACCUACGGGUCCCUUGGGUCCUUCCGCACCUGUCGGUGGUGGGGUUGGUCGACGGCGGUCACCACGUCGACGGCAGCCUCAACUCGGGCGGGUGUUGGCUCGGGCGUUGGUGGAUCUCGUCAGGGAGGGCUACAUAGCACGAAUUGAGGCUCGGGUUAGAACACUGGGUACACCAGAGGGCUGUUGACGUGGUUUGGGGGUCGGAGGUGGCCUCACUUGACCGGAGCCCGAAGCGGACCGGGGCGGCCGGAGUCGGGGAAGGAGACCUCCUCGAGGUCCUCCUGGUGGCUUGGCAGGGCUCUGGUGAGAAGGAGUGGUGGUGCGGCCUCGAGAACGAGCUCGAGACCUCCUCUUAUAGGUUAUCCGAGGCGGUGGCCGCGAAUGGGAAAUCUCCAGCGACGGUUACGGUGGUGCAGUGGUUGGUAGGGUGGUUUAGGGGGUUGGGUAUCAACAUGGAGAUCCACUGGUUUCAUUCAGAUGCUAACCUUGGUUGGAUUUGGCUUGCUUGGUGGUUUCGACGGAACGGAGCUUCGCGGGCCCGUCGGCGGCAGAGGGCGCGCACUGUGCUUGCCGGGCCACGGCGACGGUGCUGCGGCGUGCGCUGGCAAGCAGACGGCCAUGCGGAGGCCUCGGUUGCAUUGGGCGGUGCUGGACGGCGCAGCAAGCUGGCGCUGGCUCCCGCUGGCCACCACGGGUGGCUCUGCCACCGCAGAAGCUGCCGGCGUCAGCGAGGCACGCCACCACCGACACCUGCGCCCGUUCAAGAGCGCGUCGGUGCUCUGGAUAAGGAGGAGAAGCCGUGUGCAACGCGCCAGAGCGUGUACUGGUGAGAUCGAUGACAAGUCUCUGAAGAAAACGACACUGACUAUCGAACUGCAACUCUAAAUUUCUGGACAUGUACAGUAACAGUGUAGGCCAAGUGUUCGAUGAAAUGAUCUAGGCAUGUGGAGAAUUUAUCUGGGGCUGAUCUUUGGUGAGGUAGCUUCUCAAUGCACCUGGGGGCUGCCUGAUUUUUGGUAGAAUUUUUGGAGAAGAGGAAAUAUGAAUUUCACCAAAAAUGAUGAAUCUGGUCCAAACUUGCAGUGAUUGAAACUUGAAAAUUUUGAAUUGUGGAAGAGUGGAUCUUGAUGGAUCUAGGUUGGGGGUGCUAGGGACUAUCCAGAGGAGUUGGUUUGAGAUCAAAAUUCAAAGAGAAUCAGGUACUUCCCUUGUAAAUCAUCUAGGCUUAAAAUAAAAGACAGAAUUGUUUUUGGGGAUAAAUUAAAUGAAAUAAAAUUCAAAAAUGGGUUGAACUUGUUGGAACAGAAUGUUUGGGUUGCCCCAAAGUGGAGGGAGGGGUUUUGGGAGAACUUUUAACAUGAGGCAUGGUAAAAACAAUGGGUGGUUUCAAAACAAAAGAAAAGCCCCAAAACCCAUAGGGUUUCUUUUUAAUAGGAAUGAAAUUCCAAAAUUUUAUUGAGAUGAGUCAAAAUCAGAAGGAAGGUUUUUAAUAACCAAACACCAAGGUUGAGGAAGAUACAAAAUAAAAUCCUUGUCAUGGGGGGAAAUUUUUGAGAAGGAGGGGUUUUUGGAAAGAUUUUAAAUGGCCUCCUUCAAAUCAAACAAAGGAUUUGCUGAAAACAAAAAUUAAAAUUUUGGAGUGUCACAACACCUACCCCCUUAGGAAAAAUCUCAUCCCCGAGAUUUCAGUUGAUCCUCAAAUAGGUGUGGGUGCUCUGUCCAAAGAAAAUCAUCUCUUUCCCAAGUUGCUUCAUUCUCGGUGUGAUUGCUCCACUGAACUCUGAAAAACUUGAUUGUUUUCUGACGGGUCCUCCUUUCAGACUCCUCCAAUAUUUUUAUUGGACGUUCCCUGUAGGUGAGGUCUGGUUGUACGUCAAUGUCUUCAUGGGAUACUUGCUUCUCUGGGUUGCUCACACAUUUCCUCAACUGCGAGACGUGGAACACGUCGUGGACGUCGGACAGCUCUUCGGGUAGGUCUAGCUGGUAGGCUACCGUGCCUCUUCAUGCAACUAUACAGAAGGGUCUGAUGAAUCUUGGUGCUAGCUUUCCUUUAACCUUGAAUCGUUGCAGGCCUCUCAUAGGAGAUACUCGUAGGUACACAUACUCACCGGGUUCAAAGUUGACUCCUUUUUUUUUUGAUCGUAAUAACUCUUCUGUCGACUUUGAGCUGUCUUGAGUCUGUCCCUGAUUAGCCUAACUUUCUCCUCAGCUACCUUGAGCAUAUCAGGGCCAAAGAUACGGCUGUCUCCGGUCUCUGACCAAUUCAAUGGAGUACGACAUCUCCGUCCAUACAAGGCUUCGAAGGGUGCCAUUUGCAGGCUGGCUUGGUAACUGUUGUUGUAUGCGAACUCGGCAUAUGGCAAGCUUUCUUCCCAAUUGGUUCCAUAGGUGAGGACACAUGCUCUCAGCAUGUCUUCCAGAAUUUGGUUUACGCAUUCAGUCUGUCCAUCAGUCUGGGGGUGGUAUGCGGUACUAAACGCCAGUUGAGUUCCCGAAGCUUGUUGUAAUUGAUCCCAAAAUCUAGAGACGAAUUGAGUGCCUCUGUCCGAUAUUAUAGUCUUUGGAACUCCAUGCAGGCAGACGAUACGGGAAAGAUAAAGCCUGGCAAGCUUUUGAGUGGUGUGGGUUGUCUUCACGGGGAUGAAGUGUGCCACCUUAGUCAGUCUAUCUGUGAUGACCCAUAUGGCAUCAUUCCCGUGUCGUGACCGAGGUAGUCCAACAAUAAAAUCCAUUCCAAUCUCGUCCCAUUUCCACUCGGGUAUCUUGUUUGGCUGUAAUAGUCCAGCUGGUUUCUGGUGCUCGGCCUUGAUGUGUUGACAUGAAUCACAACAGGCAAUGAACGUGGCUAUGUCCCUUUUCAUACCGUACCACCAAAAAUUUUCCUGAAGGUCCUUGUACAUUUUUGUUCCUCCAGGGUGGAUUGAAUACGGAGCGGUGUGGCCUUCAGCUAGAAUUUGCUAUUUAAGGUCCUCGAUAUUUGGUACGCAAAGCCUAUCUCCGUACCACAAUAUUCCUUGCUCGUCUAUGACGAAUUCUGAGGCCUUGCCCAAACUCACUUUUCUUUUUAUGCCUUCGAUGCUGGGGUGCCCAUGAUGAGCCUCCUUAAUCUUUUCUAUUAGGGUAGGCUGUAUUUCCAAAUUCGACACACUGCCUUCGGUGACCAUUAUCAAGUUGAGUUUAGCAAACUCCUGUCGAAAUUCAGGUCUCAAAUUUGGUAGGCUGUCGUUGUCCGAGCUGGGGUUCCAACUAAGAGCAUCCGCCACUACGUUUGCUUUUCCUGGACGGUAGUGGAUACCAACAUCAUAAUCCUUCACUAAUUCCAACCAGCGUCGUUGCCGUAAAUUGAGUUCCGGUUGUGUGAAAAUAUACUUGAGGCUUUUAUGGUCUGUGUAUAUUUCACAACGAUUUCUAAGUAAAAAGUGUCUCCACUCUUUGAGUGCAUGGAUGACUGCUGCCAACUCCAAGUCAUGAGUAGGGUAAUUUUCUUCAUGCUUGCAAAGUUGCCUGGAAGCAUACGUGACUACCUUGCCUUCUUGCAUUAAUACGCAUCUGAGGCCCUUCCGGGAUGCGUCACAAUACACCUCAAAACUUUUGUGUAUGUCUGGCACAAUCAAUACUGGUGAUGUCGUUAAUUUCCUUUUUAGUUCUUGGAAACUUUUCUCGCAAGCUUUGGUCCAUUCAAACUUCUUAUCCUUCUUAAGUAACUGCGUCAUUGGCUUUGCUAUGGUGGAGAAUCCUUGAAUGAACCUUCCUUAAUAUCCUGCCAUUCCUAAGAAGCUUCGUACGUCUGUUACGCUGGCUGGUGGUUUCCAGCCAAGUACGGCCUUGACCUUUUCCGGGUCUACAGCAACACCUUCUUGGGUCAGUACGUGGCCUAGAAAACCCACCUGUCUAGCCAAAAUUCACAUUUGCUGAAUUUGGCGUACAAUUGAUGUUUCCUUAGUUCUCCUAGUACUAUGUUGAGAUGUUCAGCGUGCUCUUCUGGUGUCUUGGAGUAUACCAGAAUAUCGUCGAUGAAUACCACAACAAACUUGUCCAUAAACUUCAUAAAUACUUCGUUCAUGAGGUGAACAAAACAUGCGGGGGAGUUUGUUAGUCCAAACUGCAUUACUUUGAACUCAUACAGCCCGUAUCUGGAGGUGAAGGCUGUUUUGGGGAUAUCUUCUCUUCGUACUUUUAAUUGAUGGUAUCCCGACCUUAAGUCAAUUUUUGAGAAAACCUUGGCUUGAGCGAGCUGGUCAAAUAAAUCAUUUAUCCGUGGCAUCCGGUAUUUUUUCUUGAUUGUGACCAUGUUAAGUGCUCGAUAGUCUAUACACAAUCUCAGUGUCCCAUCCUUUUUCUUGGCAAAUAAAACUGGUGAACCCCAAGGUGAGCAGCUGGCUCGUAUAUAUCCUUUGUCCAGUAAUUCUUUUAUUUGCUUCUUUAAUUCUACCAACUCGGAUGGUGCCAUCUAUAUGGUUUCUUGUAAAUGGGGGUGGUUCCAGGUGCUAGUUCAAUGCUGAAUUCUAUUUCCCGGUCUGGUGGCAUGCCUGGUAAUUCUUCGGGAAAUACGUCUAGAAACUCACAUACCACUGGAACUCUGUUCAGCUCUGAAACGUCCACCUUGUUCAACCUUGGUUGUCGUGAUAUUUGUCUUUCUUGAGCUGAAACUUUUAUUUGCUUCCCGUGAUGAUGGGUAAGGAUUACCGUCCGGUUGAAGCAGUCAAUAAAUCCUUUGUUGGUGGUUAACCAGUCCAUUCCUAGGAUAACAUCCAGUCCCUUAUUUUCCAAUACAAUGAGGUUUGCAUGAAAUUUCAAUCGUUCAAGAUCAAUAACUACACCUUGGCAGUAAUUCUGCGUAACUUGCUUAAUUCCAGGGGACUUGAUGAUCAUGGAUUUUUCCAAGGGAAGUAUCGAAAAAUCAUUUUGCAAAGCAAAUCUCUUCGAAAUGAACGAGUGAGAAGCUCCAGAAUCAAACAAAACCGUGGCAGGUAUUGUGUUGACAGGGAACGUACCGAGUAUGAUAUCCGGGGCAUUCUGUGCUUCCUCUCUGGUCACGUGGUUCAAGUGACCCUUCUUGUGGUUGUUAUUGGGGUUGAAGUUGUUUCGCUUGGGCGUUGAAUUAUUGCCACCGUUGUUCGGCUUUGGGGUCGAGUUCCUUGGCUUGGGGCACUGCUUGGCAUAGUGUCCUUCUUCUCCACAGGCGUAGCAAGUAACGCCUGGGCGAUAUGUGAAUUCUUUGUCCCUUGCAUGGAAAUUCUUGAUUGGGCGUGAAACAGUUGUCGUGGGUUUGUGUGUCCCACCUUUCUGAGAAUCCGUCUUGCUCCUGUGGUUGCGAGCAAGAGUAGUCUGGUCCCUUUUACGCUUGCGGAAAUCCUCCAAGCUGCAUCGCUCAUUUUCCAAGGUAAUAGCCUUAUCCACCAGUGUUUUGAAAUUUGUGAAGGUGUGUAUGACCAGCUGGCAUUUAAGCGCUGGUGCCAGACUGUCCAGGAAUUUUUCCAGUCAUAUGCUCUUCGUUGGCGUAGCGAGACAAUAGAGUAAACUGACUGUUGUAUUCAGUCACUGUCAUGGUUCUCUGUUUGAGGUCAUCAAACUCCCUCUUCUUGAUCUUCAUAAUACUUCUAGGAAUGUGCGCCCCACAAAAACCUUCUUUGAGUUCCUCCCAGGUUAUAUCAUUUUUGUUGGGGUGCAUGUGUAGGAAAUUUUCCCACCAUGAUGCAGCCGCUCCAGUGAGAUAGUGCGGUGCAUAUAAUACUUUCUCACGGUCUGAACACUGUGCAAUAAUUAAUUUCCUUUCCAUGUCCCGAAGCCAAUCAUCGGCCUCAAUAGGCUUGUCCGUAUGAGAAAAUGUUGGGGGACGCGUCUUUUGUAGCUCAGACAGUUUGGAUUGUUGCUGAUAUGGUCCACGGUGAUUUCCCAUAUUGAUGAUUUGGUUCAUCAUUUCCUGAUGUUGUUGCUGACUCUGUUCAUAAAGGCGGCAUACUUGAGAAAAUGCGGUGUCACUGCCCUGCUGACUUGACUGCCCUUGCGUGAAAUUGUUGCUUGUUUGGGUACCAUGAUACUCUUCUAGCGGAUUUGGCAUGGAACGAGUCCAAGGACGAGACAUCUUCCACUCUGGGGAUAUAUUUUGUAAGACUCAUAAGAAAAAGAAAUCGAGUCGCAAAAAUAAAUAAAUUUUUAAAGACGGAUUUUUCAAGAGAAUAAUCGAUUGCGCAUGGAGAAGGACUGCUCAGUACAUAUCUUACACGCAAGCAGUAAUUAUACAAUACAUCACUCAGGAUGCGCGUACACAUUCCUGACAUGUUAUUUAGGCUAGUGCACUUCUCCCAGUUCCUACAUGAUGCGUAUACAAACUACUUCUCACAACCUAUGUACAUAUAAACAUAUCGUACAAGCCGGUACAUCGCGUGACAGCUAAGCGCACUCAGUCGGAGAUGGUAAGGAUCUCCCUUGGCCUGCCAAGGGUGAGGCCCAGUGAGGCUGGGGACUCAACCUCCUCCUCGCUAAUAGGCUCCAGACGUGAAGUGCUGCGCUGAAUCGUUGGAGCGGGCACCAUAGGUGGAGCAACAUGGACUGGUGUGGGCGCAAUAGGUGGUGCAGUACGGACUGAAGUGGGCGCGAUGACUUGGUCAAACUCGUCAGUGGUAGGCAGGCGACGAGCGGUGGCGAGGAUAGUAGGUGAAUAAGAUGCUGAGGACGAGACGAAAGUCAGUGGUGGUGAUGUGUGGAGGAGCUCCCUCCUGUUGGCGGAACAUCCAUGAAUUGAAUCCAUACGAGCAGCCACAAGGUCGUCCACAAGGUUAUCAAAAGCUGCCUCAAGCGCCUGGAGAUACUCGACAAGCAUCUCAAUAGCCUCAUCUCAUUCUCCCCUAGGGCAAGCGAAUGCAUAGUGACAGGUGUAUGGCACGUGGCAGGGGAGGUAGCGGUAGCGACGGGUCUUCAUCGAAGGAAGAACAUCUCGGAGACGAGCUAUCGCCUCACGGGCAGCCAUCUGCAUAGCAUGCCUCUCCGUAGGCAUGGCUCUUCCCACAAACCGGAAGCGGCGUAACUCGACACGCCCUCCCUUGAAUUGCACCACGGCCUGUUGCAUGGACAGACUGUCAUUGAUCUUGUGCUGGUAGAGUGUGAACACCGGACGAGUUGAUGGCCCGAUCGCGAUUUUGACAAUGGAGGUGAGCAGCUUGACGAACCCCUCAGGCACGUUGGCGAACACCUGCGACUCACAGUCGUUGCCAGCCAUCUACAAAAGUAGGCAAAAAUUCUGAAUGGUCAGAUCAUAAAUUUUUGCUAACUGUCAGAAAAUGACUACAUUUGCAAAAUAUUAAAAAAAACACUAUUACGCUAAUAACCGAUUAGCGAUCACACCUAGUGGCUUCCUACAGUCAGCCUGGAUCUGGUACCAAGUUUGUCACGACUGGUUUUUCAAUGAAAUACUUGUUGAGAAACCGAUCUUUUUAAUUCCAGUAUAGGAAAAAUUCUCCUUACUGGUAGACAAAUACUUGAUACAGAAGUCCAGUAGUAUUAAAUAUAAUACAGGGUUGAGCUGAGGUUGCUCAACGAUUUAUUACAAACACGCCAAUAUUGCACACAAGGGCGGAUAUGACACAAGAGUGUGGUGGCAUACUACUGACUCAAAAAUAAAGUGGUGGUGGAUAUGCCACAGUGGAGUGGGUGACAUGACUCCUAAUCUGGCAGCUCAUCGAGCGUCGAAGUGAGGCUCGAUGCAUUUAUUCGGGUAGCGGAAGCGGAUACAAUACAAGUGACCAAAUCCAGGAUCGCACGGGACUGACUGGGACUCCUAUAGACGUCGGACUCGCUAUCGUACUCUUCAUCCAUGAGAUCGCCUUUGUCAACAUCUGGCCAAAUCAACAAGCCAGGUGAGCACUUUGAAUGUACUCGCAAGAAAGUUCGGACAUGAGAUAUAACAAAUACAAGCAUGAUGUGUCAUGAGUAAUUAGCAAAGCACAUUUAAAUGAUGAACUUGCAUGAUAAUAUGAUUUAAGAAGGAAGUCAGGCGGUAGUCCUCCCGAUAUCCCAACGAAGAUACUGAAAACCGAUCGGGUGUCUGAAGCGACGCCUCAAAAGGUGAACAAAUGAAUAUAACAUGCAGCAGUCGGGCGUCUAAGCGACACCAUAGAAAGGGCUUAUAUUGGAAAGUAAAUGACAGUGCGUGCCACAGUCGGACGUCUAUGCGACAUCUCGGAAAGGGCUUAUAAUGAAGGUAAAUAACAGUGAUGCCACAGUCGAACGUCUGAGCGACAUCGCAGAAAGGGCUUAUUUUGAAAAUAAAUAAUAAGAGUGCCACAGUCGGACGUCUGAGCAACAUCACAGAAAGGGCUUAUAUUGAAAGUAAAUAACAAGAGUGCCACAGUCGGACGUCUGAGCGACAUCACAAAAAGGGCUUAUAUUGAAAGAAAAUAACAAGAGUGCCACAGUCGGACGUCUGAGCGACAUCACAGAAAGGGCUUAUAUUGAAAGUAAACAACAAGAGUGCCACAGUCGGACAUCUGAGCGACAUCACAGAAAGGGCUUGUAUUUCAUCAUUCAUAUCUGAUAAAUUCAUGAAGAUAUAUCACUCACAGGAAAUAUUCAGCACAUAGUAAUAAACGGGUUAGUGCAUCCACAGGAAUAAUCAUUUAGCCGGACUUAACACUCAUCUGGUUCACUGGAGUUUUGUCACUGAGACUGAUACUGACAAGGAUAAGUUGAACACAGUACUUGGCAAUGGAUAGGACUAUUCGAAUGAUUUUGACUCUGCAGAGUUUGUACUAAUCAACCACAGCCAACGGAUUUCCGUAGUCACGAAGGACUAGUUCCGUUUACGGUAUUUCAGUAGAAACACAUCUAACCAGUACACACCCAUCCCACCUCACGAUGCCAGGAAUCACCCUAGGCAACGUUCAAGAAAAACUUUGAGACGGGGAGGUCACAACCUCGAAUAGCAUGGGAUCAAAUUUAUAUUCGCGCGCUCUAAGGGGUGCCCCCCUCUCGGUCCCAACCGGAAACACCCAUGCCCCCUGACCGGAUGACUGGCUUUAAUCCAGGGCCAUGGAACCCUCAUCGCGGCCUCUCUAUUUGGUGUGUACCAGGAAAGAGGUUUGCAACUUACUAAGCCACAUUCCUUGCGGAAAACAUGUGGUGGUACAAGAAGGGAAACGAAUGGUAACGUGACUUGAUUCAUGUUGAUACUGGAAUCAAAUGGUUUGGCAUAAGACUGGCAUGCUUCAACACUGCCAUCUUACCCCCUCUCAUGUCAUCUCAGGAUCAUGCAAACUCACAUCAACAACAUAUGGAGUUUCGAAGCCCACCUGCCUCAGCUUUGUAUGCAAUAUCACACUUACCGAAAUACUUAUAAACAUGCCAUGAAACUACUCAAUGCAAACAUGCAAAAACACUCAUCAUAUCAAAUGUUCAAACAUGCUUGCCUGGUUCGGAGUAGGCGGAGUCUAGCUCGGUGAAGUUUGCGGUUCCGUCACCUCCUCCGGUAUCUACGGUAUAAGAUAAUACGUACUAACGUAAAUACCGUGUGUGCACAAGAAAGUGUUCCAAAUAUUUUUCAAAUAAAUAUGAUAAAAAACUAGACAAAAAAAUAAAGGUGAUAGAAAAAGAAUCAAUCAAAAAUAAAUUUCUGUUUAAAAGCUAUUAAAGAUUUAGCCCAGGGACUUGUCUGUAAUGAAAUAGAAAGUUUGCAGGGGCAGAACAAAAAAAGGACAGAAAACGUUUCAGAUUAAAAACGUAUUUGCCCGAAGGCGUUUUCAAAAAACGUUUCAAAAAGAAUAAAAAGCUGACGGGGGGUCCCACUUGUCGGGUUUAAACUCUGAAACAGAGUCACCGGCGCCCGAGAGCUGCGGUGGUCGCCGGCGGCGAUCCACGGCGAGUUAGGAGGAGCGGGUGGUACCUACGGGUUCCUUGGGUCCUUCCGCACCUGUGGGUGGUGGGGUUGGUCGACGGCGAUCACCACGUCGACGGCAGCCUCAACUCCGGCGGGUGUUGGCUCGGGCGUUGGUGGAUCUCGUCGGGGAGGGCUACAUAGCACGAAUUGAGGCUCGGGCUAGAACACUGGGUGCACCAGAGGGCUGUUCACGUGGUUUGGGGGUCGGAGGUGGCCUCACCUAAGUGGAUCAAGCCGGAGCCCGAAGCAGACCGGGGCGGCCGGAGUCGGGGAAGGAGACCUCCUCGAUGUCCUCCUGGUGGCUUGGCGGGGCUCUGGUGAGAAGGAGUGGUGGUGCGGGCUCGAGAACGAGCUCGGGACCUCCUCUUAUAGGCGAUCCGAGGCGGUGGCCGCGAACAGGAAAUCUCCGGCGACGGUUACGGCGGUGCAGUGGUUGGUCGGGUGGUUUAGGGGGUUGGGCAUCAACGUGGAGAUCCACUGGUUUCAUUCAGAUGCUAACCGUGGUUGGAUUAGGCUUGCUUGGUGGUUUCGACGGAACGGAGCUUCGUGGGCCCGUCGGCGGCAGAGGGCGCGCCCUGUGCUUGCCGGGCCACGACGACGGUGCUGCGGCGUGUGCUGGCAAGGAGACGGCCACGCGGAGGCCUUGGUUGCAUUGGGCGGUGUUGGACGGCCCAGAAAAGCUGGCGCUGGCUCCCGCUGGCCGCCACGGGUGGCUCUGCCACCGCAGAAGCUGCCGGCGUCGGCGAGGCACGCUGCCACCGACACCUGCGCCCGUCCAAGAGCGUGUCAGUGCUCUGGAUAAGGAGGAGAAGCCGUGUGCAACGCGCCAGAGCGUGUACUGGUGAGAUCGAUGACAAGUCUCUGAAGAAAACGACACUGACUGUCGAGCUGCAACUCUGAAUUUCUGAACAUGUACAGUAACAGUGUAGGCCAAGUGUUCGAUGAAAUAAUUUAGGCAUGUGUAGAAAUUAUCUGGGGCUGAUCUUUGGUGAGGUAGCUUCUCAAUGCACCUGGGGGCUGCCUGAUUUUUGGUAGAAUUUUUGGAGAAGAGGAAAUAUGAAUUUCACCAAAAAUGAUGAAUCUGGUCCAAACUUGCAGUGAUUGAAACUUGAAAAUUUUGAAUUGUGGAAGAGUGGAUCUUGAUGGAUCUAGGUUGGGGCUGCUAGGGACUAUCCAGAGGAGUUGGUUUGAGAUCAAAAUUCAAAGAGAAUCAGGUACUUCCCUUGUAAAUCAUCUAGGCUUAAAAUAAAAGACAGAAUUGUUUUUGGGGAUAAAAUAAAUGAAAUAAAAUUCAAAAAUGGGUUGAACUUGUUGGAACAGAAUGUUUGGGUUGCCCCAAAGUGGAGGGAGGGGUUUUGGGAGAACUUUUAACAUGAGGCAUGGUAAAAACAAUGGGUGGUUUCAAAACAAAAGAAAAGCCCCAAAACCCAUAGGGUUUCUUUUUAAUAGAAAUUAAAUUCCAAAAUUUUAUUGAGAUGAGUCAAAAUCAGAAGGAAGGUUUUUAAUAACCAAACACCAAGGUUGAGGAAGAUACAAAAUAAAAUCCUUGUCGUGGGGGGAAAUUUUUUGAGAAGGAGGGGUUUUUGGAAAGAUUUUAAAUGGCCUCCUUCAAAUCAAACAAAGGAUUUGCUGAAAACAAAAAUUAAAAUUUUGGAGUGUCACAAUUAAUAUGGAAUUUGUUUCAAAGGAAGAGCAUAGAGCACAUCAUAAGGUUAGGAAGUGCUGCCAUGAUCACGUUCAAACACAUCGACAACGUUUUCUACCCAGAUAGUGACGCAAUGUAUUAGCUGAAAAAAAAGGGCAACCUGGUGCAUGUAGCUCCCGCUUGCACAGGGUCCAGGGAAGGGUCCGACCACUUUGGGUCUAUAGUACGCAGCCUUUCCCUACAUUUCUGUAAGAGGCUGUUUCCAGGACUUGAACCCAUGACCUCAUGGUCACAAGGCAGCAGCUUUACCACUGCGCCAUGGUCACGCAAUGUAUUAGCUGAAAUAAAUAAAUAAUUAAAAGCAUUAUUCCAUAGUCCAAGGAGUAUCUCUAUAAAAAAAAAGCAACCAGACCUAGGCCACAGAAAAUCAGGUUAUGAACAGGAUCUCUGAAUUUUAUAUAUGCUAGAUUUGUUGAAGCAAGACAUACAGAUUAUACGUGAGGGUGAAUGAUCUGAUUUGCCAACAUUUCAGUCCAAAUCAGAUUCAAUCAUGAAGCAUCAGAGCAAAUUGUAGUAAAGAGCAGUGGUGCGCGAGAGAUUUUGUCCAAUAAUAUUAUGUAGAGGCAGAUAACAAGGCAUAUGAUAUUAGGUCAUGACAAAUGAGAGGAGAGUACCUGGAUGUCUUUGAUGGUCGCACAGAGAUCAAUGUAGUCCUUUUGGUUGCACCAGCCACUUCAAGUUGUUCAACUAUGAAGUUAUCGAUGUGAAAAUGCUCAGUUGAAUCCAUAAACAUAGCUCAUAGUAAUUAAGCAAGUUAUCGUUUAUUUUAGCGCGGUGUUAAAAUUAAAGUUAAAGUCUAUGUUAGCACAGUGUGAAAAUUAAACUUAAAAGUAUACUUUUUAACUCGAAAACUAAAUUACGUUACAUACCUUUCCAAUCAGUGUUGGCCAACAAUACUAUUUACAUUGUUUAGAGCGUAGCAAAAAGAGAGAUUGCUCCUUAGUUACUUGGGUUAUCCAAACAGUAAAGGGCACACAUACAUGUUGGAUGUUAAUAGAAAAACAUCAAGACACAAAUAGUCCUAAGAAAUUUCCGAUGGUACUUGAGGCAAUAAAUUUGUACCUGAAACAUAUAAUCUACUGUAAGCUUCACAAGAACACCAGUUGCAACGAUGGACUAUGCAGGUUAAUGACACCUACUAUAGUAAGUCCAUGCUAUGCUCCUCACUGACAGGAAAAAAAUGCUGAUUGUUGAGUACAAUGAUUCUUCUUGUCAACUGCAAAUGACUCCUACAGAAUGUUAAACGGUGUGUUCUUUAUCUCCGAGGUCCUAGUAAUAUGAGAAAAACGAGGGUGAGAGUGACUCCAUAGUAAUUACAUUAGAAUACAAAAAAAAACAGAAAAACAUUUUCAUUGCACAAUACAAACAGCAAAUUCGUGUACACACAUGCAAUGUGGACUUACACGUUCAGCAAACAAACUCUCGGUCUUACUAAUAUUGAAAAGCGCCAGCCGGAAUUCUUCCUGCACCAUGCCAACGCACAAGCAUCAUAACUCAGGUUAUUCAUAAGCCACCAUAUACACAAAAAUGUACCUACAGAGCAACAAUAUUUUUUCAGUUUUAAAUAAGGAGAUGGGUGUUUAUCCACUAACCUUGUUAACCAUCCCUCCAUGUAUCACAACAUUGUUGAUUUCUUCAAUAGCUCGUACAAUGCUUACCGUGAGCAUCUGCAUAAAAGCUAAUACGUAAGAGGAUUUAACAGAAAUGAUAAAGCCCACUAGUUUAGAUCCUGUCAGUGUGGAGACAAUUGAAUAGCCAGCAUGCACAGUUCCUACAAACCAAGCAUCAAAAUUCGUACAUGCCAAUGCAUCUUCAUGCCCAAAUCCACUACCACCAAACAACAGAACAUGGUGAUGUAGAUGGCAGUAGCUGUACCGACCAUGAAUCUGCCGCCGACCCAACUAUUGGUUGCUGGUAUCGAUGCCAUUGACAGGGAAAAAGGUGGUCAAGGCUUGUGUUAGAAUGGUGAUGGUCCCAUCUUGGAUAUAAAUACAUGCAGCUUCAGGUCAGAGGCGAAACAACAACGGCGGUGGUAAUUAACAAUUCCUGCACCAAAAAAUGACUAUGAAGAGGCGAAAAUGUGACAUCCUAAAAAUAGCUGCAUAAUGAGUUUAUUUACGCAUAUCAUCCAAUGUAUACUAAAUAUAUAGCUUGUAAUUAACUACAGGCCUUGACGAAAAGCAUAAAUAAUUGAAAAGUGGUAUAUGUUGGCAGACAUGAGAGUACACUUUUAUGCAGGAGCAAAUGACUGAAACACAUUGAUUGGAAUUACUUCUUCGUGACUAAAAUCAAGCCAUACAAAAAUACCAUGAGCGUAUCACAUAACAAGACCUUGACAAAAUAGCAUAUCGAGUUGGAUAAUAAAUCCAAUCCACAAACAGACUGGGUAGGCUGUGUUACCUGUGUUAGCUUUUGCAUCGAGUGCUAUAAGAUCAGAGGUGUGGACGCCCAGCUCGUAGUAGCUAGACCUUUCACAACCUGUAAGGCCGCCGUUUACAAACCAGGUGAAGGGUAGUAGGGUAAUGAAAGAAAAUUAAUGAAGGAGAUCAACCACGAUCUCUUAUUAUUUCUAGCUAUCGAGUAUCUCAACCUCCGAAUCCUGAAUGAGAUCCCAUAGUUCCUUCUUCGACAGCGACGCAGGCUGGGUAGGUUGCGGGAGGCCGACGGCUGUAGUCAGGGGAGGACGUGGUGGCUUUCCUUCUUACUGAAUCACUUCUCACAGAGGAGCUGGCGUACGGGAGGCCUCUCCGGUCUUGCAGGAGCGAGUCCACGAAGGAGGAGGGUGUGUGCGCCGCUGUGGCGCUGACCCGCAUCGACGCGAAGGGACUAAGCCGGGGUGUCGUUCCUCCUUGUCGCCGCUGCCGCCGUCUGGCAAUGGUAUGGAGGGGUUGCGCUCGACAGGGGAGGCGGCGUGAAACGCAGUAGGCUGGGGAUUUACCUCUCUACCCGAUGGGCCGUCCUUCCCCUGACCGCUCGCUAGAAGGGCUUCCUAGCCCAAUCAACCAGAGAAGUCCAGAAAGGCCACCCGAGUAGCUGCCCCCAGGACAGCAGGCCCAGGUUGCGGCAACAUUGCCCUAAAGUAGCGUUCCAUGUGCAUCAAACGGACAGAAAGAACCAGAUCAUGGAAACGGACGGUCAAGAACGCAAAUCGCUGAGAGAGCUCGGUUUAGGUGCGGUUAUACUGUCCUUAAUUGGUAGAGCCCUUGAAAAAAAUUCAAAAAAAGAAAGGAGGUCCUAGCUUAUCCGGUUUAAUAUAGUAGUAUAUAUGCAGUGUUUGGUAAAGCCCAAAAGAUCAAAGCACGGAAGACAAACUCAAUGGAAGAACCGUCGACGUCCGCCCGAGGGCCACACCUGCUAGGAUAAAAAAAUCGUGACCUAAACUACUAGCCGGAGUGAAGACACAUCGAUUAUCCUCUCUGCCACCGGCCGCCGAAGCGGCAGCCAGAGGGAAGGCAAAUUCACGGGUUCACUAGUGAAGUAUGAAAGAAAAAGUUUGCCCUAGCCGCCUAAGAUUAGGGGAGGAAACGAGAGUUAGUCCCAAUCUGGGAGACAGCUCACGAUUAUGACUGAUGCAAGUACUAUGCAAUGAUCAAAUACGAGCAAAUAAUAUGUAUUUUCCGUUUCAGUUUCUCCUCUAGUUUGUUAAUGCAACGACCAUUGGGGAUUCCCCCUCCUCCUUCAUUCUCAGGAAAAUAUGUAUUACUGUAAUUUUAUAAAUAUGUAGAGAACAUAUACAUGUGUAUGAGGGAUUAUUAUUUUCAGAUUUCUCUAUUCUGAAUAAUUCCGGUCUCCAUGAAUCCCGGGGUGCCCACCAUGAAAAUUUUACUUGAUCAACAGAAGGCCAUAGAGCAACUCGCCAAACUGUCUCACUACGACGAAAAUUUUACCCUUACGUAAGUCUCUUCUACCUUCCGUAUUGCCUACAUACAUUAGCGCAGACUAGCUAGCUUUGCAAAUCCUGAAACAACAGUAGGCAGUUCAUGAAGAAAUAUGCCCUAGAGGCAAUAAUAAAGUCAUUAUUUAUUUCCUUAUUUCAUGAUAAAUGUUUAUUAUUCAUUAUUAGGAGAAUGAUGUGAUUGACUUGACCCAUUCCGUUAGCACUUGAUCGUAUAGUAUGUUGCUAUUGCUUUCUUCAUGACUUAUACAUGUUCCUAUGACUAUGAGAUUAUGCAACUCCCGUUUACCGGAGGAACACUUUGUGUGCUACCAAACGUCACAACCUAACUGGGUGAUUAUAAAGGUGCUCUACAGGUGUCUCCGAAGGUACUUGUUGGGUUGGCGUAUUUCGAGAUUAGGAUUUCUCACUCCGAUUGUCGGAGAGGUAUCUCUGGGCCCACUCGGUAAUGCACAUCACUUAAGCCUUGCAAGCAUUGCAACUAAUUAGUUAGUUGCAGGAUGAUGUAUUAUGUAACGAGUAAAGAGACUUGGCGGUAACGAGAUUGAACUAGGUAUUGAGAUACCGACAAUCGUGAAGAUGUACGACUACAUCAACCGCGUUGUGCUAACGCUUCCGCUUUCGGUCUAUGAGGGUGCGUGGACAACACUCUCCCCUCUCGUUGCUAUGCAUCACCAUGAUCUUGCGUGUGCGUAGGAAAAUUUUGAAAUUACUACGUUCCCCAACAGUGGCAUCCGAGCCUAGGUUUUAUGUGUUGAUGUUAUAUGCAUGAGUAGAACACAAGUGAGUUGUGGGCGAUACAAGUCAUACUUCUUACCAGCAUGUCAUACUUUGGUUCGGCGGUAUUGUUGGAUGAAGCGGCCCGGACCGACAUUACACGUACGCUUACGCGAGACUAGUUCUACUGAUGUGCUUUGCACAAAGGUGGCUGGCGGGUGUCUGUUUCUCCAACUUUAGUUGAACCGAGUGUGGCUAUGUCCGGUCCUUGAGAAGGUUAAAACAUCACUAACUUGACGAACUAUCGUUGUGGUUUUGAUGCGUAGGUAAGAACGGUUCUUGCUCAGCCCAUAGCAGCCACGUAAAAUUUGCAACAACAAAGUAGAGGACGUCUAACUAGUUUUUGCAGGGCAUGUUGUGAUGUGAUAUGGUCAAGACGUGAUGAGAUAUAAGUUGUUGUAUGAGAUGAUCAUGUUUUGUUGAAGUUAUCGACAACUGGCAGAAGCCCUAUGGUUGUCUCUUUGUUGCAUAAGAUGCAACUGCCAAAUAAUUGCUUUACUUUGUCGCUAUGCGAUAGCAAUAGUUGCAAGAGCAAUAGUUGGCGAGACGACCAUGUGACGACACAUUGAUAUAGAUCAAGAUGAUGAAGAUCAUGGUGUCAUGCCGGUGACGAUAGAGAUCAUGACAGUACUUUGGAGAUGGAGAUCAAAGGCGCAAGAUGAUCAUGGCCAUAUCAUGUCACAUAUUUUGAUUGCAUAUGAUGUUUAUUUGUUAUAUAUCUUAUUCUAUUUUGUUUGACGGUAGCAUUUUAAGAUGAUCUCUCACUAAUUAUCAAGAAGUGUUCUCCCUGAGUAUGCACCGUUGCGAAAGUUCUUCGUGCUGAGACACCACGUGAUGACCGGGUGUGAUAGGCUCUACGUUCAAAUACAACGGGUGCAAAACAGUUGCACACGCGGAAUACUCAGGUUAAACUUGACGAGCCUAGCAUAUACAGAUAUGGCCUCGGAACACGGAGACCGAAAGGUCGAACGUGAAUCAUAUAGUAGAUAUGAUCAACAUAGUGAUGUUCACCAUUGAAAACUACUCCAUCUCCCGUGAUGAUCGGACAUGGUUUAGUUGAUUUGGAUCACGUGAUCACUUAGAUGACUAGAGAGAUGUCUGUCUAAGUGGGAGUUCUUAAGUAAUAUGAUUAAUUGAACUUUAAUUUGUCAUGAACUUAGUCCUGGUAGUAUUUUGCAAAUUAUGUUGUAGAUCAAUAGCUCGCGUUGUUGCUUCCCUAUGUUUUUGCUUCCCUAUGUUUUUAUAUAUGUUCCUAGAGAAAAAUUAUGUUGAAAAAUGUUAGUAGCAAUGAUGCGGAUUGGAUCCGUGAUCUGAGGUUUAUCCUCAUUGCUGCACAGAAUAAUAUGUCCUUGAUGCACCGCUAGGUGACAGACCUAUUGCAGGAGCAGAUGCAGACGUUAUGAACGUUUGGCUAGCUCAAUAUGAUGACUACUUGAUAGUUUAGUGCACCAUGCUUAACGGCUUAGAAUCGGGACUUCAAAGACGUUUUGAACGUCAUGGGCCAUAUGAGAUGUUCCAGGAAUUGAAGUUAAUAUUUCAAGCAAAUACCUGAGUUGAGAGAUAUGAAGUCUCCAACAAGUUCUAAAGCUAAAAGAUGGAGGAGAAUCGCUCAACUAGUGAGCAUGUGUUCAGAUUGUCUGGGUACUUCAAUCGCUUGAAUCAAGUGGGAGUUAAUCUUCCAGAUAAGAUAGUGAUUGACAGAAUUCUCUAGUCACCAUCACCAAGUUAGUAGAACUUCCUGAUGAACUAUAAUAUGCAAGGGAUGACGAAAGUAAUUCCCAAGCUCUUCGUGAUGCUGAAAUCGACGAAGGUAGAAAUCAAGAAAAACAUCAAGUGUUGAUAGUUAACAAGACCACUAGUUUCAAGAAAAGGGCAAAGGGAAAAUGGGGAACUUCAAGAAGAACGGCAAGCAAGUUGCUGCUCAAGUGAAGAAGCCCAAAAUUUGGACCUAAGCCUGAGACUGAGUGCUUCUACUGCAAAGUAACUGGUCACUGGAAGCGGAACUGCCCCAAGUAUUUGGCGGAUAAGAAGGAUGGCAAAGUGAACAAAGGUAUAUUUGAUAUACAUGUUAUUGAUGUGUACUUUACUAGUGUUUAUAGUAGUCCCUGACUAUUUGAUACUUGUUCGGUUGCUAAGAUUAGUAACUCAAAACAAGAGUUACAGAAUAAACGGAGACUAGUUGAGGGUGAAGUAACGAUGUGUGUUGGAAGUGGUUCCAAAAUUGAUAUGAUCAUCAUCGUACACUCCCUAUAUUUUCGAGAUUAGUGUUGAACCUAAAUAAUUGUUAUUUGGUGUUUGCGUUGAGCAUAAAUAUGAUUAGAUCAUGUUUAUUGCGAUACGAUUAUUCAUCUAAAACAGAGAAUAAAUUGUUAUUCUGUUUACAUGAAUAAAACCUUCAAACGGUCAUGCACCCAAUGAAAAUAGUUUGUUGGAUCUCGAUCGUAGUGAUACACAUAUUCAUAAUAUUGAUGCCAAAAGAUGCAAAGUUAAUAAUGAUAGUGCAACUUAUUUGUGGCACUGCCGUUUGGGUCAUAUCGGUGUAAAGCGCAUGAAGAAACUCCAUAAAGAUGGACUUUUGGAAUCACUUGGUUAUGAAUCAUUUGAUGCUUGCAAACCGUGCCUUUUGGGCAAGAUGACUAAAACUCCGUUCUCCGGAACAAUGUAACGAGCUACUGACUUGUUGGAAAUAAUACAUACUGAUGUAUGAGGUCCAAUGAGUGUUGAUGCUCGUGGCGUGUAUCAUUAUUUUCUGACCUUCACAGAUGAUUUAAGCAGAUAUGGGUAUAUCUACUUGAUGAAACAUAAGUCUGAAACAUUUGGAAAGUUCAAAGAAUUUCAGAGUGAAGUGGAAAAUCAUCGUAACAAGAAAAAUAAAGUUUCUACGAUCUGAUCGUGGAGAUGAAUAUUUGAGUUAUGAGUUUGGUCUUUAUUUGAAACAAUGUGAAAUAGUUUCGCAACUCACGCCACCUGGAACACCACAAUGUAAUGGUGUGUCUGAAUGUUGUAAUCGUACUUUACUAGAUAUGGUGCGACCUAUGAUGUCUCUUAUUGGUUUACCACUAUCGUUUUGGGGUUAUGCAUUAGAGACAGCUGCAUUCACGUUAAAUAGGGCACCACCUAAAUCCGUUGAGACAACACCGUAUGAACUAUGGUUUAGCAAUAAACCUAAGCUGUCAUUUCUUAAAGUUUGGAGUUGCGAUGCUUAUAUGAAAAAGGUUUUCAACUUGAUAAGCUCGAAUCCAAAUCGGAGAAGUGCGUCUUCAUAAAAUACCCAAAGGAAACUGUUGGGUACACCUUCUAUCACAGAUCUGAAGUCAAAACAUUCGUUGCUAAGAAUGGAUCCUUUCUAGAGAAGGAGUUUCUCUCAAAAGAAGUGAGUGGGAGGAAAGUAGAACUUGAUAAGGUAAUUGUACCUUCUCCCUUAUUGGAAUGUAGUUCAUCACAGAAAUCUAUUCCUGUGACUACUACACCAAUUAGUGAGGAAGCUAAUGAUGAUGAUCAUGUAACUUUAGAUCAAGUUACUACCGAAUCUCGUAGGUAAACUAGAGUGAGAUCCGCACCAGAGUGGUACAGUAAUCCUGUUCUGGAGGUCAUGCUACUUAACCAUGACGAACCUAUGAACUAUGAGGAAGCGAUGAUGAGCCCAGCUUCCGCAAAAUGGCUUGAGUCCAUGAAAUCUGAGAUGGGAUCCAUGCAUGAGAACAAAGUAUGGACUUUGGUUGACUUGCCCGAUGAUCGGCAAAGCCAUAGAAAAUAAAUGGAUCUUCAAGAGGAAGACGGACGCUGAUAGUAGUGUUACUAUCUACAGAGCUAGAAUUGUCGCAAAAAGGUUUUCGACAAGUUCAAGGUGUUGACUACGAUGAGAUUUUCUCACUCGUAUCUAUGCUUUAGUCUGUCCGAAUCAUGUUAGCAAUUGUCGCAUUUCAUGAAAUCUGGCAAAUGGAUAAACAAAACUGCAUUCCUUAAUGGAUUUUUUAAAGGAGAGUUGUAUAUGAUGCAACCAGAAGGUUUUGUCAAUCCUAAAGGUGCUAACAAAAUAUGCAAGCUCCAGCGAUCCAUCUAUGGACUGGUGCAAGCAUCUCGGAGUUGGAAUAUACGCUUUGAUUAGUUGAUCAAAGCAUAUAGUUUUAUACAGACUUGCGGUGAAGCCUGUAUUUACUAGAAAGUGAGUGGGAGCACUACAACAUUUCUGAUAAGUAUAUGUGAAUGACAUAUUGUUGAUCGGAAAUAAAGUAGAAUUAUUCUGCAAAGCAUAAAGGAGAGUUUGAAAGGAGUUUUUUCAAAGAAAGACCUCGGUGAAGCUGCUUACAUAUUGAGCAUCAAGAUCUAUAGAGAUAGAUCAAGACGCUUGAUAAGUUUUUCAAUGAGUACAUACCUUGACAAGAUUGUGAAGUAAUUCAAAAUAGAACAGUCAAGGAAAGAAGUUCUUGCCUGUGUUACAAGGUAUGAAAUUGAGUAAGACUCAAAAGCCGACCACGGCAGAAGAUAGAAAUAGAAUGAAAGUCAUUCCCUAUGAUUUGGCCAUAGGUUCUAUAAAGCAUGCCAUGUUGUGUACCAAAUCUAUUGUAUACCCCACCACUGAGUUUGGCAAGGGACUACAAUAGUGAUCUAGGAGUAGAUCACUGGACAGCGGUCAAAAUUAUCCUUAGUGGAAUAAGAAUAUGUUUCUUGAUUAUGGAAGUGACAAAAGGUUCGUCGUAAAGGGUUACGUUGAUGAAAGUUUUGACACUGAUCCAGAUGACUCUAAGUCUCAAUCUGGAUACAUAUUGAAAGUGGGAGCAAUUAGCUAGAGUAGCUCCAUGCAAAGCAUUGUUGACAUAGAAAUUUGCAAAAUACAUACGCCUCUGAAUGUGACAGACCCGUUGACUAGGCUUCUCUCACGAGCAAAACAUGAUCAUACCUUAGUACUCUUUGGGUGUUAAUCACAUAGCGAUGUGAACUAGAUUAUUGACUCUAGUAAACCUUUUGGGUGUUGGUCACAUGACGAUGUGAACUAUGGAUGUUAAUCACAUACAGAUGUGAAUAUUGGUGUUAAAUCACAUGAUGAUGUGAACUAGAUUAUUGACUCUAGUGCAAGUGGGAGACUGAAGGAAAUAUGCCCUAGAGGCAAUAAUAAAGUUAUUAUUUAUUUCCUUAUUUCAUGAUAAAUGUUUAUUAUUCAUGCUAGAAUUGUAUUAACCGGAAACUUGAUACAUGUGUGGAUACAUAGACAAACAAAGUGUCACUAGUAUGCCUCUACUUGACUAGCUCGUUGAAUCAAAGAUGGUUAAGUUUCCUAGCCAUAGACAUGAGUUGUAAUUUGAUUAACGGGAUCACAUCAUUAGGAGAAUGAUGUGAUUGACUUGACCCAUUCCGUUAGCUUAGCACUUGAUCGUAUAGUAUGUUGCUAUUCCUUUCUUCAUGACUUAUACAUGUUCCUAUGACUAUGAGAUUAUGCAACUCCCGUUUACCGGAGGAACACUUUGUGUGCUACCAAACAUCACAACGUAACUGGGUGACUAUAAAGGUGCUCUAUAGGUGUCUCCGAAGGUACUUGUUGGGUUGGCGUAUUUCGAGAUUAGGAUUUCUCACUCCAAUUGUCGGAGAGGUAUCUCUGAGCCCACUCGGUAAUGAACAUCCCUUAAGCCCUGCAAGCAUUGCAACUAGUUAGUUAUUUGCGGGAUGAUGUAUUAUGGAACGAGUAAAGAGACUUGCCGGUAACGAGAUUGAACUAGGUAUUGAGAUACCGACGAUCAAAUCUCGGGCAAGUAACAUACCGAUGACAAAGGGAACAACGUAUGUUGUUAUGCGGUCUGACCGAUAAAGAUAUUCGUAGAAUAUGUGGGAGCCAAUAUGAGCAUCCAGGUUCCGCUAUUGGUAAUUGACCGAAGACGUGUCUCGGUCAUGUCUACAUUGUUCUCGAACCCGUAGGGUCCGCACGCUUACGGUUUUGAUGGCAGUUAUAUUAUGAGUUUAUGAGUUUUGAUCUACCGAAGGAGUUCGGAGUCCCGGAUGAGAUCGGGGACAUGACGAGGAGUCUCGAAAUGGUCGAGACGUAAAGAUCGAUAUAUUGGACGACUAUAUUCGGACAUCGGAAAGGUUCCAAGUGAUUCGGGUAUUUUUCGAAGUACCGGAGAGUUACGGGAAUUCGUAUUGGGCCUUAAUGAUAUGGAUGGCAAUGGGGCCCCAUACCCGCCAAACCCAUGGGGAUUUCAUCUAUUAGGGGGUGGGGAUGGGCGAAAAACAUCCCCAUGGGGAUAUUUACAAAACUAAUUUAUUCCCCAUAGGGUACAAUGGGGAUGGGGACGAUAUCCUAUUCCCCAGACCCAAUACUCAUCGGGGACUCGGUUAGUAACUGUGACACAGCGGUCAACCUUAAAAUAUUCACAAAAAAAACUUGCAAAAACAAAAAAAGCUCUGAAAAAACCUUAAACCUAUCUCACAUCCUCACCUCAGCUGCCACCAUGACCAAGAAGUAAGUACGACCUAGAUAGGCAUUAGCAGGACAAGGACAACACCAUUUAUGUAUGUUGAUUAUAGGGUGUCAUAUUAUGUAUAUGAGUAUUUGUUUAUGGGGAUGGGGACCCUAAUGGGGCCCCGUUCCCCGGUGGGGCAUGGGUAUGGGAAAAUUUCAACCCCAAACAUGUAAACGGGGAUGGGGAUGGGAUGAUAGGGAAUAGAUGGGGAUGGGGAUGUUGUAGGUGUCCCAUAGGGGAUUGUCCCCAUUGCCAUCCCUACUUAAUGAGCCAUACGGGAAAGGAGAGAAAGGCCCCAAAGGGUGGCCACACCCCUCCCCACGGACUAGUCCGAAUUGGACUAGGGAGGGGGGGCGCCCCCUUCCUUCCUUCUCCUUCUCCCUUUCCUUUCCUUCUCUCCUACUCCUUCUACUUGGAAGGGCUCCUAGUUCUACUAGGAAAGGGGGAAUCCUACUCCCAGUGGGAGUAGGACUCCCUUGGGGCGCGCCAUAGAGAGAGGGCCGGCCUUCCCCCUCCUCCACUCCUUUAUAUACGGGGAGGGGGGCACCCCUUGUAGACACAACAAUUGAUCCACGAGAUCUCUUAGCCGCGUGCGGUGCCCCCCUCCACCAUAGUCCUCGAUAAUAUUGUAGCGGUGCUUAGGCGAAGCCCUGCGACAGUAGAACAUCAAGAUCGUCACCUCGCCGUCUUGCUGACGGAACUCUUCCCCGACACUUUGCUGGAUCGGAGUCCGGGGAUCGUCAUCGAGCUGAACGUGUGCUAGAACUCAGAGGUGCCGUAGUUUCGGUGCUUGAUCGGUCGGAUCGUGAAGACGUACGACUACAUCAACCGCGUUGUGCUAACGCUUCCGCUUUCGGUCUACGAGGGUACGUGGACAACACUCUCCCCUCUCGUUGCUAUGCAUCACCAUGAUCUUGCGUGUGCGUAGGAAAAUUUUGAAAUUACUACGUUCCCCAACAGUGGCAUCCGAGCCUAGGUUUUAUGUGUUGAUGUUAUAUGCACGAGUAGAACACAAGUGAGUUGUGGGCGAUACAAGUCAUACUACUUACCAGCAUGUCAUACUUUGGUUCGGCAGUAUUGUUGGAUGAAGCGGCCCAGACCGACAUUACGCGUACGCUUACGCGAGACUGGUUCUAUCGACGUGCUUUGCACACAGGUGGCUGGCGGGUGUCUGUUUCUCCAGCUUUAGUUGAACCGAGUGUGGCUACGCCCGGUCCUUGAGAAGGUUAAAACAGCACUAACUUGAUGAACUAUCGUUGUGGUUUUGAUGCGUAGGUAAGAACGGUUCUUGCUCAGCCCAUAGCAGCCACGUAAAAUUUGCAACAACAAAGUAAAGGACGUCAAACUUGUUUUUGCAGGGCAUGUUGUGAUGUGAUAUGGUCAAGACAUGACGAGAUAUAAGUUGUUGUAUGAGAUGAUCAUGUUUUGUUGAAGUUAUUGGCAACUGGCAGAAGCCCUAUGGUUGUCUUGUUGUUGCAUAAGAUGCAACUGCCAAAUAAUUGCUUUACUUUGUCGCUAUGUGAUAGCAAUAGUUCCAAGAGCAAUAGUUGGCGAGACGACCAUGUGACGACACAUUGAUAUAGAUCAAGAUGAUGAAGAUCAUGGUGUCAUGCCGGUGACGAUAGAGAUCAUGACAGUACUUUGGAGAUGGAGAUCAAAGGCGCAAGAUGAUCAUGGCCAUAUCAUGUCACAUAUUUUGAUUGCAUAUGAUGUUUAUUUGUUAUACAUCUUAUUCUAUUUUGUUUGACGGUAGCAUUUUAAGAUGAUCUCUCACUAAUUAUCAAGAAGUGUUCUCCCUGAGUAUGCACCGUUGCGAAAGUUCUUCGUGCUGAGACACCACGUGAUGACCGGGUGUGAUAGGCUCUACGUUCAAAUACAACGGGUGCAAAACAGUUACACACGCAGAAUACUCAGGUUAAACUUGACGAGCCUAGCAUAUAAAGAUAUGGCCUCGGAACACGGAGACCGAAAGGUCGAACGUGAAUCAUAUAGUAGAUAUGAUCAACAUAGUGAUAUUCACCAUUGAAAACUACUCCAUCUCACGUGAUGAUCGGACAUGGUUUAGUUGAUUUGGAUCACGUGAUCACUUAGAUGACUAGAGAGAUGUCUGUCUAAGUGGCAGUUCUUAAGUAAUAUGAUUAAUUGAACUUUAAUUUAUCAUGAACUUAGUCCUGGUAGUAUUUUGCAAAUUAUGUUGUAGAUCAAUAGCUCGCGUUGUUGCUUCCCUAUGUUUUUGCUUCCCUAUGUUUUUAUAUAUGUUCCUAGAGAAAAAUUAUGUUGAAAAAUGUUAGUAGCAAUGAUUCGGAUUGGAUCCGUGAUCUGAGGUUUAUCCUCAUUGCUGCACAGAAGAAUAUGUGCUUGAUGCACCGCUAGGUGACAGACCUAUUGCAGGAGCAGAUGCAGACAUUAUGAACGUUUGGCUAGCUCAAUAUGAUGACUACUUGAUAGUUUAGUGCACCAUGCUUAACGGCUUAGAAUCGGGACUUCAAAGGCGUUUUGAACAUCAUGGGCCAUGUGAGAUGUUCCAGGAAUUGAAGUUAAUAUUUCAAGCAAAUACCCGAGUUGAGAGAUAUGAAGUCUCCAACAAGUUCUAAAGCUAAAAGAUGGAGGAGAAUCGCUCAACUAGUGAGCAUGUGUUCAGAUUGUCUGGGUACUUCAAUCGCUUGAAUCAAGUGGGAGUUAAUCUUCCAGGUAAGAUAGUGAUUGACAGAAUUCUCUAGUCACCAUCACCAAGUUAGUAGAACUUCGUGAUGAACUAUAAUAUGCAAGGGAUGACGAAAGUAAUUCCCAAGCUCUUCGUGAUGCUGAAAUCGACGAAGGUAGAAAUCAAGAAAAACAUCAAGUGUUGAUAGUUAACACGACCACUAGUUUCAAGAAAAGGGCAAAGGAAAGAAGGGGAACUUCAAGAAGAACAACAAGCAAGUUGCUGCUCAAGUGAAGAAGCCCAAAAUCUGGACCUAAGCCUGCGACUGAGUGCUUCUACUGCAAAGGAACUGGUCACUGGAAGCAGAACUGCCCCAAGUAUUUGGCGGAUAAGAAGGAUGGCAAAGUGAACAAAGGUAUAUUUGAUAUACAUGUUAUUGAUGUGUACUUUACUAGUGUUUAUAGUAGUCCCUGAGUAUUUGAUACUUGUUCGGUUGCUAAGAUUAGUAACUCAAAACAGGAGUUACAGAAUAAACGAAGACUAGUUGAGGGUGAAGUAACGAUGUGUGUUGGAAGUGGUUCCAAAAUUGAUAUGAUCAUCAUCGUACACUCCCUAUAUUUUCGAGAUUAGUGUUGAACCUAAAUAAUUGUUAUUUGGUGUUUGCAUUGAGCAUAAAUAUGAUUAGAUCAUGUUUAUUGCGAUACAAUUAUUCAUCUAAAACAGAGAAUAAAUUGUUAUUCUGUUUACAUGAAUAAAACCUUCAAACGGUCAUGCACCCAAUGAAAAUAGUUUGUUGGAUCUCGAUCGUAGUGAUACACAUAUUCAUAAUAUUGAUGCCAAAAGAUGCAAAGUUAAUAAUGAUAGUGCAACUUAUUUGUGGCACUGCCGUUUGGGUCAUAUCGGUGUAAAGCGCAUGAAGAAACUCCAUAAAGAUGGACUUUUGGAAUCACUUGGUUAUGAAUCAUUUGAUGCUUGCAAACCGUGCCUUUUGGGCAAGAUGACUAAAACUCCGUUCUCCGGAACAAUGGAACGAGCUACUGACUUGUUGGAAAUAAUACAUACUAAUGUAUGCGGUCCAAUGAGUGUUGAUGCUCGUGGCAUGUAUCGUUAUUUUCUGACCUUCACAGAUGAUUUAAGCAGAUAUGGGUAUAUCUACUUGAUGAAACAUAAGUCUGAAACAUUUGAAAAGUUCAAAGAAUUUCAGAGUGAAGUGGAAAAUCAUCGUAACAAGAAAAAUAAAGUUUCUACGAUCUGAUCGUGGAGAUGAAUAUUUGAGUUACGAGUUUGGUCUUUAUUUGAAACAAUGUGAAAUAGUUUCGCAACUCACGCCACCUGGAACACCACAAUGUAAUGGUGUGUCUGAACAUCGUAAUCGUACUUUACUAGAUAUGGUGCGACCUAUGAUGUCUAUUAUUGGUUUACCACUAUCGUUUUGGGGUUAUGCAUUAGAGACAGCUGCAUUCACGUUAAAUAGGGCACCACCUAAAUCCGUUGAGACAACACCGUAUGAACUAUGGUUUAGCAAUAAACCUAAGCUGUCAUUUCUUAAAGUUUGGAGUUGCGAUGCUUAUAUGAAAAAGGUUUUCAACUUGAUAAGCUCGAAUCCAAAUCGGAGAAGUGCGUCUUCAUAAAAUACCCAAAGGAAACUGUUGGGUACACCUUCUAUCAUAGAUCUGAAGGCAAAACAUUCGUUGCUAAGAAUGGAUCCUUUCUAGAGAAGGAGUUUCUCUCGAAAGAAGUGAGUGGGAGGAAAGUAGAACUUGAUAAGGUAAUUGUACCUUCUCCCUUAUUGGAAUGUAGUUCAUCACAGAAAUCUGUUCCUGUGACUACUACAACAAUUAGUGAGGAAGCUAAUGAUGAUGAUCAUGUAACUUUAGAUCAAGUUACUACCGAAUCUCGUAGGUAAACCAGAGUGAGAUCCGCACCAGAGUGGUACAGUAAUCCUGUUCUGGAGGUCAUGCUACUUAACCAUGACGAACCUAUGAACUAUGAGGAAGCGAUGAUGAGCCCAGCUUCCGCAAAAUGGCUUGAGUCCAUGAAAUCUGAGAUGGGAUCCAUGCAUGAGAACAAAGUAUGGACUUUGGUUGACUUGCCCGAUGAUCGGCAAAGCCAUAGAAAAUAAAUGGAUCUUCAAGAGGAAGACGGAUGCUGAUAGUAGUGUUACUAUCUACAGAGCUAGAAUUGUCGCAAAAAGGUUUUCGACAAGUUCAAGGUGUUGACUACGAUGAGAUUUUCUCACUCGUAUCUAUGCUUUAGUCUGUCUGAAUCAUGUUAGCAUUUGUCGCAUUUUAUGAAAUCUGGCAAAUGGAUAAACAAAACUGCAUUCCUUAAUGGAUUUAUUAAUGGAGAGUUGUAUAUGAUGCAACCAGAAGGUUUUGUCAAUCCUAAAGGUGCUAACAAAAUAUGCAAGCUCCAGCGAUCCAUAUAUGGACUGGUGCAAGCAUCUCGGAGUUGGAAUAUACGCUUCGAUUAGUUGAUAUAAGCAUAUAGUUUUAUACAGACUUGCGGUGAAGCCUGUAUUUACUAGAAAGUGAGUGGGAGCACUACAACAUUUCUGAUAAGUAUAUGUGAAUGACAUAUUGUUGAUCGGAAAUAAAGUAGAAUUAUUCUGCAAAGCAUAAAGGAGAGUUUGAAAGGAGUUUUUUCAAAGAAAGACCUCGGUGAAGCUGCUUACAUAUUGAGCAUCAAGAUCUAUAGAGAUAGAUCAAGACGCUUGAUAAGUUUUUCAAUGAGUACAUACCUUGACAAGAUUGUGAAGUAAUUCAAAAUAGAACAGUCAAGGAAAGAAGUUCUUGCCUAUGUUACAAGGUAUGAAAUUGAGUAAGACUCAAAACCCGACCACGGCAGAAGAUAGAAAUAGAAUGAAAGUCAUUCCCUAUGAUUUGGCCAUAGGUUCUAUAAAGCAUGCCAUGCUGUGUACCAGAUCAAUUGUAUACCCCACCACUGAGUUUGGCAAGGAACUACCAUAGUGAUCUAGGAGUAGAUCACUGGACAGCGGUCAAAAUUAUCCUUAGUGGAAUAAGGAUAUGUUUCUUGAUUAUGGAAGUGACAAAAGGUUCGUCGUAAAGCGUUACGUUGAUGAAAGUUUUGACACUGAUCCAGAUGACUCUAAGUCUCAAUCUGGAUACAUAUUGAAAGUGGGAGCAAUUAGCUAGAGUAGCUCCAUGCAAAGCAUUGUUGACAUAGAAAUUUGCAAAAUACAUACGCCUCUGAAUGUGACAAACCCGUUGACUAGGCUUCUCUCACGAGCAAAACAUGAUCAUACCUUAGUACUCUUUGGGUGUUAAUCACAUAACGAUGUGAACUAGAUUAUUGACUCUAGUAAACCUUUUGGGUGUUGGUCACAUGACGAUGUGAACUAUGGAUGUUAAUCACAUACAGAUGUAAAUAUUGGUGUUAAAUCACAUGAUGAUGUGAACUAGAUUAUUGACUCUAGUGCAAGUGGGAGACCGAAGGAAAUAUGCCCUAGAGGCAAUAAUAAAGUUAUUAUUUAUUUCCUUAUUUCAUGAUAAAUGUUUAUUAUUCAUGCUAGAAUUGUAUUAACCGGAAACUUGAUACAUGUGUGGAUACAUAGACAAACAAAGUGUCACUAGUAUGCCUCUACUUGACUAGCCAAUAUGAGCAUCCAGGUUCCGCUAUUGGUUAUUGACCGGAGACAUGUCUCGGUCAUGUCUACAUUGUUCUCGAACCCAUAGGGUCCGCACGCUUAAGGUUUUGAUGACAGUUAUAUUAUGAGUUUAUGAGUUUUGAUGUACUGAAGGAGUUCGGAGUCCCAGAUGAGAUCGGGGACAUGACAAGGAGUCUUGAAAUGGUCGAGACGUAAAGAUCGAUAUAUUGGACGACUAUAUUCGGACAUCGGAAAGAUUCCGAGUGAUUCGGGUAUUUUUCGUAGUACCGGAGAGUUACGAGAAUUCGUAUUGGGCCUUAAUGGGCCAUACGGGAAAGGAGAGAAAGGCCCCAAAGGGUGGCCGCACCCCUCCCCACGGACUAGCCCGAAUUGGACUAGGGAGGGGGGGCGCCCCCUUCCUUCCUUCUCCUUCUCCCUUCCCUUUCCUUCUCUCCUACUCCUUCUACUUGGAAGGGCUCCUAGUUCUACUAGGAAAGGGGGAAUCCUACUCCCAGUGGGAGUAGGACUCCCCUAGGGCGCGCCAUAGAGAGAGGGCCGGCCCUCCCCCUCAUCCACUCCUCUAUAUACGGGGAGGGGGGCACCCCUUGUAGACACAACAAUUGAUCCUCGAGAUCUCUUAGCCGUGUGCGGUGCCCCCCUUCACCAUAGUCCUCGAUAAUAUUGUAGCGGUGCUUAAGCGAAGCCCUACGAUAGUAGAACAUCAAGAUCGUCACCUCGCCGUCUUGAUGACGGAACUCUUCCCCGACACUUUGCUGGAUCGGAGUCCGGGGAUCGUCAUCGAGCUGAACAUGUGCUAGAACUCGGAGUUGCCGUAGUUUUGGUGUUUGAUCGGUCGGAUCGUGAAGAUGUACGACUACAUCAACCGCGUUGUGCUAACGCUUCCGCUUUUGGUCUACGAGGGUACGUGGACAACACUCUCCCCUCUCGUUGCUAUGCAUCACCAUGAUCUUGCGUGUGCGUAGGAAAAUUUUGAAAUUACUACGUUCCCCAAUAGUGGCAUCCGAGCCUAGGUUUUAUGUGUUGAUGUUAUAUGCACGAGUAGAACACAAGUGAGUUGUGGGCAAUACAAGUCAUACUGCUUACCAGCAUGUCAUACUUUGGUUCGGCGGUAUUGUUGGAUGAAGCGGCUCGGACCGACAUUACACGUAAGCUUACGCGAGACUGGUUCCACCGACGUGCUUUGCACAUAGGUGGCUGGCGGGUGUCUGUUUCUCCAACUUUAGUUGAACCGAGUGUGGGUACGCCCGGUUCUUGAGAAGGUUAAAACAGCACUAACUUGACGAACUAUCGUUGUGGUUUUGAUGCGUAGGUAAGAACGGUUCUUGAUCAGCCCAUAGCAGCCACGUAAAAUUUGCAACAACAAAGUAGAGGACGUCUAACUUGUUUUUGCAGGGCAUGUUGUGAUGUGAUAUGGUCAAGACGUGAUGAGAUAUAAGUUGUUGUAUGAGAUGAUCAUGUUUUGUUGAAGUUAUCGGCAACUGGCAGAAGCCCUAUGGUUGUCUCUUUGUUGCAUAAGAUGCAAGUGCCAAAUAAUUGCUUUACUUUGUCGCUAUCCGAUAGCAAUAGUUGCAAGAGCAAUAGUUGGCGAGACGACCAUGUGACGACACAUUGAUAUAGAUCAAGAUGAUGAAGAUCAUGGUGUCAUGCCGGUGACGAUAGAGAUCAUGACAGUACUUUGGAGAUGCAGCUCAAAGGCGCAAGAUGAUCAUGGCCAUAUCAUGUCACAUAUUUUGAUUGCAUAUGAUGUUUAUUUGUUAUACAUCUUAUUCUAUUUUGUUUGAUGGUAGCAUUUUAAGAUGAUCUCUCAUUAAUUAUCAAGAAGUGUUCUCCCUGAGUAUGCACCGUUGCGUAAGUUCUUCGUGCUGAGACACCACGUGAUGAUCGGGUGUGAUAGGCUCUACGUUCAAAUACAACGGGUGCAAAACAGUUGCACACGCGGAAUACUCAGGUUAAACUUGACGAGCCUAGCAUAUACAGAUAUGGCCUCGGAACACGGAGACCGAAAGGUCAAACGUGAAUCAUAUAGUAGAUAUGAUCAACAUAGUGAUGUUCACCAUUGAAAACUACUCCAUCUCACGUGAUGAUCGGACAUUGUUUAGUUGAUUUGGAUCACGUGAUCACUUAGAUGACUAGAGAGAUGUCUGUCUAAGUGGGAGUUCUUAAGUAAUAUGAUUAAUUGAACUUUAAUUUAUCAUGAACUUAGUCCUGGUAGUAUUUAGCAAAUUGUGUUGUAGAUCAAUAGCUCGCGUUGUUGCUUCCCUAUGUUUUUGCAAAUUAUGUUGUAGAUCAAUAGCUCACGUUGUUGCUUCCCUAUGUUUUUGCAAAUUUAUCAUGAACUUAGUCCUGGAAGUAUUUUGCAAAUUAUAUUGUAGCGGUGCUUAGGCGAAGCCCUGCGACAGUAGUCAAGAUCGUCACCAUGCCGUCGUGCUGACGGAACUCUUCCCCGACACUUUGCUGGAUCGGAGUCCGGGGAUCGUCAUCGAGCUGAACAUGUGCUAGAACUCGGAGGUGCCGUAGUUUCGGUGCUUGAUCGGUCGGAUCAUGAAGAUGUACAACUACAUCAACCGUGUUGUGCUAACGCUUCUGCUUUCGGUCUACGAGGGUAUGUGGAUAACACUCUCCCCUCUCGUUGCUAUGCAUCACCAUGAUCUUGCAUGUGCGUAGGAAAAUUUUGAAAUUACUACGUUCCCCAACAGUUCACUGAAACAUCUUAACAAAAUACAGGCAUUCAGAGGGCAAACUAGUUCUUCAGGCUGCACCCCGAGUUUAGGAAAUGAGCAUAUGGCGACCCUUGAACAUGUCCUGACUAAAUCCAAGGCAACAACAACUAUCAGUACAUGAAAAGCAGCAACCACAUGGACCAUGGCCAUAAAGACUGAACAACGAAGUACAACAUAGACUAGCUGAACUGAACACCUCCAGCUCAAAAAGGAACCUUGCAUAAACAGCAAAGGACACAGUGAGCAUGGGGAAAUGGGAAGAAAUGCAGGGAAUAUUAAAAUUCAGCUGGUUGGUCUAUCUAUCAGAGGAUGUGCUAUAAACAAGCUGGAACGGUCAGUUGGUUGAUCUAGAUAUUUGAUAGGCGUCACCUUGAGUAGCACUUGCAUGAAACAACUUGUCAUAACUGUCACAUUACAGGAAAAAUAAUGUACACUUAAGUUCUCUACCUUCAGAACUCCCUACAUUAGCACAGACUAGGUAGCUUUGCUAAUAAGGCAUAAAGUUCAGGAACUUAAUACUUUCUGUUGUAGUGCUAACUGCCAAGCUUCCUGCCCUUGCUCGUUGCCACCAUAUGAAUGCUGCUGCCUGUAGCUACAAAGCACUUGUUGCAGCUCUAGCUGUUUCCCCAGUGUUGUUGUUGGGUGUCAUUUGCACCUAUCGUGAUGAUAAGCAGCAUCAAUGGUGCCAUUUAAGGCAAUGUUCUGGGGCCAGGUAUUGGGCGGUGUUAUGGUGGGCUGGAAGAAUGUAAAAAGUUGUGCACAAGGAUAUACCAUGCUAUUCUGCUUGGGUCUAAGCUUAUGUUUUUUAUCCAAGCAUGUUAUGUAUAGGUCGACUACUGAAAGAUAAUAAUCAUGAAGAAUGAUAACAAAUGCUUACAGGCGAGCAGAAGAUCUAUUGUACAUCGAUCCGCUCAGUGGGUACUCCAUGGUUACAUAGGAUGUUUAAAAUAUGGUUAACUACUUCCUAUGCAUAUUUCAAACAAUAAACAUAUAUGAGGAUUAUUUCAUAUGUGAACAAACUACCAUCCUAUGCAUAGGAUAAAUAUUCACAUGUGUCACCAUACUUCCUAUGCUAAUUACAAACGAACAAACUACUUCCUAUGCAUUACUUCAUAUGUGUUCAUCUAAAUAAUCUUCGAUAGGUACUAGAAAGCUUUAUAAAAAAUUGACAUUGGUUUGACAAAUAUUUGUCAUGUACUUGAAUGAAAAUCUACCAUGUGAAAAGAAGGUGUUUUAUCACCUUUAUAUACAUGAUUAUUAAUUCAUAUGUACAUACAAAUUCCUAUGCAUGUGAUUUACAAUACAAAUCAACAACAAUAAUGUUUCCAAUGUUUACAACUAAUCUACAUAGGCUAAAUCAACUCACAUCCAUUCUAUUUCCCAUAGAAAUUUCAAAUCAAUCAUAAGUUAGGGUUUCACCACAAACAUGAAGAAUGGGGAAGGUUUUUCGGAUAGAAAGAAAGGGGUCAGAGGAGAUUACCUUCUAGGAUGGAUUGGGCAACAAAUCCAUGGACGAAAUCUUCAAAUCGGAAGGAAUUGGGAGAGAGGAUUGAGAGGGAGAGAGGAGAGAGCGGCCACCAUUGCCGCUCUCUGUUUCAUCCAUUGGACGAAUGGGUGGGUGGGAUGGGGAAGGCCCAGCGCGCUGUAGUUACUAAGGGCGUGUUCGGUAGUUACCCACAGCCACAAAAUCCUCAACUCCAGCGCCCAACUCCACCAGCCAUCUUCCCACGUAAACUCCUGGAGCUAGCGAUCUGUUCGGUGCAGCAGCUCCUGGGAGCCAGCGAUCGGCCAGGCCAAAAGGCCAGAAACUGCAUAUUCACCCCGUUUUGGUUGGCCAGGCCUGGGCAGUAGUGGGCUGUUGUGUAUGAGUUUUUUUUCUUUAGAUUGUGUACAAGGAUGGUUGGCAUGUUCGUUGGUGAUGUGUACUGUCCCUUUUCUUUGUAUUCCAAUUUCGCUAUAUACAGAAGCAGUUUCAGCAUGCAUAGAGAGCAAGGUAACAAAAAGUAGUACUUUUUUUUACUAGUAGCAAUUUUCCUAGUAACAGAGGCUAAACCGAGAGCAAGUACAUAGAGAGAAAAUCCAUAUUUUAAACACAGAAUGAAUGUGCAGAUUUUGAAACAAUGUAUACCAUGGCAUGAGCAUCAGGUUGCACACAUGUUUCAUAGUACUUAAGCCUCACAUUUUGCAUAGGUUUGCAAAUCAAAAGGGGCACAUACAUGUCUCUAACAUCAACGCUUCACCUCGUAGUUUUGCAUAAGUUUGCAAAUCAAAAGGGACACAUACAUGUAUCUAUCAACAAUGCCUCACCAACUUAGAGCAAUGGCUGUAGCUAGUUCUUGCCUAAACACAUCCAUGUCUUCACCAUUUUCCGCUGUAGUUGAUGUAUCUGAUGCAUGAGAUGGACCAGCAAAUCUCUUGUAUCGUUCCGGAAUUGUUGGCACAUAGUCCGGGUCCCUGUCACAUCGAUCAAAGGGAAUAUCUUCUUCAUCAUGGAAGUGAACAUAGUUGUGCAAAGUCAUAGUAGCGGCAACAAUCAUCUUUUGAGUUUCAAUGGAGUAGCUUGGCAUCUUCAAAAGAAUCUGCCAUUUCAUCUUCCACACUCCAAAGGCUCUCUCUAUGCAAUUGCGUUUGGACGAGUGGAGCCUAUUGA
RNAcentral lists this long non-coding RNA (109485 nucleotides) under Triticum aestivum (bread wheat). RNAcentral's name for it is "long non-coding RNA (TAES_LNC012625)". The record is from RNAcentral. Lineage: Eukaryota; Viridiplantae; Streptophyta; Magnoliopsida; Poales; Poaceae.